This 92958-nucleotide long non-coding RNA is filed under the name Capsicum annuum. RNAcentral's name for it is "long non-coding RNA (CANN_LNC004024)". The record is from RNAcentral. Lineage: Eukaryota; Viridiplantae; Streptophyta; Magnoliopsida; Solanales; Solanaceae.
UUCUUUUUUCUUGCUCUUUUCUACCACACUCAACUUUUUAUUCUUUUCUUUUACUCUACCUUUCUUUCUACUCAUUUUACAUCACGCACCCCUAUGAUAGCCACCUUUAACUUAGGCCAUUUGCCUAAGUCAAGGUGCACAGUGUCCAAAGAGGACUAGGGCCAAAACAGGUUCAUUAUGAUAUAAACUAGAAAAGUGACAGGUGUCAUAAAAAUAAAUUAUCAUGACCCGAACUAGGGCCUGGCCAUGACGGACAUCCCGAACCAUAAAGGCCGGGAACGCCCUUCUCUAUCUGGUAAUCAUGCACAACACUCAUAUAAUAAAGAAGAUGUGGAAACAUAGUCAGCUACGGAAACAUGUUCAAAUUCUAAUAUCAACAUAAGUAUGGAAAACUGUAGUGCAACUAUAGCUAAAUAACAUCUGACUCAGUCUGUGAAAUCUCUACUACAUGAAAAUCUAAUAACUGUCUGAAAAUUGGGACAAGGCCCCCAGUAGACCAAAACAAUAAUAAGGGUCAUAAUUUAAAAAACAGGCCUUCUGGAAUAGAGAAGGCUCACCAACUAAAUACUGUAAACUCUGUCUGACGAAUCUACUGCCUUUUUGGACCCGUAGACUAAGCCUCAGAACCUGGAGGGAGGAGGGGGGAUCAAUACAAAUGUACUGGUACACAAAGUAUUCCCAAAUAAAACUGUUAUAUAGAUAAAAUAGUUAGAGAGCAAAUCAUCAGAUACUAUACAUGAAAUAGUUCUAAAACACAUGGGCACUUUCUGAAAAUCACAAAUCAUUCUUAUCAAUGCAAUGUCUGAUCUUUGUAUAACUUAUGAGUUAGGUGGCACUCCUCUAAAAUUUUGAUAUUUCAUGGGCUGUAUGAAAUCCAUCAUUGACUCGGCGGGGAAUCCCCCAACCCGAGUGUGCCUCAAGGAUUGGAGUUUCUGAUUUGUAUACGCCACACGGCACUAGGUUAGCGUAAUAUAAUAUACCCGGAUCGGCAAAUCACGAUUUUAGGCAAUGAUUUAUCUGACUCAUGCCUUCUUCGAGGAACCACCUAAGCUCUCUUUAUGCUUAAUUUUAUUCUAUUUUGAAUGCAUUAUUAUAGUUUCAACAUCUGAAAAUUCUGACUUUAAACAUGUAUUCUAUUUUGUUCUGAAUUACCAUGGCAUAAUCUGAGUUGGUGUCGUCAUACCAAGACUUGCAAGUCCUAUUUCUGAGCCAUAAUGUACCAUACAUGAUGCUUUCAUAAAAACUCAAUUUAGACCACCCAAACAUGCAAUUAGUUUAAGAGAUUUCAUGUCCCAAAACACACAUCAAAACUAUGCAAAAACUCUUUAACAAUAUGGUGGUCAUGUGCCUUUAGAAAAAUCAUGCACUCUUCCAUUAUAGGAAUAUUUUCAACAUUUAUCAACAUAAAUAACCCUCUCUCUUUUGAAAUUGAAAUCAUAAGUUAAAUAUAACAUCAUUCAAAACAUUUCAUAACAUGCUUUUCAAGAUGCAGUUUAGAACAAUUCAUAUCAUAUGGAAGAUGAGAAAGAUCAUAACAAGAGAGGGAUUCAUUAUAAGUCAUCCUCUCAAUUAAAUAUUCAUCCUUAAACACAUUCAUACAUACAUACAUACAUAUAUANNNNNNNNNNNNNNNNNNNNNNNNNNNNNNNNNNNNNNNNNNNNNNNNNNNNNNNNNNNNNNNNNNNNNNNNNNNNNNNNNNNNNNNNNNNNNNNNNNNNNNNNNNNNNNNNNNNNNNNNNNNNNNNNNNNNNNNNNAUUUUGAAAACCCACGGUUGAAUCUUGAGUUUCUUAAAGUUCUUGUUUGAACCUCUAGAGAGGAUUCUUGAUGAUUUUGAUGAAAAUAGGGUUAAGUUGCUCAAACAUACCCUAAAUCCUUUGUUUGGAUGAUUUUAAAGGCUAGGGAAAAGUCAAAAUUAUCCUUAACAACUCCUAAACAGAACUAGAAAUUUGAACUUAAAAACUCAAUUUUGGGUGCCACCGCAAUGCGCCACAAUCGCGGUGGUCCACUGGAAUUCGAUGAGUGGGAAAUUGGGUGCCUCCGCGACACGCCACCAUUGCGGAACCCCACUGGAAUUUGACAAUUGUCAAUUUGACCCUCUCCGCGAUGCGCUAGACACCAAAAUGACGAUGUUUACGACUGAAACCUUAAAUUAUUCAUAACUUCUUCAUCGAGGGUCCAUUUUAGAUAAAUCUUAUAUCGUUGGAAGACAUCGGAGUGUUAUAGAAAUAGGAUAAUCAGGCUUAAAGCAGUGAUCAAGGGAUAUUCUACAUAGGGAAGGUUAUUUAGGAUAAAAGUGAGCUAAUAUCAAAAUGGCCUAUGAUCCUUUCCUAACCCCUAUCCUUCAACCAAGGUAAGACUAACUGGGCAAGUUCUAGAUUUCAACAUACAACGAAAACUGAGUAAGAUCUCACACGCACUUGGAACACAAGUAUAUCACAAGCUACUACUCAUUCAGUUCAUGCAGCUGUUUAGCAAUGAUUACUGCGUCACUAAAACUAAUGCCAUACAAAGAUGCACAGUGGUCACAAUCAGAUGCAAUUCACACAGUUAAAUACUUAGUCCAUUGGAGAGGUGCUCAAAAAUCACAAAAAUAUAUUAAAUGCCUAAGGUACUUGUAUUUCUCCUAGUCAACUACAAAAUUUUACAACAAAUCACAAUACGUCUAAACAUGCCGGCUCUACUAGGAACAAGACUCUGGAGAAAAGAGACACGACAACAAAAAACAAAAGAGGACAUCAACACCCACAAGUAGUCCCACCCUCAACUUAUAAUCAUACAUUAUCCUCAAUGCGUCAAACCAAAAUAAGAGAUUCACAAAUAUACAUGUGGCACCAUGGAUACAAAGAUCUGAUGUCAAUCAUAUAAUACAAAUACAAAUAAUAAAAUACCUUGGGUUGCCUUCCAAGAAGCUCCUAAUUUAGUGUCGCAGCACGAUAUCAUUCAGUCAUCCUUUAUCCCUCCCCUUAGAUGAUUUACAUUGUCGGCCCAUCUUUCAAUCUUUACUCUUUUUAGGUCCAUUGGGCAAAGGUGAGGGCAUGAUAAGGAAUGUUCUAUCACGCCACUUCAAAGACUUGAACCGCUUGACCAAUUUUGCAUCAAACUUUCGUGUGGGCUCAUUAGGAAGUAGUGUGGAUCUUAAAAAGCCACUAAAUGGACAUUGAUAUUUAGGCUUCUUGUCUUUUAUGAUUGGGGUUGUGGUAUACCCUUUUGGAAAGAUAAACUCCAAAAUGUAAAAAUUUUCCUCCUCAUUUUCAAAAUUCAUCAUUUGCUUGGGUAACUCAACUUUCAUCAUAUCCACCAGGCAUAAUGUUGAAAAAUGGUUCGAAUGAGGACUAACUCUUACUUUCGGAGAAGCAUCCCUAUUAGUAUCUUUACCCCAAAAUGGACUAGAGUCUUCACAGGGAUUGUGCUUUAUUUCUUCUUUUGCCUCUAGCACUAUUUCCCCAAUCUUGGCAUCAUUCCUCAUGGUUGGUUCGGUUGGUUGGAAAAUCUCCAAGGGUUGAUCAACAUCAAGCUCAUCAUCAGUAUAGGAUUCUUGCUCCUCAUAUUCACACUCUUCGAUUAGUCUAAAUGAUUCCAUAAAUAAGAUAUCAUCUAAACAUAAUGUGGAAGAGUGCCUUAUAUGAUUGACCUCGAUAUUCAUCUCACCUAUCCUUUCUCUUUCCUUGUUAAAUUCCCUAAUGUCUUGACAUAUAUCACAUAUGAUAUCAUUCGUUACGUCCAUACGAUCCAACAUUAGUUGAAGCAUAGAUUCAAUGCCACUCUUUUCGGUGCUUCGUUCUUCCUUUUCUUGACCAAAAGACCUAUCAAAAUCAUAAGAAGAGGUAGAAUUUGGGUUCGCACAAUGGGGGAGAGGGCAUUUGGACAAUCACUCCAAUGUCUAUCUUGACCACCACAUACAGAACAAUCAUACUUCCUAUAGGAUGGAGAUAGUGCAUACAUCUCUCUCUGGGGAGCAUAUCUAUAGUUUUGCCAAAAGUGAGGUCCAUCACAAUAUGGACAUGGAUCAUCAAGAUAAGUUUUCCAACCACCAAGAUCAUGUUCAUUCCAUAGUUCCAUAGUAGUAAGUAAACUAAAAUAAAAAUCUACCUAACACAAGAAAAAAGUAAACUAAAAACAAAUAUUUACAAGUUUGAAUUCAAGCAAGUAGGCUAAAAUUCCGAACCAACUCAAUACGCCAAAUUGUUCUCCAGCAAUAGUAGCAUUUUCUGAUAAUGCUCGACUUACACAUCAAUUUAGUGCAAGGCGGUCAUCGUCAAUAUAUUUAUCCAACUUUAGAGUCGGGGCCGAAUUCACAGGGAACAAUGUGACUGGCGAUUAAACUAGUUUGAAACUAAAACUACAAGUUAAAUUCAAAAAAAUGAUACGAAAAGAUAAAAUGGGAUUUUUUGAUGAUUAGCAAAUAAUUGUUGGUCACUUUAGUUUCAGUGUUUAUAAUCAAGAGUUUAUGGAAAACCAAAAUUAUGUUCACUAUGGGUUUUGGUACUUGACAGAUGCUAAUAGUGAUUCAAGAUUCUCACGAUAGGUAGGAACAACAGAUUGUCUUUAUCGAAGUUAUGUCUAAAUGUCUCUCAACCUACUUAAGUAUUUAAUUACCUAAUCCUCUCAAACUUAGGGAAUUUAUAUUCACUGACUACACUUCACCUCAGGUUAAUUAACCUUGUUACAACGUCAAUAAUUAAACGGAAGGUUGGUAGCUUCCAAGUCCCUGUCAAUAAUUCACUUCCUACUAUAGUUGAUUUCUUAUCUGAAGCAACUCAAAGCAGGUGUUAUUUAUCGCUUGCAACCAAGAGACAAUAAUUAAAACCUCAGAAUUAUCAAGGAGUCCUAUUACCUUUAGAAUCUUGAACACUUAGCAACUUACCAAGACCUAACCCAUAGAUCCCAUAAUUUGGGUUAAAUGGAUUUAGCCACGCAUAAUGUAAUAAUCGAUACAACAAGUUGAAUUCAUAAUUUGAAAGAUAAGGUUAAUAGCAAUGAGUGUUUCUCAUUAUAGAUCAAAGUAGAAAUCCCAAAGUAAUGAUUUAAAAUCUCUUCAAAUUAAUUUCUUAUUUCAAGCCAAGAAACUAGAGAGAGAAAAUAACAAAAAUAUGUGUCUCAAAACUCAGGUUCAGAACCCUUCAGAAAACCCUAAACAAGGCUUUAAAUAUUUCACCCUAAUUAUGGAAACAAAUUAAUAAAAUUUAGAAAUUUCUCGAAUUAGGUGAUGCCAUUUGUGAUAGCCUAUUAGAAGGAUGACGACUUAUCACAAAUGUCGUCAGCUUCCUUUAUGCUUUUGGUACUCGCUACCUAACACUGAUGACAAAUGGUGAUGCCCUAUCAGCUCCUUGACGACCUAUCACAAAUGUCGUCAAGGCUUUUCCUCAGCUCUUAUGGUCUUCCUUAGGCUGACGGUAAUCUUGAUGACUUAUCAGCUCCUUGACGUUCCAUCACAAAAUAUCAUCACAGAUUUUAACUUAGGCUAAUUCUCUGUCUACUACUGACGAUGAAGCUAAUAGCUUAUCACAGGGAUGACCACUUAUCACAAAUGUUGUCAGCCAUACUUUGCCUUUAUUUACUUUAGAUUUCAGCUCAUUUGCUUCCAUUCUUGUUGGUUCUCUAGCAUCUUAGCUUCUACUGCAAAAUCAAACAUAAAGCAAUCAAAAACAACAAAAGUUGCUUAAGACUUCACAAUUAUUCUUAGUUAAAAGCCUCAAAUAUGUUAGCAUUAGCUCACACAUCAUGGGUGUUUCAGGCUGGAAUAUCAUUAUCAACCCCUGCAAUCUCUGGCACAUUAGCAGCUCAGCACAACUCUAUGAUAAGAUAAGGGAAAGGAUAAGCAGUAUCAGUUCUUGACAUUCUAAUCUUCAUCUCAUCAGUAAUGAUAAUAAUCUCUCAAAAAUAGUUGUGUUGUUAAGUCAAGAAGUAAAGAGAGAAAAUAUCAAAAUAUGUUGUCCAAAACUCAAGGUGUCGACCUUGUGCGAAAUAAUAAUAAUACUAAUAAUAAUAAUAAUGUGUAGAAAACCCUAAAACAAAACUUUAAAUAGUUUACCCUAAAUAAGGAAAUAAAUUAAUAAAAAUCAAAAAUCCUUUGGAUUAGCUGACGACAUUUGUGAUAGCUUAUCAGGAAGCUGACGACUUAUCACAAAUGUCGUCAGCUUCUUCUUUAGUUUUGGCUCUUCCUGAUUAAGGCUAAAAACAAACUUGAUAACCUAUCAGCUACAUGACGGCCUAUCACAAAAUGUCUUCAAGGCGUUGCUUCAGUUCUCCUUGGCUGCCUUAGGCUGACGACAUUCUUGAUAACUUAUCAGACCCUUGACGGCUUAUGACAAAAUGUCGUCACAACUUCCACUUUAGGCCAAUUCUCUGUCUACCGAUGACGACCAACCUGAUAGCUUAUCACAGGGCUGACGACUUAUCACAAAUGUCGUCAGCCACGCUUGUCUUCAGAUUUCUUUAAAUUUCAACUUCUUUGCUUCAUUUCAUGUUGGUUCUCUAUCAUAUCAGCUUAAACAGCAAAAUCAAACAUAAAAUAAUCAAAAAUAACUAAAUUUUCUCAAGACCUUGUAAUUAUUUAGAGUUAAAAGCCUCAAAUGUGUUAGCAUAUGCUCACACAUCAGACUCCCAAUCACUUUUUAACGUGAUCAAGUAUUAUCUAAGACACGACGUAGUCGUAGAUCAUUGAUAUAACCCAAAAUGGAGAAGAAAUAAAAUAAAAUAAAAUAAAAUAAAUAUUAAUCAUCCAAGCACUAAAGAACGACUGCUUAUCAUGACAAGAGAGUAGACUUGUGUGAUGACCAUAAGGAAGAGUGGUGGUUGUCACUUGUGAGUUUUCAAUGGACAAGUAGUGUAUGAGAACAAGGAGUCCUUCUCAACAGAGACACUUGUUCUAGGUAAUUGGUUGUUUCUACCUUUGCCCUCCCCUAUACCUAUUUGAUUAAGUGUCCAAUUAUUUUGUAAUCUCAUAUUAUGAUAUUUGGUAACUUUACAUUGCGUGAAUGAUGUUUAUUUAUUUUAUUUCUCCCUUUUUUUAAUCUCACCUCCUUUGAAAAUAGACUCAGUUGAUCGAUACAUGACUAAUAAUAUAGUCUGGUAUAGAUAAAGCUAUUUGUCUAUAAUAUACUCAAUAUAUCAUGACAGGUCUAUUUUCAAAAGAAGUGAGAUUAAAAAAAGGGAGAAAUAAAAUAAAAUAAAAUAAAUAAACAUCAUUCACUCAAUGUAAAGUUACCAAAUAUCAUAAUAUGAAAUUACAAAAUAAUUGGACACUCGAUCAAAUGGGUAUAGGGGAGGACAAUGGUAGUAACAACCAAUUACCUAGAACAAGCGUCCCUGUUGAGAAGGACUCCUUGUUCUCAUACACUACUUGUCCAUUGAACACUCACAAGUGACAACCUCCACUCUUCCUUAUGGUCAUCACACAAGCCUACUCUCUUAUCAUGAUAAGUAGUCGUUCUUUAGUGUUUGGAUGAUUAAUAUUUAUUUUAUUUUAUUCUAUUUUAUUUCUUCUCCAUUUUGGGUCAUGUCAAUGAUCUACGACUAUGUCGUGUCUUAGAUAAUACUUGAUCACGUCAAAAAGUGAUUGGGAGUCACAAUUGAUGCAUCCAAAUUUCUUUACAAUGUUUUAAUGGUAUUAAUUGACAUACUAUAAUUUUAUUUUAUUUAAUUUCUCCUUUUUUUAUAUUAUUUUAAGUUGUCCAUAUAUUCAGUAAGUUGAUCAUAGACAGUCUAAAAAGUCGAUAAUAAUUCAUAAUCUGAAUCGAUAAUAUGCCAAUACACAGGAUAAUCACCACUGACAUCAGUAUAAUUCAUACGUCACCCAGUCGAUUAUAGAAGACAUAAACAUUCUUUAGAAACCCUUUAAAGUAAAUGAUAAUCCAUUUAAAUUUUCUCCAACAGUACAAUUCUAACAGGUAGAAUUUUUCAACGGUCAAAUUUUGGUAGCCUUACUAUACUAAUUAAAGGGACCCUUUUGGACUCCUCCAUUUUCAUUUAUUCAUGACUUUCAAGUUUUGCAACAACAAUAACAAUGUCGCAGUCAUCUCAAACGUACAAAAGUUCUUAUAUUUGUCGUUGUGGUAAUCCUGCGGUGUUGAAAACAUCAUGAACCUAUAGAAAUCCGGAUAAAAAAUUCUACAGUUGGAAAGAUUUAUUUUUGUUUAAAUAAAAAUUUAUUUGUGUUCAUCUCAUAAUUCAAUUUACUAAUUUAUCCUCGUUAUUUUAGGACAAUGGUGGAUGCUCUUAUUUUCAAGUGGAUUUUCUUCGAUUUCGAGUGUCAAAAUUUUAAGGCAUUGCAAAGUUUGAAAUGUUCAAAAAGGCUUAGAUAUUCCGAAGAAAAUAGGGAUCUUCUAAUGAUAGUAUAUAGAGAAUCGGAACAAAAGAUUGAUCACUUAAAGGGAUUGUUGAAAGACGUCGAAAUUGAGAGGGAUCAACUUAAGCAUAAGUUAGUUAUGGCUAAAGAAAAAAAAAAGGGCAUGAAAAUUAUGGUGUAUGAUUUACUAUUAGUUUUAGCUUUUUGGAAAGGUGUAAUGGGGGUGUAGUGAGAUUGAAUGUAUUCUGAAUCUUUUAUUAAUCGACUACUUGUUACUUAUAUUAUAUAUGGUUUACCUUUUUCAUUCACCGACUACACAAUACUCUACUGUAUAUGCUUUACCUUUUAGUCAGAGUCUAUAAUCAAUGAUGAAAGUCAUGUAAAAACAAUGAUACGUUGAUUAUAUAAAAUGAAAAAUGUUUAUCAUAAACUAUAAAGGCAGUUUAGAAAAUAAAAUUAUUCAGCUCUACACAUCCCGAGCUGAAAAUUAAAAGUUAAGAUUGUCUAGUCUAAUAAAAAUAAUCAUCAGCCAUAAAUAAAAAUUAAACAUUGUCUAAACAUUCAACAUUUUCGUCUUCCACUUGCAUCUUGUCGAUGUCCUAAGUAAUUUCAUUAAGAAAUUCAUCCAAGUUCAAAAAUUCAUUCUCAUUUUUCAUCUCCGCGAUGCCUUCUUUUUCUGAUGCAUCAUUUUUUCCUUCUUUAUGCUCUUCUUCUCCCUCUUCUUUCUCUACUUCUUGUGAAUUCUUCUCUUCUAUUUUCUCUCCAUCUCUUUCAUUGUUUUAUUCUUCACAACCACUUUUUUCAUUUUUAUGAUCUUCAUCCUGUCUGUCUUCAUCAUGAUCCUCCUUCUCCACACCAGCCGACCCAUCAGCUUUGUUUUCUUCUUCACAAACAGCUUCUUUAUUUUUUCCUUCUUCUUUAUCUUCAUCGUCUUCAUCGAGAUUUUCCUUCUCUACAACAGCUACAACCUCAGGGAUCAUCAUCUCAUCAGCAUUGAUGGAGGUCUGUUCCAAAGCUGCUACCUCAAGGUGCACUUCUUUAAUGCCGCUGUCAUCGCGGACAGCCCUCGCCACUGAAUGCCGACUUUGCACCUGCACACCUGUAUUUUUAAGUAUUUACCAUUUAUAAUAAACUAAGAUAUCGGUUGAUUAAGAAUGGUAUAGAUUCUAUUAUUAUAAAUAAAAGGGAUUAAAUAAAAUAUGCAUCUUCUAUAAUAUAUAGUGCAGAUAUUACCUUCAGCUUCAUCUCUCUUCUUUUGCUUCUCCUUUUUCAGCUUUCCUCAGCCUCUCCUCUUUCAGAAAAUCAGUGAUGUCCUUGAUCGACUCCUCCAGCAUAAACACGCGCUCUUCCAGAUUUUCAAUUGUCGGUGUCUUUCCUGAUGCUCUCGGCUUACUUGUCCCCGCACCUUAAGUGACAUGCCUUGAAACAACAUUUCCAUCCAAAUUUCGGUCAUCAUCCCCAUCCUUACCAUCCUCCGAUGAGGUGAUGACAGUCACACCCUCCAGAUGGGCCUUCAAGCCAUCGAUGAUUGCGUUAUUCGAUUCAUCUGUGAAUGCUUUGAACUUUUUCAUGUAGUGCUGCUUUAUUUCAUGGACUGUUGGGAUAAGGUACGGGUGUACUCUCUACAUAUAAGUAGGCAAAUAUGAUUGAUUAGAAACACAAUAUUGGUAAAAUUAUUCAUCGGAAGAAAUAUUUCAUACCUUUGUGCUCCAUCCGUUCAAAUAUGGAUCACCUUCGAUUAGUUUAUUGUCUUUUGAGGUGUGUCAUCUUAGCAAUCGGGGAAUGGGCAGUGGGUCUUCAGUUGAUUUACCAUUUUCCCUGCCGAGCACGAAAAAGGCUUCGUAUUCCAAAUCUGUGAUCAAAAGAAAAACAAAAACAUAAAACUGAGAGUAAGUAUAUUAUAGAUACCAUAGAUGAAUUACAGUAUAUAAUAAACUACUUCAAUGGUUUAUAAUCAAAUAUCAUAAAUGCCUAAGAAAAUUCGUAGAGCGCGUACGAUGAAACUCCCUUUGUCUCAAAUAUUUUCUUCUGCCUACUGAAGUCUAUCCGCUUCUUUAGAUAGUCUAGAGUCAAGGCAAAUGACUUCUUACCCAAAGGGUAUCUCUCAAAGAAGCCCAAGUCAUCCACCAUCUUGAUGGUGUCUAUGUCCACAAUUUUUAACAAGUCGCAUGCAAGAAAUAUGCAGUGCACGAACCAAAUUAAGAAGCAUUUGAACUUAUUCUCCUUGUUCAGCCUCCCACCUCUAAUAAGUUUCAACAAUCGCUUCGCAUUUACACUCCUUUUUUUUGCAAUCUUUUUGAAAAAAGCUUCACCCUUCUCCAUCACUUUGACAUAUCUUGAAUCACGAGGAUAAUGCCAUAGUUUAAAUCCGUGAUUAGCGCAAACUCCUUCAGGACAAAACAUGCAGGCCUGUCAUUGAUGCUGAACCACUUUUCAUGCAGCUUCUUAUCCGGUUCAACUUGGCGCAGAAGUGUAUAGUGGACAAGUUGUCCGUUGAACUUAAUAUAUUCUGGCAGGUCCCAUAAACCACCAAAACAGGAAUUCUUAAACCUAGAUUUCAGACGUUGAUCUACCAUGACUUGUUUGAAUUCAUUAAACAUUUUAAAACGGGACCUAACGAAUAUCUUAGCUGGAAAUGAUCCGACAUCAUCUAGGACUGUGGCGAGGUCGUACCUCUCAACCGAAAUAAACCUUGCACAGUGGAGCAAGAUCAGUGCUUCCUUGUCUAUCCUAGCCUCAAUUUCUAUUUCCUCCUUCUCAUCUCGAGCCAAAGCUUCAACACCUUCCUCGCUGUAAUUUUUACUCUCCAAUUCGACUACUCGUUUUUUUCUUUUCUCAGACCUAUCAACUUCUACAACUUUGUGUUUGUUACCUCUAUCCAUUUUUUAUGAUCUACGGACAAAAACUAACAUUUCUCAGCUAUAACAACAAAUACAAUACCUAAUCGACCUAGCAGUCUAUUAACAUGGCAGCAGUUGCAGCACCAAAAAAGCUAAUUUACAGAACAAGUUUCUUCUAAAACAACUCCAUCACCAACAAGAACAUGCAUCUAAAUCACCAUUAUAUUGAACAAUAACAGGAAGGAACGCAGAUUUUAAGCACGUAAAUCAAGAAAAAUUGACAAAAAAAUCUCAAUGCAAUCGUUGAGGAAAGUUAAAAUCCAACAAAAACAAUGCACAAACAAAUCGAAUACCAACUUAAAAACAUAAAUUAUAAGUAAAAUCAAUCCCUAUUUUUUUCAAAAAAUUUUAAUUUACAGUAGAUACAAUACCUAAUCGACCUAGUAGUUUAUUAACCUGCCAGCAGUUGUAGCACCAAAAAAGUCAAUUUUCACAACAAGUUUCUUCCAAAACAACCCCCUCACCCACAAGAACAUGCAUCUAAAUCACCAUUAUAUUGAACAAAAUAGAAAGGAGCCUAGAUUUUUAUCACGCAAAUCGAGAAAAAGUGACAAAAAAAAUCUCAAUGCAAUCGUAGAGGAAAGUUAAAAUCCAACAAAAAUAAUGCACAAACAAAUCAAAUACCAACUUAAAAACACAAAAUAUAAGUGAAAUCAAGCCCCAUUUUAAAAAAAAAAAAUCAACUUUUUGAGUCAAAUUAUCAAAUAUGCAGUGAAGAAAUCCCUAACAUGAACAUGCUUCUACAACACCCUUACAUUAGAGAAAAGUUUUAACAAAAAUCACAUUUCUUGCCACAUUCCGACGAAAUUAGUGAAGAAAUUUCAACAUGAAAUCGCCAAGGAUAAUCGAUAUACACCAAUUAUCCGUCAAAAAUCAAGUAAAUACCAACUAAAAACGAUCACUUUCAGUGAAAUCAAGCCCCUUUUUCGAAAAAAUUUAAUUUAUUUGAACUCCAAUGACUUCACCCGCCACAAACGAGUUCGGAAAAAAAUAAAAAAAAAUUCAUCAAUAUGGAGCAUAAAUUAACCGGAACAAUAAUAUAACUUACCUGAAGUUGAAGAUCGAAGUUGGAGCUAAUUCACGCGAGCUCGAAAUUGAAAAUGGUGGAAAUGAGAGAUGAAUCGAUUGUUGUAAAGAGAGAGAAGAUGAGAGAAAAUUUAUUUUUUGUAUUUAAUGGAAGAGUAGGGUUAAAUAAGUAUUUAAUAAAUACAUAAGGGGUUCCAAAAAAUUUUAAAAAUACAUAAUGGGUGCCAAAAUAUUUUUUUAUUUUACACUUAAACCCAUGGCCCAUAAAAUCCUAAAAAAUUAGAAUUUGAUAAAAGAAGCUCUACUUUACAAAAUAAAUUUUCAAUGUGGACUUGUAGCUAAAUCUUCUCUAGACUCGUGAUGGCUGUUAUAUAAUAGUCCAUUUUGAAUCAAUUUUUUUUUUUAUGUCCAGCACGAUUCCAACAAAUUUUCAGUGUCAUUUCGACCAGCAGAUUCAUAAUCGAACUGAACUGCUAAUUCGAUUCGAUUUUUGCUAUCUCUUUCAUAAAAUAAAAUCGAAAAAUCGAAUCAAAAUUCCGAAAAACUGAACCGCCCCCCCUAAUGCACACUUCAUAGGACCACUAAGAAAAUCUAGGAUACCCACGUACUCCAUUAAUAAACUUUGCCUCCAAAAUCUAGGACCACAUAAAAAAAAACUAGGAUACCUACAUUCACACUAGCACUAUUUUUUUUUACCUCUCACCUAUUUUUUGUUGUAUAAAAUCACUACUUUUUUCGUCACAUUUUAUGGGACUUUUUUUCAUUAUUUAGUGACACUUCACUGUAUGUUAAAAAUAUAGGAGGAAAGGAACAAUUUUAAUUACGUAGUUUUCACAUGACACCACUUUAAUAAAUCUGGUAAGUGGCAACUAAUUCGUGAUCAUAGGUGCAAAAUCUAGGACGAAAGUGAUGAAGUUAAAAUAUUAUUUUAAUUAAUAUGCGAAAUCCACGCUUAUUAGAAUACAUAAUUAUACAUUUUGCAUCCACACAUAUUGGUGGACGUGCUCAAAACUUCAAGGAUAAGGACAGACAAUUCAAUGAAAACUCAGUCAUUAAUAUAAUCCAACACAAAAGGAUGAAUACUAUUGAAACUUUGAAAGCAAUUUGCCAAUGAUCCCAGCUGGAAAUCGUCCUUUUAUUUCAGCACGAUUGAUUUGUUGAUGUGAAUGUUAAAAUGAUGUUAUCCGAAUCUUUUCAUUUCAUUUUAGUUGGUCAUUUUUUAUUUUACACAACACUUAACAAAUUAUAAAUAAAAUAAUUAAUUUUAUUAAUUUAUCUUUUAUCCAUAUUGAUGGUUAUUGUUGGUGAAAUUACAAUAAACUUACAACUGAAAAUUACAAGUGAAGAAAAUAAAAAUAAUAUCUUCUUCUUCGGCUCAGGCGUGAAUAUCUCGCUCUCUUUAAGAAGAUUCAAACCCACUGCAGCAAAUGUUUCACCGGUCCAACAGUAAUCUUCUUGACUUAUCCCCUCCAGAAUACAAUAACCUUUUCUCAAAUAACAACUCAACAACUCUGGACAAGAGUUGAGUUCAAAGCUCCACAAAAAAGAACACCUCCCUUCAAAUAUUAAACUCUCUUUUUACUAACUUUUGUUAACUCUCUAUUAUCUUGUGUGUAUUCAAAAACCAUGCAAGACCACCUCUAUUUAUAGAAGAGGAAGUCUUCUAUGCAAUGAAUAAGAAUGAAUGGGUUAGUAAAGCUGAAACAUCAAAGGCCUUUAUAUUACAAAAGUUACAUGAGUAAUGAAUAGAAUAAUGGUAGAAAUUACAUGAGUUAUAAGAAACGUAUGUCCAUAUUCCUACCACAAACUCACAAAAUAAUUGUCAUAAAAUACAAGGAAGUAAAGAGGGAUACCAAUGCUCUUAGACGUUUUGGAGGCUGAACAAUCAGCCAUGCAGAUCGUGGUAUAUGGCAUCAAAAAGAAGGAAUAAUGCCAAUGAAUACUAAAGAACAUGUUGUUAGCCCAUAUGUUAUUGGGCCUUUAGUUUAUGGACCUUUAGGUUAUUGGCUAUGUAUAUAUAGCCUACUCUUGUUUUAGUUAGUUUUAUGCUUUUCAGAUUAUAUUGUAAACCUUAGCCUUUCUUCCCUUCAAUAAAGUUCUAUUAACAUGGUAUCAAAGCUAGUUCGAUCCAUGUCCUUUGAUUUUUUUGAGGUGCUGCUGUAUUCGUUUGCUCUUUUCGUUGGGUUUUUUGGUUGGAUUGAUUCGUUGCUGUCUUCGUUUGCUGUCUGGUAUUGUUCGUCUUUCGUUCUUUUGCUUGCUGCCAUUGUUGUUCGUUCGGAAUUGUUCAACCUAGGGUUUUGCAUCUUUUUGUUUUUUGAAUUGUUUGUGUGUUGCUGUGUUUACAAUGACUGGAAAGGAUGAUUCUCUCCAGUCCAUUAGUACUCAAUUAGAUGGUAAGAACUAUGCAUAUUGGAGUUAUGUCAUGAAGAAUUUUCUUCGUGGGAAGAAUAUGUGGGGUUAUAUCACUGGAGUAAAACCAAGACCUAUCGAUGAUAAAACUGAAAAUUUUGAUUUGUUGGUGGACUUAUGGGAAACUAAUAACUCCAAGAUUAUCACUUGGAUCAACAAUUCUGUAACUCAGUCAAUUGGUAUGCAAUUGGCUAAGUAUGACACAGCAAAGGAGGUCUGGGAUCAUUUGGAAAGACUGUACACUCAGUCUAAUUUUGCUAAGCAGUACCAGUUGGAGUAUGAUAUCCGUGCUCUUCAACAGCAUGAUCUCAGUAUUCAAGAUUUUUAUGCUGCCAUGUCGGAUUUGUGGGAUCAAUUGGCACUUACUGAAUCUGCAGAGUUAAAAGGUUUUGGGCCGUACAUUGCUAGACGGGAAGAGCAACGCUUGGUUCAGUUUUUGAUGGCACUACGUUCUGACUUUGAGGGCCUACGUGGAACAAUCCUUCAUCGAUCUCCCCUCCCUACUGUUGAUUCUGUGGUUCAUGAACUGAUUGCAGAGGAGACUCGUAUCAAGUCUCAAGUGGAUAAAGGGUCUAAAGUAACUACUACUCCUGUCGUGUUUGCUGCUUCAACUGAUCAGUCUAGGCCACCACGUACUCAGACUCGACAAUCUCCUAAAGUUGCAUUUGAUGAGUGUGCAUUCUGCAAACAGAAAAAUCAUUGGAAGGCUCAGUGUCCGUUGUUACUUAACAAGGUCAAACAGCCUCAAUCUGGGCAGCAACAGAAAUAUGGGCAGCAAAAGUAUCCGUCACGCCCAUCUGGUGCUCCUCCGUGGUCAUCUCGUCCUCCACAGUUCGCUGCUGCUGCACCAUCUGUAGAUGUUGAGUCUGUUAGCACUAUGCCACCUUCUGCGUUGGAUCCCCAGGUUUUCGAACAGUUCAGACAGUUCUUCGUUUCUAAUCCUACGGCCAUGUCAGCAUCUAUGUCUCAUUCGGGUUCAGUUUCUUCUAGUACCUCAGGUAUUCCUUCCUCCUUGUGGAUAUUGGAUUCUGGUGCGUCUCAUCACAUGUCCCCUCAUUUGUCAUCGUUUGGUUCUUUGUCACCCAUUUCACCAAUCUCUGUUAUGUCCGCGAGUGCUGUACCUAUGUCAGUCGAGGGUGUUGGUUCUGUUACUACCCCUCACAUUGUCCUCUCUGAUGUUUAUUACAUUCCCAAACUUGCUUUAAAUCUUGUUUCGGUCAGUCAGUUGUGUAAGGCUGGUAAUUGGGUGUUUUUUUCUGAUUCUGUUUGUGUUAUACAGGACCAACACACUCAGAGGGUGAUUGGGACCGGCCGUAGGUUGGGGGAACUCUAUGUCUUGGAGAAUCUCAAAGUGUCUGUAGUUGCUGCCUCUAGCAUAGAUUUAUCUUCUUUUCGUUUGAGUCCUUUGUCUUCUCAGUUUUAUCUUUGGCAUUCCAGAUUAGGACAUGUGUCAGUUUCACGUUUACGUUUUUUGGUCUCUAGUGGUGCUUUGGGUCAUGUGAACACUAGUGAUAUUUCAGAUUGUAGUGGUUGUAAACUGGCAAAAUUUUCUGCCUUACCGUUUAAUAAAAGUGUGUCUUAUUCUGUUGCUCCUUUUGAUAUUAUUCAUUCUGAUGUAUGGGGACCAGCGCCAGUAUCCACUAAGGGUGGAUCGACCUAUUAUGUUUCGUUUAUAGAUGACUAUACUCGUUAUACCUGGGUGUAUCUUAUGAAACGCAGAUCUGAUUUCUUUGGCAUUUACAACAACUUUAGAGCCCUUGUUAAAACACAACAUUCGGCUGUGAUAAAGUGUUUCAGGUGUGACUUAGGGGGUGAAUAUACCUCUAAUGACUUCACUCAGUUACUUGCCUCUGAUGGUACCAUACACCAGUCAUCUUGUACCGACACUCCUGAGCAGAACGGUCUGGCAGAAAGAAAACAUCGUCAUAUUGUUGAGACAGCACGCUCUUUACUUUUGUCUGCAGAGGUUCCUAGUAUUUUUUGGGGAGAAGCAGUUCUAACUGCUGUAUAUGUGAUUAAUCGUAUUCCUACUGCAUUGACUUCAGGGAUGUCUCCGUUUGAGAAACUAUAUGGUCACCCGCCGAAUUAUUCUGCAUUACGAGUUUUUGGAUGUACUUGCUUUGUUCUUCGUCCUCAUGUUGAACGAAAUAAGUUAGGGUCAAAAUCAGCUAUAUGUGUGUUUUUGGGGUAUGGUAUUGGACAAAAAGGAUAUCGUUGCUAUGAUCCUGUAAGUCAGAAAUUAUAUGUUUCACGACAUGUCACUUUUUUGGAACAUAUUCCUUUUUAUUCCAUUCCAGCUAAAACCCAUGAUGUGACAAAGUCAGAUAUUCGGCUUAUUGAUCCCUUUGGGAUUGACAUAGAGGUUCCAGUUCCGGAUUCAUCCAUGCCAUCUGGUGUGCCACCUGAUAGUGCUUCAGCCUCGCCUGUGCCUGAGUCUGCUCCUUCGACUGUUGAGACUGGAGACCCACCACCUCUGAGGAGGUCUACUCGACCUUGUAAGUCCACCAAACUGCCAGAUUUUUACUAUUCUACAUAUUCAGCCUCAUUUGCUUCCUUUAUUGCAAACAUACAUCAUUUGUCUGAACCUGAGUCGUAUAGAGAGGCUGUGUCUGAUCCUCUUUGGCAGAAUGCUAUGGCUGAGGAACUUGCUGCUCUUCAUCAUACACAUACAUGGGAUUUGGUUACUCUCCCACCUGGUAAGCAUGCGAUUGGUUGUCGAUGGGUGUAUAAGAUAAAAACAAAAUCUGAUGGGUCUGUUGAGCGAUACAAGGCAAGACUUGUGGCAAAAGGGUAUUCACAACAAUAUGGUAUGGAUUAUGAGGAGACUUUUUCCCCCGUAGCAAAGAUGACGACUGUUCGCACUAUGAUUGCUGUUGCAUCCGUUCGACAGUGGAAGAUAUUUCAGAUGGAUGUCAAGAAUGCUUUUCUGAAUGGUGAUCUCCACGCGGAAGUUUAUAUGACUCCUCCCCCAGGUAUUGACCACCAGCCAGGUGAAGUUUGUCGGCUUCGAAAAGCUUUAUAUGGUCUCAAACAAGCCCCUCGUGCUUGGUUUGAGAAAUUCUCCACUGUUAUUACUUCCCUUGGAUUUGUCCCGAGUAACCAUGAUUCAGCAUUGUUUGUUAGAUGUACAAGUGCAGGGCGAAUUCUAUUGUCCUUAUAUGUAGAUGAUAUGAUUAUUACUGGUGAUGAUCAUAGUGGUAUUGAGUUAUUGAAGCAUGAUUUGGCUCAUCGAUUUGCAAUGAAGGACUUGGGCUUGCUGCGUUAUUUUCUGGGUAUUGAGGUGGCUCAGUCUAAGAAAGGGUAUCUUCUUUCUCAGACUAAGUAUAUAUCUGACUUGUUUACACGGGCGCGUCUUUCUGACAACAGGACUGUAGAUACUCCCCUUGAAACCAAUGCACGUUACUCUCCUAGUGAUGGUGUUCCAUUAUCAGAUCCGAGUCUUUAUCGGACUAUUGUGGGUAGUUUGGUUUAUCUUACGGUUACUCGUCCAGAUAUAGCACAUGCAGUUCAUGUUGUUAGCCAGUUUGUUACUGCUCCUACUUCUGUGCACUGGGGAGCUGUACUUCGUAUUCUAAGGUAUCUUCGUGGCACUCAGUUUCAGAAUCUCUUGUUUCCCUCGACGUCAUCUCUCGAGUUGCGAGCCUAUAGUGAUGCUGAUUGGGAUGGAGAUCGCAAUGAUCGUAAAUCCACCACUGGUUUUUGUGUGUUUCUUGGAGACUCUUUAAUCUCGUGGAAGAGCAAGAAACAAGAUGUUGUCUCUAGAUCUUCCACGGAGGCUGAGUAUCGUGCUAUGGCUGUGACUACAUGUGAGAUUAUUUGGUUACGUUGGCUUCUUGCAGAUAUGGGGGUUCACAUUUCUAUGCCUACUCCCCUGCAUUGUGAUAACAAAAGUGCGGUACAAAUUGCAAAGAAUUCUGUCUUCCAUGAGCGUACGAAGCACAUUGAGAUUGAUUGUCACUUCACCCGUCAUCAUUUACAGCUCGGGACCAUAUCGCUUCCUUUUGUUCCAUCGUCUUUGCCGAUUGCUGACCUUUUUACGAAGGCUCAGUCGGCGUCUCGAUUUCGUUUUUUGUGUGACAAACUCUCAAUGCUUAUUGCUGUUGCAUUGUGAGUUUGAGGGGGGAUGUUAGCCCAUAUGUUAUUGGGCCUUUAGUUUAUGGACCUUUAGGUUAUUGGCUAUGUAUAUAUAGCCUACUCUUGUUUUAGUUAGUUUUAUGCUUUUCAGAUUAUAUUGUAAACCUUAGCCUUUCUUCCCUUCAAUAAAGUUCUAUUAACACAUGUAACAUCUCCAUAUUAAUGAAAUGUUACGGAAAUAAAAGUUAAGCCACCAACUCUUGGAGUUAUUACACACAUGAAACUCUAAAUUAAUGACAAAUGCUAGCAACGGAAUGAGUGAACUGUUAGAAGCAUAAUCUCCCAAAUAAACAAAUAUACAUAAUAAUAUUAUAUAAAAAUAAUAUUAAAAUGUUUAAUUCCAUCAGUUAUCAAGAUCAUUAAUGAAAAAUAUGCUCAUAUUAAUGGAACAACAUACUUCCUCCGUUCACUUUUACUUAUCACAUUUUGACUUGACAUACUCAUUAAGAAAAUAAUUAUUAACAUGGCUAUUUUACUAUUAUAUCCCUGUUAAUUGAUAUUUAUUAUUGUGUUGAAAUCAAUUUGAAGAAUAAACAAUUAAUAUUAAGGCUAAAAUAGAAAAAAAAAAUUAUCUUUAAUAAGUAACAAAUAAAAGCUAACAAAAGGAGUAGGACAUAUGAAUAGAUUUAGAACUUAUUUUAUUUAGGCUUUCAAAGAUUAUUAACUCGGGAGUAAAUGAAAUUUUUUAAAAUAUUUUUAUCUAAAUUUAGUAAUUAGGAAACAGUAAUUUGGGACACUUAUAUAUCAUAAGGCGGCCAACUAAAAUGUUACGGAUGAGGCAUUAUUUUUUUAAAAAAAAUUCAUAUAUCAUAUUAUAUUUUCUUGUUUCUGUAAAUUUAUGUUAUGGAAAAAAUUUCAUAUAUCAUAUUAUAUUUUCUUGUUUCUGUAAAUUUAUGUUAUGGACUUACUUGUGGAAGAAAAAUAAAUUAUUAUUUUCAAGUAAAAUAAAAUGAAGUAAUCAAACAUAUUUUUUUACUAUAGAAACUCGAGUGAGCGGACGGCUGACAAUUGUCAUUCUUGCUUUCAACUGUCCGGUUCUGAUUGAGGGUAUUUUAAUAAUUUUUUUAAUUUAAAUUAUUUAUUUUAUUUUUAAUAUAUUAUAUAUUUAAAAAUUGCGCAAAAAUAUUAGAAAUUACAAAAAUUAGCAAUUUAAAUUAUUCCAAGACAUAAAAAAUUUUGGUUGAUUUGAAAUUCUAUCAGUACAACAUAAUUUGGGAUAAAGAAAGUUAUAUAGUAUUUGAAAAUCUCAUAAAAAGUAAUAUAAAUCACAAUAAUAACAAAUUAAAAUAUUUGAAGGAUGUUUUAAAAAAUGGUUUUGACUUUUCAAAUUCUAUCAAUAUCAUAUAAAUUAAGAAAUUUCGUAGAAAGUCGUAUAAAUUAUAAUAAUUAACAACUAAAAUAUCUAAAAGACUACUACUUAACAAAUUUGAUUGACUUUCUCAAAUAUUCCAUCAGUGCAGACAAAUUAAGAGAAAAAGUAUAACAUAUGUAUCUGAAAAUUCUAUAAUGUAAAUCAAUAAUUAAUAACUUAAAAUAUUUUUAAAAAUCAUACAAAAAUUUGAAUAAUUUUUUUAAAUUCUUAUCUUUUCAAUAUAAAUUGAGAUAAAAAAAUAGCAUAAAUCGGACUCAUGCUACUGUGAGUUGGGGCUUUGAGCUGUAGGUAACAAAAGAGUUUGAGCUGUAGGUGACUCAAAUCUUAAUAAUUGAGUGAAGGUGACAGUUACUUUAUUAUGAAUUAAGAAAGUUGGAAAAUUUUCAAAAUAAGCCACAAGUUUUUAAAUUUACACUUUGAUCUAAAUGUUAGUUGAUAUAACGGGAAACGGAGGGGGAAAAGGCGCAUUUCUCUCUCUUCUCAUCCAUUGUUAUUUUCUUUCUCUUCGUGAUUUUUAUUGUUCAUUGCUUCUGUUGUUUUAUUCAUCAACUUCUGCUUCAUUACCAUCAUCUUAUACCUCUUCAUAAUCUUCUUGUUGAUCAUUUUUGUUGUUGUUGUUACCGCAACUGCUGCUCUUUGACCAAUUUCUUAGGUCAAAUUUUAUUUCGUACACCACUUUCAAAUUUGGCAUUUACUUGAUAGGAGACUUUGGUAAGUCAAAUUAUGCUUUUUAGUUGAAUUUUUCAUCUGGGUAACUGUUAGUGUGCUAUUUUUUAAACAAUAGCUAGCACGCGAAUAUGAAUGCAACAUAAGAGCCAUCUGUUUAAACAGAUCCAUCAUAUGUUGCACAAUAUAGAUAUUCUGUUGCAGCAGAAAACUCAUAUGUUGGAUUCAUGUUUAUGGUUGUAUAGUUCCCGUAAUAUGAAUCGAACAGAUAGGUAUUCUGUUGCGACAGAUUAGUAAUAUGUUCCAACAGACAAUUAAUAUGUUGCAUCAGAUUAGAAAUCUGUUCCAACAUACAAGUAAUCUAUUACAACAGAAUAUUUAUUUGUAUUUGUUGCAACAGAUUAUAAUUCUGUUGCAGCAGAUGGAUAAUUUAUUUCGAACAACACAAUACAACUCCUAUCACAAACCCAACAGAUAACCCGUAUGUUGAUCUUUUGCUAUUGAUACUGGAUUCAAAUUAUUCUUUAAUCGUAGACAUGUUUGUUGAGAAGAAGAAAUAGACAGAAUGAAAAUUAAAUAAGAAUUAAAACGUCAAAGUGGAUCAAAUAUAAUUUUUUUACUAAACAAAAAAAUAAAAAUACAUAGGUAAAAGAAAAAAAUAAUCUAAUUAUAAUUAUUAUUAUUAUUAUUAUUGUUGUUGUUGUUGUUGUUGUCAACCCGUCAAUCUUUAACCGGCAGCAGUAGUGCCCUCCUCAUCCUACGGAUCUCCCGCAGCAUCCUUACUCUGACGGCGGCCAACUCCCACUGUAGGUUAUGAACAUGCAUCUGCAGUUUCCGCACGGCGUCUUGUAAAAUAGCGACAUCCCACACUGGAUCAGUCAUAUUUAGAACACGCGUAAAUUGACAAAAACGCAAAAAUAAAAGUAAAGAAAUGAAUCCGAAAGUAAUACAACGUAUAUUUAUAUAAAAAAAAAUAAGAAAAAAACUUAUCAGAGAUAGGGAAAAGCUAAUAAGUACUUGAAGAGAAAGUAGUUGAAGGUGUAAUAUAAAAGACAAGAGCAAAAAAUAUAUAGAGUGUAGUAGAGUGAACAAGUAAAGAGGGACCUAUUUAUAAAUGAUUCAAUUUGAAUGAGUUAGGCAAAAAGGCGCAACUGUUCACUUACAUUUAUUAAGUACAUUCAAACUGGUCACUUUUUUAUUACUGUGGAAAGUUAAGACUUAGUUAGUUCUUUUCAGUAACCGUUUUUAUUGAGUUAUUACAACAAAUUAUAUAUCUGUUGCAUCAGAUAACACAUCCGUGACAACAGAUAUACCAUUUGUUACAACAAAUCGACAAUCUAUUACAUCAGAUAAUACAUCUGUUGCAACAUAUAUCUUUUUUAAUAAUCAUCAUAUCUUGAUCAUUAAUCCAAAUUUGGUGACUUUUUCAUUAUAUAAAUUAAAAAAAUAGAUUCAAAAACAAAAAUGUCAAAAACUCACUACUUGUCACCUAUUUAAAAAUCAAUUAUUCAAAUUUAUGUUAAGUCCCUCCUUUUCGUAUUAGUUAGACUUGGCACACCCAUUAAGAAAAAUAUUUAUUAGGGGUCUAUUUUACCAAAUUAGAUUUAUUAAUUAUACUUUGAAAAUAUAUAAAUUUAAAUAUAUAAAUCAACAAUCUGUUGCAUAAAAAAGGCGUGACUGUUCACUUCCAUUUAUUAAUUACAUUCAAAUUGGUAAGUUUUUUAUUACUGUGGAAAGUUAUGACUUGAUAAGUUAUAACUUAAUUAUUUCUUUUCAGUAACCAUUUUUAUUGAGUUGUGGCAACAGAUUAUAUAUUUGUUGCAUCAGGUAACCCAUAUGUGACAACAGAUAUAUCAUUUGUUGCAACAAAUCGAUAAUUUGUUGCAUCAGAUAAUAUAUCUGUUACAACAUAUAUCUUUUUUAAUAAUCAUCAUAUCUGUAUUUUUUAAUCCAAAUUUGGUGAAUUUUUUUAUUAUAUAAAUUUAAAAAAUAAAAUAAAAAUGUCAAAAAGUACUACUUGUCGCUUAUUCCCUUCGUUUCAUAUUAGAAAACUUGGCACACCUAUUAAGAAAAAUAUUUAUUAGGGAUCUAUUUUACCAAAUUAUCUUUAUUAAUUAUGCUUUGAAAAUAUAUAAAUUUGAAUAUAUAAAUCGACAAUCUGUUGUAUAAAACAGGCGCGACCGUUCACCUCCAUUUAUUAAUUACAUUCAAGCUAGUGACUUUUUGAUUACUGGAAAAAGUUAUGACUUAAUUAAAUCAAGCUGCUGACCGACUUUGAUUAUUGUGAUAAGUCUUAUUAUUAUUAAUUAGUUCUUUUUAGUAACUGAUUUUAUUGAGUUAUGGCAACAGAUUAUAUAUUUGUUGCAUCAGAUAACCCAUCUGUGACAACAGAUAAUCUAUAUGUUGCAACAAAUCGACAAUCUGUUGCAUCAGAUAAUCUAUUUAUUGCACAUAUAAGCUAUCUUUUUUAUAAUCAUCAUAUCUUUAAUCCAAAUUUGGUGACUUUUUUAUUAUAUAAAUUAAAAAAAUGAAUUUAAAAACAAAUAUGUCAAAAAGUCAUGAUCAAUUAUUAAAAUUAAAUAACCGUUCUUUUACAGUCAGAAAUUGUGUUUAUCAUUUAUUUCCUUAUUUUACGAAUCAUUUUUUUCAUAUGAAAUAAUCGAAAAGUCAUGACUAAGGACUUUUCACCCUCUCAAUAAUAAUAAUAACGCUUUUUUUUAUUAAUAAUCGCCCGUUGCAAUAAACGAUCCAUCUGUCGCAAUAGAUUAACCAUCUGUUGCAACAUAUGGUUCAUCCGUUGCCACAAAUGCUCAAUCCCUACCUCCAACCGUCAACUUAUUGAGAAUAAGAAAUAGACAGAAUAAAAAUUAAAUAUUACAUAAGAAUUAAAAAUCCAAAGUCGACCGGGAUUUUUGAAUCCCUUAGGUAGAUCCGAUAUAAAAAAGAAAAAUACAUACGCUAAAAGGAAAAACAUAACCUAUUUAUUAUUACUACUACUACUACUACUAUUAUUAUUAUUAUUAUCAUUAUCAUUAUUAUUAUUAUUAUUAUUAUUAUUAUUAUUAUUAUUAUUAUUAUUAUUAUAAGUAUUACUAUUACUACUUUCAUUUCUGAAAGACAAUUUUCAUCCGGAAGCAGCAGGACCCUCCUCAGUCUUGCUCUGAAGUCGGCCAAAUCCCUAUGGAGUUCAUCAUACUACCUUCGAAGUUCCCGGAAGGACUCGAUAUAAAUCUUCUUACACGAAUCUGGAUCAGCCAUAUUUGGAAGUGUAGUAAUAGAAUGAACGAGUAAGAAGGAACCUAUUUAUAAAGAAAGGGGUUAGUCAAAAAGCCAUGACUGUUCAUCCCUUAAUUAAAUAAAACUGGUGACUUUUGAAAUAUGUAAAUUAAGAAAACGGAUCUAAACAAACAUUUUAUCGUUAUUGUAUUUCAAAAAGAAAAAAAAUUGCUUUAAAAUAAAUCUAACAGAUGGGUAAUUUAUUUUAAAAUACAUUCUAUCUGUUAGAUAAUUUACAAAAUAUUGAAAUUUUUGUAACAGAUGUAUAUAUCUGUUUGUUUUUUAGAACAGAUAAGUCAUAUGUUGCAACAGAUUGAUCAUCUGUCGUAACAGAUGUCUAUAACUGUUUGAUAAUUUUAACAGGUUAGUCAUCGGGAGGUAAGCCAUAGAUGGGCUAGGAAGAAUAAGGUGCGCGCAGAUGGAUGUAUCCACUUUCGUGUGUGGGAGUUAUGUAUUACUGAUAAGGUCAUCGGGACAACACACAUAAAUUACAAUGAUUUUGUGAAUGCAGUUUAUAACCGAUUCGGCAUUUGAUCAUUCAAACAAGAUCUUGCAUUAUCAGUUAAGUUUUAUAGGUUUGAAUUGAUGAGGCAGAGGGGCCCAUGAAGAUGGUGUCGAUACCCUGUUAUGAAUUAAUGACGGUUGUUGCUCAUAUUUAUGUGUGUAAAGUGUUGAGAAGGGACCAAUAUUUGGUGUCAUUGUAGAGAUCCAAUAGCGAUUGAACUUAACUUUAAGCGUGCAUUGGACUCUUAGAAGGCCUUCGAAGCCUCGGACUGCAUCAAACAAGAACGAAAAACCAACAAAAGUCCCCCUCGCCCAAAUUUAUAUGAAAAGUUUGUUCGAGAAGAUGAUUAUACAUCAGAAGGAGCCGGAUAAGAAGACCUGAGAGUGAAAGGGGAGUUGAUGAAAGACUAUAUUAUCUAAGAGUUAAUUGAAGAGGAGACAUAGGAUAUGAGGGAUUUUGUAUUGAAUCUGGCCAAUGAAGCUGACUUAAAACAUGAGAAAUUUUAAUCAAGUGCAAAUAUGAAAUUGUAUCCAGUAAUGAAAAUCUGUCUGUCGUCUUUCUCAAAGAUAAAUACUGCAGCUUGGCACUUUGCUAGAGGAGCUACGACUAAGAAGCGUGGUCAGAAUGAUCACCUACAUAGAAAAUAGCAUAACACCAUGAAAGUAACUUUGCGGGCACCGAGGGCUUAAAUGAUGUACAGUAAGUCAAGAAAACUCGUGCCAAGAAUAGCUAAAGCUAAAAUAGGGAAUCAAGUGAAGGCGGUAAUUUCUGAAUUUUAAAUUACAUCCCAUGCCUUCUAGUUUGUGUUUUCGAUUAGGUCCACGGUUGUUGACUUGAUUGGAACCACAAACAAGACUGAAAGGCAGAUUGAGCAUCAUUACUUCCUUAGAAAUAUGGAUAUAAUUGAUUGUGUUUUUUAUCCUUAGCAUUCUUUCAACAUAUCUUGGAGAAGAUUAGAGACUUGUUAUAGUAUGUGAAUCCCGAUAAUUUUCAAGCUUGCCUCCAGCUUGCGGAUUCGAUAUUCAAGCUUUUAUCAUUGCCGUCUUUUAGAUUUGUAUAGAGUUCCUAGUCUUUUGUGAGCUCGUCGAUGAGGAACACUUUAUUCGAAGUUGUGUCAUUGUAAAAGGCCUUCAGAACACUUUCUUCAAAAAGCUUAAAUGAUACAUGGAGGGUCGCUGUGUUUAUGUUACGAUAAAACGUGUUGAUGCACACUCAAGUAGUGGUCCCAACAGUUGAACAGCUAACUUUUAUCUAAGGUUGCUCAAUGCACCUUGCUCAACCAACCUUCAAAGGAUUUGAUAAAUUAAUUAGCCUAGAAUUAUGAAAGGUGAUAUUGAGAGAUUACUAGUGAUGCCUUCUGAAGACUUUCGCUGUCAGCAGAGUCCCCUUUUUAUUUUUGGAUACACUUUUAUAUUUACACUUGAUUCAAAUUUCUCAUGUUCCAAGUCAUCUUCAUCGGCUAGAUUCGCUACAAAUUCCCUCCUAUCCUAUGUUUCCUCUUCAAUUAGCUCUCAGAUGAUAUAGUUUUUCAUCAACUCCCCUUUUCCCACGUAGGUAUUCUCCUAUCACACCUUCUGGCGUAUAAUUAUCACCCUGAGCAACCCAACCAUAUAAAUUUGGGCUAGGGCAAUGACUAUAUUGGUUUUUUGUUCUUGUUAGAUGUAGUGCUAGGUUUCAAAGGCCUUUUUAGAGUCCAAUGCACCCUAAAAGUUAGUCCAAUCGCUAUUGAAUCUAUCUAUUUACAAUGCCACCAAAAGUCGAUCCCUUCACAAAGAUUGACACAUAAACAUGAGCAACAACCAUCGUUAAAUCUUAACAGGGUAUGAGAACCAUAUACAUGGUCCCUCAGCCUUAUCAGUUCGAAUCUAUAAAACUUAACUAUAAAAUUGCAGAUAUCUUGUUUGAAUGACCAAUGCCUAAUCAAUUUAAAAUAGCAUUCACAAAAUCAAUGUACUCUAUGGUGUAUUUUUCACAAGGUCUACAAAAUAUUAUGUAGUAGUUAUAUUAUUGCUCAUCUAACACGCUAUCUUGGUCAUUUUUCUGCCUUAUCUCUCCAAUUUAUGCAAUGAAUCAUUGUUUCCCUUGUUUAUCGUUCCCAUCUAAUGAAAAGCUAUAAAAAAAUAUUUGUUCAAAAGAAAAACUGCUGGUAUACGCAAACCAAAUACUUUCUUUUCUGAAACACAUCGACUGGCCAUCGGGUGGACAUAUGAAAGGACGUCAUCUGUAGGUCUAUAAAUACAAGGUCUAUUUCUACGUAACCCUUCACUUGUCUCUAAACCCAAAAUAUCAUAAACCCUCUUCUUCUUUUUCUUCACCAAAAACUAAAAUCAUGCCUGGUUGUAGAAUUGCCCUUCGCCCAUUCAUACGAGUUCCACCUCGUACCUAUGAUCUGCUGCUGCUUCGGAAUGACUUUGACCAUCUUUUUCAUGGAUUGGGAGAAGAUCGACGAUACUCGAAGCGUGAGCUUUGCUGAAUUGCUCAUUUUCUCCGAACAAUUAUGGAGCGUCUUGGAAUGAACAAGAAUGACUACAUCACCCCCCCCACACACACACACACACACAUACACACACACCAUCUCAAUAAUUUAGUUUACUUUGUUAUUUUAGUUUAUGUUUUAAAGUUUUUUUGGCAUGUUAAUUGCUGAAGAAGCUUUCUUGUAGGAUCUUGUUAGAAGAAAGCUUCUUCUAUUUUUUCCUUUUUGCUUUUAAUUUUAUUAUGUAAUGCAAUGAACAAUUUUAAUAUAAGUAUGUUUCAGUUUGUUUGAACAUUACGUUUACCAUCUUUGUUGUAAUCCCUUAUUUUUUUUAUGUGGUGGUUACUCUUCUGUACAGACAAAAACUCGAAUCAAAUAUGUAUGCCUUUUCAAUUUACAGUACUGUAGCUUGACUAAUUUCCUGAAGAGUAAAAAGUACUAUAUAGUCUAUCAUCGAUUGUAUACUCAGUAUUCCAUUGACUCUACAUAUUCGUCGAUCAUAGACUAUGUGAAUUGAUGGGUCAUCUGUUAAAUUAAAACAAACAAUAACAGAUUAUUAAAAAAUAAUUUAAUUCAAAAAGAUUUAAACAGAUUAUGACGUGUUUUGUGGCUGGUUGAAGAAAAUAAUUAAAUUAAAAAUGAUUUAAAUAGAUAAUCAAUCACAAUUUAAUUAUUUUAAAUAUUUUAAGUUGUUGAUUGUUGUAAUUUAUAAUACUUAUUUAUGUAAUUUUUAAAUAAUAUAUGUUACGCUCCUUGUCCAAACUUUUGUAACGUUAAUAGUUAAUUAUAUUUUUAACUAUUUUAAUUUAAGUGGCAAUGAUAUAAUUUCGAGAGUCAACCAAAUAUUUUAUAUCUUUUUUAUUUUUUUUAAAGUUGUUAAUUAUUAAUCUAUAAUACUUUUUAUGUAUUUUUUGAAAUAUAUAAAAGAUUAAAUUUUUUAUGAUAUUUUAAGUUGUCAAAAUAUUGUAAUUUAUAAUAUUUUUUAUGUAAUUUUCAAAUAAUAUGUGUUACUCUUUUUAUCUAAACUUUAUUGGCAUUAAUAGUCAAUUAUAUUUUUAAAAUAAUUUAAGUGUGAUUUAUAAUACUUUGUUUACACUCCAAUUUAAAUAUCACUAAUAUAAUUUUAAGAGUCAGCCAAAUAUUUUAUACCUUCUAAAUUUUUAAGUUAUUAAUUAUUGUGAUUUAUAGAAAUUUUUUCGUAAUUUUUUUGAAACACAUAACAAAUUAAAAGAAAUAAGACAAACAAAUUAAAAUGGAUGAAAAAAUGAAGGCAAGGGAAAAGAUCAAUGAAGUUGUGCCAAAGUAGACAAAUUGAUCUUUAAAAUUUUUAAGCUGUUAAUUAUUGUGAUUUAUAAUAUUUUUUUAUGUAUUUUUUUGAAAUAUAAUAAAAGAUUAAUUUUUUUUAGAUAUUUUAAUUGUUAACUAUUGUAAUUUAUAAUAAUUUUUUAUGUAAUUUUCAAAUAAUAUAUAUUACUCUUCUUGUCCAAAAUUUUGUGACUUUGAUAGUCAAUUAUACUUUUUAAAUAAUUUAAUAAUUUAAUUAUUAUAAUUUAUAAUACUCUUUCUUCAAUUCCAAUUUAAGUGACACAAUGGUUAGAUGACCAUAAUAAUUAAUAAGGGGUGAUAUAAUAAAAUCACGAUUGAAGCAACUAAACAGAGAUAUCUUAAAUGACUUACAAUAACUAAUUAAAAGUGAUAUAGCAAAAUUACUAUAAAAAAAUACUUGUGAAAAAAAUGUAAGCGGGACUCAUAUAUGACGUCAAGUAAAUUUAGAAUUAAAUAUUAUUAUUUUUUAAUACUUUGAUGACAUAUAAUAAUUAAUUAAGAAAAAUAUAGUAAAAUUAUGGUUGAAACAGUUGAAGCGAAUAUGUCAUUAAUAUUUAUUUUAUUUUUAAUUAAAUAUUAUUAAUUUUUUACUAUAUAAAUAACAUAUAAUAAUUAAUUAAGAGUGAUAUAAAAAAUUACAAAGCAAGCAGCUGAAUUAUCGGCACAGAGAACAACCCGAACAUAUCAUAAAUAUUUAUUUUAUUUUUUAAUUAAAUAUUAUUAAUUUUUAAUAUAUAAAUAAUAUAUAAUAAUUAAUUAAAAAUAAUAUAAUAAAAUUACGAAGUAAGCAGAAUACAACCCGAAGCUCCUCAAACUCCGCAUAUUAGUUGAAAGAAUUUAACUAAUAUAAACGACGUGGACCAUCAGUUAGAUUGCUAGUUUUAUUAUAAAAUAUAAACGACGAUGACACAUUUGUCUUAUCGCAAGCCUUAUUAUAUAUGAAAAUAACGUCCACGAAUAUCUUCUCUCUCUAUGUCUUUUUCAUACAACUAUUUUUUUGUUUUUGUUUUUGGUUCUUUGCUAUGAUGAGUCGUAAUUGAAAAAAAUGUAUAAAAAAAAAAAGGAAGGAAGAAAUGUAACUUGAUUUUAGACUUUUGCCUUAUAAAGUCUUAGGGCAUGAUGAUUUACAUUUCAUGCUAGGCCAUACGAUUUUUAUUCGUCUAUGCGUCAAUCCCUCUCUUUUGGUUUAGUUUCAUCUUUCAUCAUCUUAUAAACAUCACUUAUUCAUUAAAUACUAAUGUGUAUUAGAUACAAUUUUCUAGAUAUCUCUCCUAUUUUGAUGGACAUUUUCACUUUUCUUUACUAUCUAAUUUAUUAUUUUUAAGGAAAUAAUGUGCUGUGAUUUGAGUGUUCCAAUUCAAUGAUAAGAUUAUAACAGUCUCGUUCUUCAUAUUUUAUCAUAGUUAAAGUUAGGCUUUCUGACAUCGUAAAAUGACAAUAAAUGAAGUACACCAUGAACAAGAUGCAUGCAUUUUCUGUAUACAUAACAAAUAAGGAUAAAAAUCUGAANNNNNNNNNNNNNNNNNNNNNNAAGGAUGUUGGCCACAUCAGCUUCCUCGUUCCAAGAAAUAUGUUUUUUUUUUUUUAACCUUCUUGUUUAUGUGAAAACUAGUAGCUAUGGGGAUUAUGGUUUUGAUAAUCGAUCUAUGAACCAGGAUAAGGGUGUCAAGUGGGCCGGCCUGAUCCGGCCUUCGUAACUAACUCGGCCCAGUAAGUCCUAGGGCUUUAGGGUUUCGGGUUUCGGGUCAGUUAUUUUUUUAAAAUGGGCCCAAUUAAUUUGGCCCGGACCAAGUUCGGUUUAGGCUUGUCGAUUAACCGGCCCAGUUUGAAUACCUUUUUAUUAAAAAAUAAGAAAAUUAAAAAAAUUGGGAUUUUGGGCCAAACUAGCCGUUGGUCCAACGGCUAUAUAGCCGUUUUUGGGUCCAAACGGCUAGUUUGGGCCCAUUUAUUAAAAAAAAAAAAUUGUAACUUCAAAAAAUAUUUUUUAAUCCAAAAAAAAACUCUAUAAAUACCCUACAACUUCAAAUCAUUUUUCACACAAUUUUUCACUCUCUCAAAUCUCAAUUCUCAAUUCUCAAAUAUUCAAUACAUUUAAUUUCUUAAAGUGUUCACUUUAAUUUUUUAAUUUUUCGUUUACAAAGUACGAGCGAAAGUUUCUAAAGUCGUAACCUUCGGAUACUUUCAAAAUUUGGUAUUGUCGUUCCAUCUCUUAUGUUUAACUUUUAUUUAUUGNNNNNNNNNNNNNNNNNNNNNNNNNNNNNNNNNNNNNNNNNNNNNNNNNNNNNNNNNNNNNNNNNNNNNNNNNNNNNNNNNNNNNNNNNNNNNNNNNNNNNNNNNNNNNNNNNNNNNNNNNNNNNNNNNNNNNNNNNNNNNNNNNNNNNNNNNNNNNNNNNNNNNNNNNNNNNNNNNNNNNNNNNNNNNNNNNNNNNNNNNNNNNNNNNNNNNNNNNNNNNNNNNNNNNNNNNNNNNNNNNNNNNNNNNNNNNNNNNNNNNNNNNNNNNNNNNNNNNNNNNNNNNNNNNNNNNNNNNNNNNNNNNNNNNNNNNNNNNNNNNNNNNNNNNNNNNNNNNNNNNNNNNNNNNNNNNNNNNNNNNNNNNNNNNNNNNNNNNNNNNNNNNNNNNNNNNNNNNNNNNNNNNNNNNNNNNNNNNNNNNNNNNNNNNNNNNNNNNNNNNNNNNNNNNNNNNNNNNNNNNNNNNNNNNNNNNNNNNNNNNNNNNNNNNNNNNNNNNNNNNNNNNNNNNNNNNNNNNNNNNNNNNNNNNNNNNNNNNNNNNNNNNNNNNNNNNNNNNNNNNNNNNNNNNNNNNNNNNNNNNNNNNNNNNNNNNNNNNNNNNNNNNNNNNNNNNNNNNNNNNNNNNNNNNNNNNNNNNNNNNNNNNNNNNNNNNNNNNNNNNNNNNNNNNNNNNNNNNNNNNNNNNNNNNNNNNNNNNNNNNNNNNNNNNNNNNNNNNNNNNNNNNNNNNNNNNNNNNNNNNNNNNNNNNNNNNNNNNNNNNNNNNNNNNNNNNNNNNNNNNNNNNNNNNNNNNNNNNNNNNNNNNNNNNNNNNNNNNNNNNNNNNNNNNNNNNNNNNNNNNNNNNNNNNNNNNNNNNNNNNNNNNNNNNNNNNNNNNNNNNNNNNNNNNNNNNNNNNCAUUCACAAUAUUAUUUUUAUUUAGCAACAUUGUUAAAAAAUAUUCAAUGUAGAUUGUCCCUAACUUCUGAUCUUGAUCGUGCUGUAAAUAAAAAUGAUUAUUUAACCGUUACUUGUCAUUGGAUGGAUAGUAAUUUCGUGAUGCAAAAACGUAUUCUUACUUUUUUAUAUGAUGAAGAUCGUAAACAUGCUGGAUAAUUUAUUGAUGAUUCUAUUGUUAAAAUUGCCGGAUAUUAUGGUAUCGAAAAUAAAAUUUUAUGUAUUGUUUUUGAUAAUGCUUCUAAUAAUAAGACUACUGUAAAAAAAUUAAAAUCUACGCUAUCUCCGCCCUUGCCUGAAAUUUUUCAUAUUAAGUGUGCAUGUCAUAUAUAUAAUUUAAUUGUAAAAAAUGGUCUUGAGUUUUUUGAGCUUUAUAUUGAAAAAAUUCGUCUUGNNNNNNNNNNNNNNNNNNNNNNNNNNNNNNNNNNNNNNNNNNNNNNNNNNNNNNNNNNNNNNNNNNNNNNNNNNNNNNNNNNNNNNNNNNNNNNUAUAUCUAUAUAUAUUGUAAUGUAUAUAUAAUGUAGUAUAUUUUAUAAGUAGUAGUAUAUAUACAUUGAAUGGUGCGUAUACACGUGUAUAUAUCUUCUAUAGAAGUGUAUAUUUAACGUAUACAUGUGUAUAUGUUUUAUGAAUUAGUAUAUAAGUAUAUCUAUAUAUAUUGUAAUGUAUAUAUAUUGUAGUAUAUUUUAUAAGUAGUAGUAUAUAUACAUUGAAUGGUGCGUAUAUAUGAGUAAUUGACUAAUUGUGUAUAUGUGUAUAUAUUUUUUAAAUUCUAAUGUAGAAUAUACUAUAUAUAUAGUGUAUAUAUAUUAUUUAACGUAUUUAUAAUGUAUAUAGGUAGGUAUAUGUAAUGUAUAUUGAAAGAAAGUUUUUUUUUUUUUUAUAUAUUUUUGACCGGGUUUGAUCGGGUUGGAUUAAGUGGGCCGGGUUAGGGUGGAUUUUAAUUUUUUUACUGUUUGGCCCGGCCUCGCCCGACCCGUCUAGCGUCAAAACUGGCCCUUAACCGGCCCUCAACCCGGUUAAAAUAGAAGGGCCGGUUCCGGGUUGGCCCGACCCGACCCGUUUGACACCCAUAAACUAGGAUCAUGUUAACUGUGAAUCAGGUUCUUGAUUAUUGUGGGGCUGAUCAAUUUAGUUAUGUCACGUGCAACAAAGUAUUUUGUUUAAAUAAGAAAUGCACAAUCAGUGUAUGAAAACGAAUAUAUUAAUUAUGGUAAAGAAGUGUAUUGUAGCAGGCUUUUUUACAAGAAUUUAUUUGCACAAGGAAAAGUGAGUUGUAGCCUAAGGAAGGCAAACAAGCAAUAUAUACGCAACACUGUAAUCAAUUUGGCAGCGCCUUUUUGCACUCCACAGAUAUGGGCAAUCACAAAAGCAAGAAGGAGCAAGACAAAAGAAAAUCAACAAGUUUAAUAUCAAGCUAUUACCGGGCGGUAGUUUGGUGUUGAUUUUAGUUUUGCUUUAGAAGUUUUUUACUGAAUGUUGAGUGUUAGAAAUGAAGUGUUUGUGAGACGUUACAAUAAGAAGCGAGUUUAACUUUUUAGAGUACUGGUUAAAUAGUGUGUCAAAAAGCCAGAGUUAACCCUUGAGGUGAGGUACUCAAGUGAAUCCCUUAGAUUGUUGAGUCGUAAUCUAAAACAUUGAUGGUGUGAAGAUAGUGGAGAUUGGUGUUGAAAUCUCCUAGCAUAUUGUUUGUAUUUAGUUUAAUUUGCUUUUACUGUUUACUGCAUUUUUCUUAAUCAAGUUCCUAAUACGUGUGGUGGAGUUAGCCGUUUUAUCAUUUUAUGCUUAAUUUUCGUUUCAAUUUUCUUAUUUGAAUUUGACACAAGUUUAUGAAAUUAAAGAAAAUGUUUGAAUCUUGUAAUUUUAGACUAAAGAUACAUUAAAUGUAUCAAAAUAAAUUUUAAUCUUGAGAUCCUAAACAGGUCACAAAAAAGAAAAGAGAUAUUUUUUGUAUAAAAGUACGAAGAAAAGCAAGAAACAAAAUGACAAGUAAGAACUAAUAAGUUUAAUCAAUUUUGAUCCUUUUACUUGAGCUUAUUCGUACCACUUUGCCAGGAGGGAUAUUUUCUUUUUUGGUAAAUUUUGGACCACUCGGGUAUUAUUCUGAGUGAAUAUUUUUAUUAAUAAUCAAAGAAUCAAAAUAAAAAUAAAAAUAAAAGUAAGAGGAGUUAGGCUUUGCAAAUCUUAAUGAGGUCAAAGUCAAACCCUCGACUAAUACUAGCAAGCAUGUAAGAAAUAAAACUUGAAAGGGCCAAAUAUUUUAUCAUCACCAUAAUAUUUAUAACAUGCAUAUUCUAUAAUAAUAUUACAAAUGAAGAUACUAUCAGGAGGAAUAAAUGUAGUUGUUGGAGUGCAAAUUUUGUGUUUAACUAAUGUGUGAGGAUAUUAGAAUUCAGUGACGGAGUCAGAAUUUUUAUUGAAGGGUUCAAAAGUAAAUAUACGGACUAGUCGAAGGGAUUCAACAUCUACUAUGUAUACAUAAAAUUAUUUUUAAUAGUGUAAAAAUAAUAUACUUUUCCGUCGAAGAAAUUUCAGAUGAACCUCUAAUUACAAGAUGGAUCCGCCACUGCUAGAUCUAGUGCCAUCACUCUCUCUUUAAAAGAGAUAGAGAUGUAACAUGUCAUGCAUGUGACAUUACAUUACACAAAUGUUAGGAACCUGAGGUACAAUUAAUGUAACGGGCACACAAUUUUUGUCUUACGCUUAGCAUUAUUAACGAUUAAUUUCUUCGCUCUAAUGUCUUUUCCGUAGGAGUUAAUAAGAAAAAGAAAAAAUUACAGAAAUUAGCAUUCUUAAAACUAUAAUUAAAAUAAAUAGUAAUACUUUUUUAAAAUUAUAACUUAUAGCAAAAGUAGCAAUAUUUUACCCAUUUCAUAGUAAUAGGAGAAUAUGAAUUUUUUAGUUGUGCAGAUGUAUUUAUGAGUAAUACACAUAUAUUUGUAUAUGUAUUUAUAUACCAAUAUUUUACUAAAAUAUAAAUAUAAUUUAUUAUUUUUUAUAAUUAUAAAAUUGUUGCUAUAUAAGUUAUAAUUAAGGUUACAGAGUUGUUAUUUCUAAAAUUUUGCCAUAAGAAAAUUAUUUAUAUUCGAUCUAAUAAUGAAGACAAAUGUGGUGUCCCUUUACCCUAAUUGUAUGCUUGAUUACUUUCAAUAAUGUCAGCUAUAAGACAAAUAUGUUGUCCUUUUACCUUAAUUGUAUGUUUGAUUAUUUAUUUAUUUUUCCUUUUCAGUGAAUGUCACAUUACAUGUUAUACAUUUAUGUUUGGUUUAAAAAAUGAAUUUUGUAAAAAGACAGCUGAAUUUUGCAGGAUUUUACAUCCCCAAAACAAUUUUAAUUUAAUAUUAAUUAUUUUUAGGUGGAACUCAAUUUUUAAAAAUAAAUAUUGACCAUGCAUCAAUUAGUAAUUAAUACAUAUUAAUUUAAUAUAAAAUAUUCUUUUCCUUCAUACUUUUUCUCUUUUCUCUCUCCUAUUCACCUUCUUCCUCCCAUUUCACCUUCGCUCAAUCCCUCACUCCGUCAUUCUUUUUCUUUCUUUUUAUCCCUUGUUUAACCAAGCCCCCUCCCCUUCCACUGUUAAACUCACAAGACCUCCCCAUACUUAGCUUUAGGCUUUAAAAUUGAUAAUAAGAAUCACUCCACCAUUUUGUAUUAUUAUUAUAAUUGUAAUGAUUUUGAAAAACUUAAAGUAGAUAUAAUUUUAAAUUUCAUAUAACUUAUAUUUUAUACUCUCAUUUGAAAUGAAAAAUGAGUGAUCUUAUAGUUACGUGUGAAUUUCAUUUUUUGUGAUUUCACUAAAUUUUCGACUCAACUUUAAGGAUGAUUUCUUUCUUUAUUAUAAUUCAGUGACGGUCGAAAUUUUAUCAUUUUUUUCAUCGGAAAAUUCCUUUUCACAGUUAAAAAUGGUGGCUUACACAUGAUGCCUCUCCACUUUUCUUAUCACUUUGUCAUUUUAAUCAAAAAAUAAACACCGACUAAAAUAAAAUCCUCCAUCAUGAAAAUUGAGAUGAUUUCAUUGAGGGCUAUGUCCUUUGUUUUUCAAAGCUUCAACGUCAAUUGGAUUUGGGGAAGCUGGACAAGAUGGGUUUUAUAAAGAAUUUUAAAAAUUAUUUGUACUGACAUUUUAAAUUUGUUUUUGCCAUUAAUCUUUCUCCUUUACGUGCGCCAGUUACGUGAAUACAAACAUAGGCUGAAUUAUGUGUCAAAUUUGCUCAUUUACAAUGGUCAAUCUUUAUAACUUUUGUGGUGUACUAGGACGCUCGCAUACAUAAGGUGUCAUUCAGUAAAUUCGGAUAAUUUCAAUGAUAACUUUAUGUCUUUUCUCUCUUUUUUUAUUAAAAAAAAAAAAAGGAAUGAGGGCUUCGUUUUGCAAGACAAUGAAGAUGGUUAUAUUCACCACAAGAGUUGUGGUGAAGUGAUAUGAUAAGUACUUUGUUGUGAUGGAGUAGCUCCUUCAUUCUUAAUUAAAAAUCUCAAUUUCGAGUCCACUCCACCCCCACCCCACCCCACCCCACCCCCACUAGGUGCAAAUUUUCCUUUGCUAAGGAGCGUAUUAUCCCCAAUGUGAAACUUUCUUGUAUGAAUUCGAAUUUAGUCAAACUUCAAUAUGGGUAUCAAAUACUCUAUUGGAAACGCCCCACCAAAAAAGAGUGAUAUAUUUAUAGGAAAAAGGACAUGGGCUGUCCAUUUUUUAAAAAAAUGACCCACAUUUGAAAAGGUGGACAUGAGUUUUUUAGUUGGCUAAACUAAUUUCUUUUUUAGUCAUUUGGCUCAAUUGGUCACAUGCAGUCUCUAUACUCAAUUGAUACACUUUUAUACUAAAUUGAUACACUUUUAUACUAUAUUGAUACACUUUUUAAAAAAGAGAAAGAAUUUUUAUGUAAGUACGUGCAGUCCCUAUACCCAAUUGAUAUUCUUUUAUACCAUAUUAAUACACGUUUAUACUACAUUGAUACACUUACAGUGUCCAUAUACUCAAUUGAUACUCUCUUAUAUUAGAUUGAUACAUUUUUAGAAUGCAUGUAGAAAAUAUAUAGAGUCGUAUAAAAUAUAUAUAUAUAAAUAAUAAAUAUAGUUAAAAAUUGUAUAGAAUGUGUAUAAAAAUGCUAUAAUUAUUAUAUAGAAUAUGUAUAUGUAUAGAAACUGUAUCAUUAUUAUAUAUAAAUAUAUAUCUUUAACAAUUGUAUUUUAUAAAUAUGUAUAAUUCAUGUCACUUUAUUUCCAGUAAUCAAAAGUUUGCAUUACACUAUGCUGUUAAAUACAAGGAUAUUUAUAAGAUACAGGCACCAAGUUUUUUUUUUUUUUAAAGUUUUAUUUUUACCCGGAGGAACUAAGGCCUCUGUUGUUAGCUAGUUAAUUAAUCUAUGUUGUCCUUGAUGGAAAAAAGAAGGUUCAAAUUUGUGUCGUGUAGUUGUUUAAACAUAAGAAUUUCAUUUAAACUUUUAUUCGAAUGAUAACUUUCUACUCUGAUCACUUGAUUCGAACAACAGAGCACAGAUGUUAGCUGUCAUUAAGAUAAAAAAUGUCAUUCUACAACAUUAAAACGAGCGAAAUAAUACUGUACCUGUAAACACCUGUCGGUGGCCCAGUACACAAAACGGAAAGGGACGAAUUUUGAAGCUUAAUGGCUAUUUACUGAGUUUUUAAAUUUAAGUGCUAGUUUUGUGGAAUUAUUUUAAUUUUAUGUGUUAUUUUUGUCCUUUCCCCAUAUUUAUAUUCAUAUUGGAUUUGUGUCGGAGCAAGUCCGAUAAAUUUCGGUGAUAAAAGUAGAUAAUUUUGUGUGGACUAAAAUAAAAUGUCAUUAUCAUUUUUGUUGUCCUUUAUUCACGUUGUUAAAGAUCGAUUUUCGACAUGAGUUAAAUACAAAGGACUUUUCAAAAAUCAUUAUACUUGGGAGUCUUAUUAAAAAUCUAUCAUGAUAGUUUAUUUAUAACAACAGUUUGUGAUGUUAGGCCAAAAUAAAAAAUUUGAGAUCAGUAAGAUUGGUAGAGAAAUAGGUGAGUGGCAAGCGAGAUUUGGAGAGUGACAAGAGAGAUGCUAGAGAGAGGACGAAUACAGAUUGUAUUGAUGAAUUCAAUUUGCGUAUCUUCAAAGAUCCAAACAACAAAAAAUUCGGAAGACUAUCAAUUCAGCUAAUUUUUCUUCUAUUCAUGCACAUAUUUAGGAGAGCGGAUUAUAAUUUGGGAAAUCAAUCCUCAUCAACAAAAUAAAAGUUUAGAUAGUUAACCAACUGAGUUACGUAUUAACAUUUUCCUUCCUGAUAGUUAUUGAGAAUUCACUUUUAAAAUUUUCACUUUUUGUUUUUGUUUUUUGUUUUUUCAUAGUAAUCAUACACACUUUUGCAUCUUUAGUGUUUCAUUGAAAUAAGAAAAGAAAAUCAACAUGGGUUGUGGUGUAGUGGUGAGACUACUUCACCCUAAUUCAGAGGUUUCGGGUUCGAGCCGGCCUGUGCACGAAAAAAAUUCUAUUGAGAGCGUAACCUCAGAAUGGGCCCUGCAGUGCGCAAUCCGGAUUAGUUGGGGCUCCAGUUAGGAUAUCGGACACCGGUCGAAGGGAAAUAAAAAAAAAGGAAAAACAAUCUGUUUUUAUGAAAUCUAUGUUCAACCAAACAUUAAGAGAGAAAUCUUUUAAAUUUUUGCAUAAACUGGAAUACUUGUCAAUUUAGCUAGAUGUUUGAUUAAAUUUCAGUUUCAAAAUUUUUAAACAGAAAUCACCUAUAACUAAACAUACAUUAACUAAAUAAGAUCCUAUAUUACUACCAACUAGGGUUAUGGUGAAGUGGUAACACUACAAGAAAAAGGUUUAUUUAAGAUUAACUUUCAGAGAUGAGUCAGUAAUUUGGUCUCUAAAAGUAUACUUAUUAGGACGAGAUUAAAUUACGGUUCUUAAUAUUAUAUUUUAUUGAAAAGGUAAAAAAUUUGGUCCCUAAUUAUUUUUUAGCUGGUCCCUAAUGUUAAUUGGGAUCUUUGAGAGGGAAAAAUAACGCCAAAAUAAAAUAUUAGGUACCAAUUCUUUUUACUCUUAUUAACAUUACUGGAAAUUAAAGAAGGGAUAUCUUUAUAUUAUUUACCCAAAAAGAAAAAGAGCUCGUCCAGCCGCCUCUCUAGCUAGCAUAUAUGAUCGAGUACUGUACGCCUUCUAUCCUCGAACAAAAUUCAGCUGCUGGUCGCAACAAAUCAAACACUAUAUGCACCAGCAAGUUACCGAUUUUCCAAUUGCUUCUUCAAUUUUGUGGAUUAUUGCAGCCAAUAAUUUUUUCAUAUUUUGGUUUAUCGAUCUAUCGCGAAUUCGAGGUAUGAUUUAGUUUUUGGUUAUUGCAAUAAUAAUUUACCCUAAGACGAUUUUCCAAUCUGAUGGUUAUUGCAACUAGUAAUGUGCCCUAAUCUCUUUCUUCCAAAGUUGUUCUAAAUUAGUCUUAUUUCUAUCCGAAUCUGUUAUUUUUUUUAAUUGUACAACUCAUAAUUCAGUAUGAAAUUUGUCAAUUUGGGGUUGGUCAACUAUCGUCUCUCUAUCGUAUAGCUACUAGGAAUAGCAAUAGCGGGUGUGGAUUGGGGCUGGUUUACUGCUACGCGGGGCAAGGCGUGGUGCGAUAGAGAGCCUUAAAAUUUUAAAACUAUGGUGGUGUGGUGAUGGAAUCGCUGAUAUUUUUGGAAGAAGGUUUGGGUCAGAAAAGUUGUGUUAGUUUUGUUUUCGAACUUUAGAAAAAAUUGAAUUCUUUUUGUCCUUUUUGACACCCUUUUAGUUUCUUUUUGACACCCUUUUAGUUUCUGUUCAUGUGUGUGGUUAACAAAUGCUAUAGGAUGAAAUGCUUAACCACAAUCCUAUGUGUUUUUCCUCAUAUCGAAAUGGUUUUUUACUUUCUAAUUAUAGGUAAAGAUUGAAUUUUUUCUUUUUCUUGGCACCCUUAUAAUUUGUGUUAUGGGUGUGGUUAGCAAAUACUAUAUGGUAAAAUGCUUCAUCAUAAUGUUCUGUGUUUUUUGUCAUGUAAAAUGGAUUUAAAUGUUGUUUUAUUGUUCUUUUUGCUUUCUAAUUUUAGGUGAAGAUUGAAUUUAUUUCUUAUUUUCUUGGCACCCUUUUCGUCUUUGUUCAUGGGUGUGGUUAACAAAUAUCCCUAUAUUAUAAUAGUCCUUUCUAUUUUGUUUUACUCGUAUCAAAAUUGUACAAUGUUGCGCAUUUUAGGCCCAAUAGGUGGACAGAGAAUAUUUUUGCGCAAUUUCACAUAGUUGAAGGGUAUUUUAGGCCCUUUUCCUUUGUUUUUAUAGGUUAUUAGUUGUAAGCUAGUUCUUCUAUUGAGGUUCUUAAUGAUAACUUUAUCAGGUAGGUUACUAGUGAUGUGGAUUUUGAUAAGUAUCCUUGCACAUAAUUUUUAUUAUUUAAUUUUCCUCUGUCUAAUAUUUUAUGUAUUUUACAAGGUUAUGACACCUAGUAAGCAGUGGAUACAAUUUAUUAUUGACCGGGAUAGUAAAAUAUACAAAAGUAAGGUGAAAAAGUUUUUGAAUUAUGCUUUUCGAAAAACAUGACAAGAACAUGAAAUACGAUGUCCAUGUAACAAAUAUUGCAAUACUACUUUAGGAACUCGUACAACAAUUGAGACACAUUUAAAAGUACAUGGAAUACUUCAGAAUUAUACUUUUUGGUUUCAACAUAGAGAACGCUUGGGUGAACCGUUAUCUGAAUCCGAAUCCGAAUCUGAAGAUGAAUAUGAUGUUGAAGUGGAAGAAUGUGAUAGUGAAGAUAAAGUAGAAGAAUUAUUGAGAGAUUUGUAUCCUAAUCUUGAUGGUGGACCUACACACACUAAUUGUGUUGAAGAGGAGCCAAAUGUUAUAGCAGAACAAUUUUAUGAACUAUUGAACGAUUUUGAGCAGCCAUUGUAUCAAAAUUCAAAAGCGUCAAAGUUUUCCACUUUGAUUAAAUUGCUUCACAUCAAAAGUAUGGGUCGUUGGAGUAAUGCAUCAUUUACAAUGUUAUUGAAAAUAUUGAAAGAGGAGUUGUUGCCUGAUGGUGCCGAUUUGCCAAACUCAUAUUAUGAGGCAAAGAAAAUAAUUCGAGAACUCGGACUUUCUUACAAUAAGAUAGAUGUUUGCACUAAUGAUUUCAUGUUUUAUUGGAAGGAAGAUAGCUCACUCGAUUCUUACAAAAUUUGUAGUGAGUCUAGAUGGAAAAUAGAUACCCAUAGCGGAGAAGCAUAGACAAAAAAGGUAAAAAUAUAGCAACAAAGAUUUUACGCUAUUUUCCCUUAAAGACUAGACUUCAGAGGUUGUUUAUGUCUUCAAAGACGUCUACUCUAAUGACAUGGCAUAAGGAUAAAAGGGUUGAUGAUGAAAUAAUGAGGCACCCAGCUGAUUCAAUGGCAUGGAAGUCACUUGAUGAACAUUAUCCUUCAUUUGCUGCCGAGCCCCGUAAUGUUAGACUUGAACUUGCUAGUGAUGGAUUUUAGCCAUUUCGAAAUUCAAAAAAUCACAUAGCAUUUGGCCUGUGAUUUUUAUUCCUUAUAAUUUACCACCUUGGUUGUGUAUGAAACAAGAAAAAUUUAUUUUGUCAAUGCUUAUUCCUGUUCCAAAUGGUCCAGGAGAUGCAAUUGAUAUAUAUCUUCAGCCUUUGAUAGAGGAAUUGAAUGAGUUAUGGGAAAUAGGUGUUGAUACCUAUGACGCAUCAGCUAAAUGGAAUUUUAUGUUGCAUGCAUCUUUGUUAUGGACCAUCAAUGACUUUCCAGCAUAUGAAAAUUUAUCUGGAUGGAGUACCAACGAAAAAUUGGCAUGUCCAUGUUGCAACAAAGACAUUUCCUCAAUUUGAUUGACAAACAUUAAGAAGCAGUGUUUUAUGGGUCAUCGAUGUUACCUUCCUCUUAGUCACAAAUGGAGAUAUGAGAAGCAGUUCUUUGAUGGUACAGUAGAUAAAAGGCCACCCCCAAAAAAUUGUUCUGGUACAAAGAUACUUAAUCAAGUACAAGAUCUUGAAGGACAACAAUUAUCAAGAGAUCUAAAAAAAAGGAAGAAGAUGUCACAUAAAGUUCGAAAAGAUAACUGGAACAAGAAAAGUAUCUUUUUAAACUUCAUAUUGGGAGUAUCUCUAAUUGCGACAUAAUUUGGAUGUUAUGCAUAUUAAAAAAAAUGUGAGGCUUUUAUGGGGACAUUUAUGAAUGUCAAAGGAAAGACUAAGGAUACAAUAAAUACUCGAUUAAACUUGCAAGAGAUGAACAUUAGGCCAAAAUUACACCUCAUCCAAAAAGGGGAGAAAGUUGAAGUUCCAACUUCAUGCUACACAUUACCUCCUGAAGAAAAGCACAAUUUUUGUCUUUUCUUAAAGAAUCUGAAAGUUCCUGAUGGUUUUUCAUCUAAUAUUUCUCAGUGUGUAAACUUAAAAGAUCACAAGAUAUCUCGGUUGAAAAGUCAUGAUUGUCAUGUUCUUCUACAACAUCUACUCCCUCCUGCACUUAGUGGUAUGUUGUCUAAAGAAGUGUAUGAAUCAAUUAUUGAUUUAUCUUAUAUUUUUAGUGUUCUUGGAUCCAAGGAGUUGAGAACUGAUGAUUUGAAACAUAUCGAAGUGAAAAUUUCCAUCACACUUUGCAAGUUAGAAAAGGUCUUUCCUCCUUUAUUUUUUGAUGUCAUGGUGCACUUGCCUAUUCAUUUAGCUACAGAAGCUAAGAUUGCUGGGCCUAUUUAUUAUAGGUGGAUGUAUCUUGUGGAACGAUCGUUGUAUUUUUUGAAAUCUCUCAUUGGUAAUAGGGCAUUCCUUGAAGGUUCUAUUGCAGAGGGCUAUAUUGUAAAUGAGUGUAUGACCUUGUGUUCAGGGUACUUGCAUAAAAUUGAUACAAAAUUCAAUCGGCCUGAAAGAAAUUAUGAUGGGGGUGUAAAAUAAUAUGAUGGAGGUUUAUCUAUAUUUUAUCAACCUGAAAAAAUUUUGGGAGCUAAAAAUCCAUGUGAGAUUUCGACCGAUGAAUCGGAACAAGCACAUAUAUACAUAUUGAAGAAUUGUGAUGAAUUCUUACCAUAUCUCAAGUAUGGGAAGAACACAUGUAGUCUCAUUUUUAUUAUUUCCUUUAGGGUAAUUUUCUUUCUAUAUGAGAUUUAUGAUUCACUUUAAUUUUGUAGAGAAAUUGCACAAACUUAAAAGGAUACUAUUAGACACUUGUCUGAUGCUGAAUGGAAUCGACAAUUUAUUGAAUGGUUAAAAGAUAGGAUAAGUAAUACAUAACCAUAAAAUUUAAUAUUUUAAUAUUAUAUUACUCAUUCUAAAGUAUUUAGUGCAAUCUUAUUCAUAGGUCCCACAACUGCAUAAAGGAGAUGAUAGUCGCACAACUGCAAAAUUUGAGUUCAUCAUAUUGUUCAUGUUCUGGUCGUUUCUUGGUAAAAAAGUUUGAUAGUAUUUGCUAUGCAUUAACUUAUCCCAUAUUUUGAUUAUUGUAGGAUAAAUUUGAGGGUGUUGAACUGACUGAUCAUCGUGAACAUAUUUUGAGAUGGAUGAAUGAGUUAUGAAACAAAUGGAGAGGAUACUUAUAUGGAAAAUAUGUGAAGAAUAAGUCACUUCAACAAGCUCUGAAGAAUAAGUCAUAUGGAAUAGACAAGAAAAAAUGGGAGUGGUUGGUAAAUGAACAUUUUUCUUCUGAAGCUUUUCAGGUAUGCAAGUAAUUUUAUUUGUUGCAACUCAAUGGUUUCUAGAUAGAUUUCCUUGUGGAGAUUUAUGCAACUCCCUUUUGUUUUAUAAUUUUUAUUUGUAUUAUUAAAAUUUAGCUAAUUAUUUUAUAAAUAUAGGUGAAAAUCCAAAGGAAUGUAGCGAACCGAGCUAAGUUGACGAUGCUUCAUCACAUGGGUAGCAAGCCUAUUCAAGAUUUUAUUUUUGAAAAGAUAUUAUCACAUAUUUAUUUUCCUAAAAAAAUAUUUAUGAGGUGUUAUUUGACAUGUUUGUCUUUGAUGUAAAAGAGAGCAGGAAAGAUGGCAAUCCACCAGAUGUGGGAACUAUUUUCUAUGAGAGUCGAAAGAAAUAUAACAAGCUCGUUGAACCUGAAGCAAUUCAAAAACAUGUGCGUUUGGUAAAAUUAAUAAGUAUAUUAGUUACCUGAAAUUUUAUGGAAUAAUGAUAGAACAUAUUUAUUUCUAUAUUUUGCAGGCUCAAAAGUGUUUUGGACCUCAAAAUCAUAGCCAUGUUGUUGCAUUUGGGGGUGGAGUAAUGUAACGCCCCAAAUCUGGUACCCGAAAUGUUACACGGUGCUCAUGACCCCGAAGGACCACAAGCUAACCCAUGACUGAUAUCUGUACCUAUAUACUGCAUAAUGUACUGUAUAAAAGUGGAAACGUGAACUGAAAGACCAUAAGGUUCACAUAAUUGAACUAAAACAUAACAUCUGGUGGGGUCUAAAACACCCAAAACAAAACUAAAAUAACUAUCUAAAAGAUAAUAGUCAGGAAAGCCUCUAAAAUAUGGCUGUCUGAAUAAGGAGUUGAUGGGACAUGUCCCCAACUAACUCCAACCAAUAAACUAAUUAAUGAGAUAAUAAAGAAAUAAUCAUGUCCUCAAAGGAUGAGGACUCACUGCUAGCUCUGACUGCGGAUAUCUGAAAUUUACUGAUGCUCGAGAGCUCGUGUCUCUGAACCUAUGGUAUAGAAACACCAUAGCGCGAAUGCGUCAGUACGACUGAAUAUACUGGUAUGCAUGUGCGUUAGGCUAAAUGUAAGGGAUUCAUAUGCAUGAACAAUAAGAACGGACUAACUAUCAUGAGCGUGAGAAUACACACAUGAGACAUAAUAACUAACACUGAUACCAUGAUAACAUGAUUACUGAAUUUGAAUACUGAUAACAUGACAUAGUGAUAACUAAUAUAACUGAUAACAUGAGUGACUGUAUUUGACAGUCCUAAAUCUGAUGGAACUAACCGAAUUUUGUGUUGUAUCUAAGUUGAUUGUAUCUGACAGUCCUGAAAUCUGAAGAACUAUAUAAGUUCUUUUACUGAUACUGAUACUGAAACUGUGGGAGGUAGUUAUUUAAUCGACAUGCCCCUAAUAUGCCAUUAUGUUUGAGUUGGGGUCUAAUUUGUAACCCUAAUUGGAAGGGUGUCAAUAUCACGCCACUGGUAAGGACAAGCUGUGGGUGACCCUUAUCUGAUAGUGUCCCCAAGAGAGAAUGGUGGGGCUCUUAUCUGAUAGUGCUUGUCCACCCCAUCAACCCUCAUCAGAUAGUAUUGAUGUCUCAGCUUAUGCUGGCUACAUAGUUCUGAAACACAAGGAUGACUUCUAAGGAUCACACCCUUAUCUGACAGUGUGUGUCCCCAUCCUUGGGUUCACUCAGUGCUAAUUCCUACUCCCAUCUGAUUAGACUCUGAACAUGAUUAGUUGAACUGUACGUGGACUGAGUUACUACAUUUCGUUGACUGAUGGAAUACUAUUGAUAUCUGAUAACUGACUGAGUUCAUAAGAACAUGGAGAUUUUCUGAGUCAUAAGACUGUCUGAAGUCUAAGGAUUCAUAGCUUGACUGAGAGUAUUGUGAAAACAUGACAUGGAUCUAGGCACACAACUAAUGUUUCGGGUACAAGUACCCCCAGGACUCAAUGGAAGGAAACUGACAAACAUGACUUACUUGAACACAUGACUAAUAGCAUAAUCCAUAAUUCAUUCACUGAAGCAUUUCAUCAAACAUGUGAUAGGCAUAAAUUUGUAGAUACAUGCGGAUUUCAUGAUAUCAUGCUAGUUGGGCAUUUUCCUUCAUAUAUCCAUUUAAUCAAACACAUUGUAGGCAUAGAAUAUGUAGAUAACAUUAUACAACAAUUAAACAUCAUGGUUCAAUUCUAAUUUCAUCAUUCAAGGGUUUAAUCAUAGGUUGUCAUGAAUCCAUAUAGAGUUUAUUACCUAAUCAUGGAAUAGGAUCCAAUUAUACAUUAUCAAAAUGAAAAAGCUGCCCAAUCAUGAAAUUCAUAAAAAAGAUCCAUAACUUGAAUUUAGAAAAGAGAUUCUUGAACUUCAUGGACGAAAGGGGUCUAUGAAUAAACACUAUGCAUACCUUAGUGAUUAAUUCUUGAAAAAGAAUUGACCUUUCUUGAAUGUUCUUGGAUUGGGAAUCUUAAUUCUUGAAUAUCUUGUGGAAAGUGUGAUGGGGUCUUGAAGUUAAUUGAGAAGAAAUCCUAAGUUUGUUCUUGGGAACAAAGAGGGAGCUUUUAAAACUAAAUACCAAUAGCUAAUUACAUAUUUUUGGUGUUUUAUGUCGUGGGGGGUGAGGUUUAGGGUGAGGGAAAAAGACCAAAAUACCCCUACAAAAUCACUUCUCAGUUACUGAAAUUAUCAGCUGACGAUCAAGACUGAUAAGCCGUCAGAUCUGUGAUAGCCCGUCAGCCCAUGUCAUCACCUGGGAGCUGGUCUAUCUAAGCUUGAAAACAUGGGCUGAUAAGCCGUCAGGUCUGUGAUGGCCCGUCAAACAUGUCAUCACUUGGGAGCUGAAAUCGGUGGGUUUCUGCCUAAGUUUGACGACAUGGAUGAUAAGUUAUCAGAUCUGUGACGGUCCGUCAGAUAUAUCAUCACCUGGGAGAUAAAUUGAUGGGUUUUGCCUAAGUCUGACGACGUGUCUGAUAAGUCAUCAGAUAUGUGACGGCCCAUCAGAUAUGUCAUCACUCAGUUGCCAGGCUGACAUGCUGGAGUAAAAUGAGUAUAACUUUUUGGUCCGAUAUCGGGUUUGGGCGAAAUUGGUAUCGAUAGAAAGCUCACUCGAUUUUCCACGUGAAAAAGUGAAAAUAUUAAAAAUACCACAUGUACAAAAGUGGAUUCAUAGUUCAAAUAAAUUUCUAUAAUUCUCGAGAUGAUUUCGAGCUAGGAAAAAAGGAAGGGUAUUACAAUAUCUCCCCCUUGAGAACAUUCGUCCUAGAAUAAGACUGAGAAUGGGGGGAAGGACAUAAACUGACAUACAUACUGAACAUGAGUAACUAAAAUAUGAUCUCAUAACUGACAUGACUGAUAACUGAACAUAUCAUACUGAACAUGCAUAUCUGAUGCAUGUGUAAUUGAUUCAUGAAUGCAUGACUGAAUGUUCUGAGGAACUAAGUUUCUCACAAUGAGAAUGCAUGGCUUAUGCAUAAUUAUAUAUAACUAAACUGAUACAUGAAUGCAUGACUGAAAUACAAUGGUACUUGAUACCAAGUUGUGACAAACACCGAACAUGAAACUGAGUAAGCUUAAGGAGAACUGUUACCUUGAGCUUGAUCCGACUAUCAUCUCCUUUAUGAUCCGACUAUCAUCUCCUUUAUGCAGUUGUGCGACCUAUGAAUAAGAUUGCACUAAAUACUUUAUAAUGAGUAAUAUAAUAUUAAAAUAUUAAAUUUGAUGGUUAUGUAUUACUUACCCUAUCUUUUAACCAUUUAACUAAUUGUCGAUUCCAUUCAGCAUCAGACAAGUGUCUAAUAGUAUCCUUUUAAGUUUGUGCAAUUUCUCUACAAAAUUAAAGUGAAUCAUAAAUCUCAUAUAGAAAGAAAAUUACCCUAAAGGAAAUAAUAAAAAUGAGACUACAUGUGUUCUUCCCAUACUUGAGAUACGGUAAGAAUUCAUCACAAUUAUUCAAUAUGUAUAUAUGUGCUUGUUCCGAUUCAUCGGUCGAAAUCUCACAUGGAUUUUUAGCUCCCAAAGUUUUUUCAGGUUGAUAAAAUAUAUAUAAACCUCCAUCAUAUUAUUUUACACCCCCAUCAUAAUUUCUUUCAGGCCGAUUGAAUUUUGUAUCAAUUUUAUGCAAGUACCCUGAAUACAAGGUCAUACACUCAUUUGCAAUAUAGCCCUCUGCAAUAGAACCUUCAGGGCAUGCCCUAUUACCAAUGAGAGAUUUCAAAAAAUACAACCAUCGUUCCACAAGAUACAUCCACCUAUAAUUAAUAGGCCCAGCAAUCUUAGCUUCUGUAGCUAAAUGAAUAGGCAAGUGCACCAUGACAUCAAAAAAUAAAGGAGGAAAGACCUUUUCUAACUUGCAAAGUGUUAUGGGAAUUUUCACUUUGAUAUGUUCCAAAUCAUCAGUUCUCAACUCCUUGGAUCCAAGCACACUAAAAAUAUAAGAUAAAUCAAUAAUUGAUUCACACACUUCUUUAGACAACAUACCACGAAGUGCAGGAGGGAGUAGAUGUUGUAGAAGAACAUGACAAUCAUGACUUUUCAACCCAGAUAUCUUGUAAUCUUUUAAGUUUACACACUGAGAAAUAUUAGAUGAAAAACCAUCAGGAAAUUUUAGAUUCUUUAAGAAAAAACAAAAAUUGUGCUUAUCUUCAGGAGGCAAUGUGUAGCAUGCAGUUGGAACUUCAACUUUCUCCCCUUUUUGGAUGAGGUGCAAUUCUGGCCUAAUAUUCAUCUCUUGCAAGUCUAAUCGAGUAUUUAUUGUAUCCUUGGUCUUUCCUUUGACAUUCAUAAAUGUCCCCAUAAAAGCCUCACUUUUUUUUUUCAAUAUGCAUAACAUCCAAAUUAUGUCACAAUAAGAGAUACUCCCAAUAUGAAAGUUUAAAAAGAUACUUUUCUUGUUCCAGUUAUCUUUUCAAACUUUAUGUGACAUAUUCUUCCUUUUUUUUUAGAUCUCUUGAUAAUUGUUGUCCUUCAAGAUCUUGUACUUGAUUAAGUAUCUCUAUACCAGAACAAUUUUUUGGGGGUGGCCUUUUAUUUACUGUACCAUCAAAGGACUGCUUCUCAUAUCUCCAUUUGUGACUAAGAGGAAGGUAACGCCGAUGACCCAUAAAACACUGCUUCUUAAUGUUCUUAAUACUCACAUAAACUGUUUUCUACUCACAUAAACUGUUUUAUAGGUUUAAUUGUGAAUGAUGCUUUUCAAAUAGCAGCGAUAGUUGAGAAGCUACCAGCUUUGUGGAAAGACUUCAAAAAUUACUUAAAUCAUAAAUGCAAGAAGAUGACUGUUGAAAAUCUUAUUGUCUGACUUCGUAUUGAAGAGGAUAAUAAAGCUGCCAAAAGAAGGUCAAAGGGGAAUUCUACAAUUAAUGGAGCACAUAUUGUAGAAGAUGACUAAAACAAUUCUAAGAAAAUGAAAAAAGCUGAACAAGGAAGCAAUCAACCCAAGAAAAAGUUCAAGGGAAAAUGAUUCAACUAUGGCAAGAUUGGCCACAAGUCCAUAGAUUGUCAUGCCCCAAAGAAAGGAAAGAAGAAGGAUCAAGAAAAUAUGAUUGAAUCCAACAAAGAAUGUGAUGAUCUGUGUGCUAUGUUCUCAGAAUGCAACUUGACGGGGAAUCCUCGCGAAUGGUGGAUUGAUUUUGGGGCCACCCUCCAUGUAUGUGCCAAGAAGGAUUUGUUUUCGUUAUUCGCUCUGGCUCAAGUAGAAGAAACAAUCUACAUGGCUAACUCCGCUACGGCUAAGGUAUAAGGAAUAGGAAAAAUUUGCUUAAAGAUAACUUCCGGAAAGGUCUUGACAAUAAACAAUGUCUUGUAUGUUCCGGAGUUAAGUUGGACUUUAAUUUGUGUUUCACCUCUAGAUAAGAAUGGAUUCAAAUGUAUAACCGUUUCUGGAAAAAUUAUAAUUAGCAAAGGAGAGAUGUAUGUAGGAAAAGGCUAGCUGACUGAAGGACUUUAAUGUAAUGACUGUUGAAAUAAAUAAAAGUUCGAAUUCUUCUUAUUUUCUUGAAUCUUAUGAUUUAUGGCAUGAACAUUUAGGUCAUGUUAAUUACAAAACGUUAUGAAAACUGAUUAACUUAGAAGUUUUUCCAAACUUUGAGUGCAAUAAAUCAAAGUGUCAAACGUGUGUGGAAUCGAAGUAUGCAAAGCAUCCUUAUAAGUCCGUUGAAAGGAAUUCCAAUCCCUUAGACUUAAUGCACACUGACAUUUGUGAUAUGAAGUCAACACCAUCACGUGGUGGGAAAAAGUACUUCAUAACUUUUAUUGACGAUUGCACUAGAUAUUGUUAUGUCUACUUGCUAAAUAGUACGGAUAAAGCAAUAGAUGGAUUUAGGCAAUAUAAAACUGAAGUUGAAAAUCAGUUAGACAAAAAGAUCAAAAUGAUAAGAAGUGAUAGGGGCGGAGAAUAUGAAUCUCCCUUUGCAUAAAUAUGUGUAGAGAAUGGAAUAAUCCAUCAAACUAUGACCCCAUAUUCACCUCAAUCUAAUAGAAUUGUGGAAAUAAAAAACCAAACUUUGAAGAAAAUGAUGAAUGCCUUACUUAUAAGUUCUAGUUUACCGCAAAACUUGUGGAGGGAGGCUAUCCUUACGGCCAACCAUAUACUCAAUAAAGUUUUCCAUAGUAAGACAAUCAAUUCCUUAUGAAAAGUGGAAAGGAAGAAAACCCAACUUAAAAUAUUUCAAAGUGUGGGGGUGUCUAGCAAAGGUCCAAGUUCCUGUGCCUAAAAGGGUUAAGAUAGGACCUAAGAUGGUGGACUGUGUGUUUAUUGGAUAUGCUAAAAGUAGUAAAGCAUGUCGGUUUUUGGUUCAUAAAUCUGAACAUCUGGAUAUAAAUGAAAAUACGAUAAUUGAAUCAGAUAAUGCUGAAUUCUUUGAAAACAUUUACCCAUAUAAAAUUAGACAUGAACAGUCUAGUAGAGGAUCUAAACGACCUCGUGAUGAACCAAUUGAGAAUGAACAUAAUGAAGAAAAUCCAAGACGUAGUACACGUCAAAGAACGUCUACUUCGUUUGGAUUGGAUUUUGUGACAUUUCUUUUGGAAAAUGAGCCUCAAACAUUUAAGGAAGCGAUGGCAUCUUCAGAUUUAUCCUUUUGGAAAGAGGCAAUCAAUAGUGAUAUAUAUUCAAUCUUAAGCAACCAUACAUGGGAAUUGGUUGACCUUCCUUCCAAAAAUAAACCUUUAAGUUCUGAAUGGAUCUUCAAAAGAAAGAUGAAAGCAGAUGGUACUAUUGACAAAUACAAGGCAAGACUUGUAGUAAAAGGCUUCAAACAAAAAGAAGGACUUGAUUACUUUGAUACAUACUCUCCAGUAACAAAGAUAACGUCACUUCGAAUGUUAAUUGCCUUGGCUGCGGUAUAUGGUCUUGAAAUCCAUCAAAUGGAUAUGAAAAUCGCUUUCCUAAAUGGAGAAUUGGAGGAAGAAAUUUACAUGGAACAACCUGAGGGUUUUAUGGUUCCAGGGAAGGAGAAUAAGGUGUGUAGACUUAUUAAUUCAUUGUAUGGACUAAAGCAAGCACCUAAACAAUGGCAUGCCAAGUUUGAACAAACCAUGUUGGCAAAUGGAUUCAAAAUAAAUGAAUGUGAUAAAUGCGUUUAUAUUAAAGACACUCCAAAUCACCAAGUCAUUGUAUGUUUAUAUGUGGAUGAUAUGUUGAUCAUCAGUAGAGACAUUUCUGACAUAAAUGUAACAAAACGAAUGCUCGAGAGCAAGUUUGAUAUGAAAGACCUUGGAGUUACAGAUGUGAUCUUAGGUAUAAGAAUCCAUCGAACUCUAUAAGGGUUGGCAUUGUCACAGUCUCAUUAUAUCGAAAAGGUACUUGACAAGUUCAAGUAUAUGAAAUUCGGUAUUGCCAAGACUCCAUCGGAUGCGAGCUUUGCUCUUCGAAAGAAUGAAGGUGAAAGUGACUCGCAAUUGGAGUACGCAAGAGUAUUGGGAUGUUUAAUNNNNNNNNNNNNNNNNNNNNNNNNNNNNNNNNNNNNNNNNNNNNNNNNNNNNNNNNNNNNNNNNNNNNNNNNNNNNNNNNNNNNNNNNNNNNNNNNNNNNNNNNNNNNNNNNNNNNNNNNNNNNNNNNNNNNNNNNNNNNNNNNNNNNNNNNNNNNNNNNNNNNNNNNNNNNNNNNNNNNNNNNNNNNNNNNNNNNNNNNNNNNNNNNNNNNNNNNNNNNNNNNNNNNNNNNNNNNNNNNNNNNNNNNNNNNNNNNNNNGUAUCUUAAAUACACUUAAGACUAUGCCUUGCAUUAUAAUAAAUAUCCUGCGGUACUUGAAGGAUAUAGUGAUGCAAAUUGGAUCACCGGAUCGAACGACGUAAAAUUCACAAGUGGAUAUGUAUUUACUAUCAGUGGAGGAGCAAUUUCUUGAAAAUCAUCCAAAUAGACUUGUAUCGCUCGCUCUAUAAUGGAAUCUGAAUUUAUCGCAUUAGAUAAAGCCGAUGAAGAAGCAGAAUGGCUCCAAAAUUACUUAGAAGAUAUUCUGUAUUGGCCCAAGCCAGUGGCACUAGUAUAUAUACACUGUGAUAGCCAAGCGGCAAUAGGUAGGGCAGGGAGCAUGAUGUAUAACGGUAAAUCUCAUCAUAUAAGAUGAAGACAAAAUACCGUUAGAGAACUUCUCUCUAGUGGAAUUAUCAUUGUAGACUAUGUAAAGUCAAAGGAUAAUGUGUCAGAUCCACUUACAAAAGGUCUAUCUAGAGAAGGAGUAGAAAGGACAUCCAAGGGAAUAGGUUUAAGGCCUAGGACAAGUCAGCACGGCGGUAACUCUACGUAGCAGACUGGAGAUCCCAAGAGCUAGGUUCAAGGAGAUCAAACAAAGUUGUGUCUGGAAGGUUCAACAUUGUCAAUUACCCAACCCAUUCUCAUGAUGUAGACGAUGUAUAGUAAAAACAAGGAUAAGACUUAAGGUUAAAAGUCUUUUAAUGAUUAUCUAAAUUUGGCAGAUUUGACCAAACAGUUUUAAUCUACAGGAUUGAACGUUUAGAAAUCACCUAUGUGAGGGCGAAGUGGAAGCCACUUCGAAGAGAAUGUUAGUAAAGGCCUAUUCUUUAAGCUCUCAUAAAACCGGAACGUGUUCAUGGCUGAAAAGAAUAAAACCAUGAGAACCAUAAAAGUUAAAAGGCUGGUUGUGUGACAUGUAUUGUCUAGGUGUACAUUAAAGCUCGACGGUUUAAAGAUAUCAAAUCUACCCGAGUGCAUCCGAUGCAUGUUCACUACGGAAAGUUCAAAGGGAAAUCCACUUAUCCAGAUGCAAUCAGUUUUUGCUUGAUGAUCACAUACUUGUUCGUAAAACUUUUACAAAAAAUAGUCAUUCUCCACUCAUGUGGGGGAUUGUUGGGUUCAUAGUAAAUGAGAAGUGUGAAUGGAAGAUGGAGAAAAACCAAAUGAAAGAGAAAAAUUGAGAUCACACCAAUAUGAAAAGUGUACUCAAAAAAUAGGAAAGCUUACUAAAUUCUCCCACAUUGGUGGGAGAAAGAAGCUUUAAAGUGUUUAUAUUGUGAAAUACACUCCCACAUGAAUAAGUGAGACAAAGAAUAAGAGAUACCUCGCGUCGUCGUCGUCGUCGCUCGCUCGGCUCGGCUUCAGAUUUAGAUUUGGCAAAUGAUCGAUGAGAUCUAUCUUUUUGGACAAACUUUAUUUGAAUUCCAAAGAAUGCCAAGGAAAAAUGCAGUAAAUUUUUACUGCAGAGUUUCGGACCUCCAUUUAUAUAUACAUGCAGUAACAGUUGCAUUGUUUCAAGUGAACUGAUGCAUUGUUUUCGAACUGGUGCUUCAGAAAUGAUACAUUAUUCUGAACUGAGGCUAUAGAAGGUUGCAAUAUUUCGAAAUGAUGCUUCAGAAGGAUGUAAUCCUUCAAUGAAGUGACACACUGAUUCAUGAAAUGAGAUGACUGUUCAGGAAAAGAUGCAAUCUUUGAUGAACAGACAUGAACUUACAGCAAAGGUGUAACCUUUGGAGUGAACCAUUGCCUCUUUUCAGAAGAGGCAUGUUAUGACUAUAUAAACCUGCUUUAAUCCACAGGUUUUGAUACGAAAAUUUCAAAAUACAAAAUUACUUCUUCUCUUCCAAAUUACUCAGUGUGAUCAAUCAAAACGUUCUGUGCGUUCAAAGAUAUUCCAACCGUUUGAGGUACUGCUACAGUUGGUCUGUUUAGCCAUUUUAUCCUGGUAGGAAAAAUUCCACUACCUCGGAUACAGUGAGGGGAAUUAUUUACUUAAGGAAACUCCGUCAAUUCGGACGACUUGGCUAUUUUCUGUUUCAUCUUAAUUUCUGAAAAAAUAAAAUAUAACUCUUGGAAAGGUCAUUUUGAUCUUGUGUUAAGGGUAUUUGAUAUACUUCAUUGUGUUCUUAUUUAUACUUGAAUUCUAGUUGAAGUUAUUGUCCUGCAUAUACUGAUUCUGUGUACCCGAAGUACAAACGAGAAAUAACAACCAGUUAACUGAACUGAACUACUUAGAUUUUCGGAAGAUAUCAUUUAUACUAUUGACGUGAAUUACAAAUGAAUCACAGCCAAACUUUAAAGUAAAUUAAGUAGCCCAUGACGAGUGCUAUUUGCUGCUGUUUAAAUAUAUCAGUCAUUAGCAAACAGUCCCUACUUACAAAAUGAUGAGGCGUACCCUGAUAAUUUUGGUAUAAAUGCUUGAGCAUACUUUAUUUAAGAUUAAAAGAUUUAAAGAAUACUUUGAUAUAUUAUACGUAUUUUUAAUUAAAAUCAAGAAACUAAAAAUUUUCUCUCAUUUUCAUAAAAAUCGUGCCUAUUCAAAUUAUAAAACUAAGACAGUAUUUAAAAGAGAGUAGUACAUAAUAUGAUGAAUUUUUACUUCAUAAAUGUACGUAAAACUUAAAAUUGCAAGUUUUUUUUGUAUUUCUUAGUUCAUAAUUAUAAACUUACAACUGAAAGUUUAUUCAUAUAACAUUUUUUUUAAGAAAAAAAAAAAAUCUUUCCCCUUAUGUCUGCUUUAGUAUCUUUUGGCUUGAUAUCUAAUUGCAUGAUAUGUCAUGUGUAUUUUAUCUUCUCAAGAUUUUUAACUUAAAAGUUUAUUGGUUCAAACAUGGAGUUUGUAGAUAUAGCAUUAAACUAGUGCAUUUGUACCAGUCUAUUAUUGCAGUAAAUCGGUUGCGAAGACUAAAACUGACAUGAAAUUAUAUUGGGUUAUCUGUCAAAAAAUUCAUGAAAGCUUCAUUGGUGGGAGAGUUUAGUAGACUUUCCUCAUUUGAGUACAGUUUCCAUUUUAGUGUGGACUCACUUUUCCUCCACUAUUUUUUCCCUCCAUUUUUCAUUCACACACAUUUACUUUGAACCCAACAUACUAUUGACGUGAAUUACAAAUGAAUCACAGCCUAACUUUAAAGUAAAUUAAGUUGCUGAUGACGAGUGCUAUUUACUGCUGUUUAAUUCUAUCAGUCAUUAGCAAACAAUCCCUACUUAUAAAAUGAUGAGACGUACCCUGAUGAUUUUGCUAUAAAUACUUGAGCAUAAGACCACAUCUAACAAAUCAUUUCAUCCUCAUCUACCUUACUAUAACAAAAUGAUGAGAACUAGAGAGACAGCAAUUAGUCUUUUGAUUCUUGCUUUGUUCCUCCUUAAUGUCUCUGCCUAUUUAUCUCUUCCCUUUCAUCUUCCAACCAAUAAUGAAACCUUUGGCCUUGAAUCAUACCCACAAGGACGAUGUGGAAGACAAGCUGGUGGUACAAAAUGUCCUACUGGAGCAUGUUGUAGUAUAUCUGGUUGGUGUGGAACCACAUCAGACUAUUGUACUCCUAGAAAGUGUCAAAGUCAAUGUGUUUUUCCACCCCCACCAUCAUAUCCAGAAGGACGAUGCGGAGAACAAACUUCUUUUAAAAGAUCAUGUCCUUCUGGACAGUGUUGCAGUAUAGCUGGUUGGUGUGGAAGCACAGGAGCCUAUUGUAAUCCUGGUUGGUGUCAAAGUCAGUGCAAAACUAUAACCUCGCCCACCAAGAAUCGCAUGAGAGGCAUUGAAAGCUUCCUGCUCAAUGCUCUCUAGAUGCUUGCUACCUUCUAUAUUCCCUAGAGGAUGUACUUUUACUCCUCUUUUGGGACUGGUUUAUGUGUUUGAUUAUUAACGUGUGUAUUAUUAAUGCAUAUUCCUCAGAACUCACUUGUGAGAUUUUACUGGGUAUGUUUUUACUAUAAUUAUAAUGCAUAUCUAAUGCAUUACUUAUCAAUAAAACAAAUAAAGGACUUUUGUGUAAAUUAAAAAUAGCAAAUGAAGGUCUGUUGUAUGAGUUCUUUUCCCUCAUUUUUCAUCUAUAUUUAUUCAUCAUAUAUAUAGUUGGAAAAGGAUGAUAGAAGAAAAUCUCAACUGAUUUACAUAAUACAUUAAAGAAGAUACUUUUCUUUUUCAUCAAACAUAUCAUCACUCCGGGCCAGUAUCCCACUGUUUAAUUAAAUUGGACCUUCUACAUUUUCAUCGAGAAUCAAACUUUUGUAUUACAAUGGGAACAACAACAAUAAUUAACUUCAUCUUCCUCUCUUCCUCUUCGGCUCUUCAUGUUCAUCACCAACACUAUGAAUUUCUAUCAAAAUACUUGACAUUUCAUCCUAUUACUGCAUGUUUGUCUGUUUCUUUAUAGAAAAUAUUAGCAGCCAUCGUAAUAAAACUCAAAAAAUUAUCAUCAUUCGGAAGAUUCCCAGAGACUAUGACUACGAAAUUUGAUCCAAAUUGUAAUUUAUAUGUUAUGUUUAGCAAAUCAGAAAAAAACUUUCUACCUUCACGAGAUUGGGAUAAGGCUGCAUAUAUAUUAUCUUCUCUAGACUCCACUUAUAGAAUUACACUGGAUAUAUUAUUUUUAUUGUAAAUAAGGGAGGAAUUUGUAUGUUUAGUAAUAUAGGGUCUAAUUAUUUAGUGUUGGUGUUAUUAUGCAUUUUAAUAUUAAAAUCUUAAUUUGCAUGAUAACUUAUGGACAUAAAGUGGAGAAAGUGGUGUCAUUAUAUUGAUAACUCUUGUAACUUCUAACACUUUAUUUGUGCAUAAACAACCACAUUAUGUCUUGUAAUUCAUAUGACCAUUGGUUGUUGUAACUUCAUGGUCAUUAGUUCCAUGUAACAUAUGUAACAACAAGACUAUUUAUCUACCCACAUUACUCUAAUUGUUAAUGCAUGGUGGUAGAAUGUGGCCUUUAGUAAUUUGUAACUGCUCUCAUUAUUUUGCUGUAACUCUCAUGGCUAUUAGUGCCAUUAGUUUCUUGUAACUCUUGUAACUAAAGACUAUUGAUCUUUCCUCUUUAAAACCCUUCUUUGUUCUUCCUAUUCAAUACAAGGAUGAAUACCUCAUCUAUAAAUAGUGGAGGUAGUCUUGCAUGUUAUUGCAUGAACAAGGAAACAUGAUAAAUGUGAAAAAGAUUAUAGUGUGUAGAAGUGAAAGAGAGAGUUGAGACAAGAAAAAUAUUCUAAGUCUACAACUAUAUUCACUAUACAAAACAGAGUAAUUAUAUUAAAGAAAGAAAGAGUUGAGACAAAGACAAUAUUCUAAGUUUUUAACUAUAUUCACCAUACAAAGAGAGUAAAUAUAUGUUGAAGGAAGGUGUUCUUAUGGUGGAGCUUUGGACUCUUCAACUAAGUCGGGGUUGUUUGAGUUAUACAUCGUUGAUGGGGUAGCUGUUGUAUCCUGGAGGGGACAAGUCAUGAGAUAUACUGCUGGAUCAAUGUAGAUUAUGUCGCAGUGGGCUUGAAUCUCCUUAAAGAGAGCAAAAUAUCCGUGCCUCAUCGAAGAAGAAGAUUAUUUUAUUUUCUUCACUUUUACUCAUUUUAUUUUUUAACUGUAAUCAUUUACUGCAAUUUUUUGUAUAUUAAACCAACAUUUAGUUAUAGGAUGAUUUUCUGUUAAAAACAUUGAAAUUGACAUUUAAUCAAAAACAUCUAGCUAGAAUAACUAGUUUUCUAGUUUAUGCGAAAAUUUAAUCGAUUCCUCUCUUGAUGUUGGUUGAAAAUAGUUUUUGUAAAAAUAUAAUUUUCUUUAUUUCAAUCAAACACUAAAGAAGCAAAAGUGUAUUUGAUUGCUAUGAAAAAUCAAAAACCAACAACAAAAGAAAAAAGAUUUAAAAAAGUAAAUGCUCAGUCACUAGGAGGAAGGAGAAUGUUUAGCAUUUCCAAGAUCACAAGUUUUUUAUUUUUAAAAAAAGAUUAUAAAUUUUGUAUCCAAUUAAAUAAAUAGGAUCACAUUACAUGAAAUUAGUUAUGGAAUUUAUCGGAAAUAUCUAGCUAAUCCGUUGCUAGAAAACUACCUAGCUAAUUGAACAUUUUUAUAAUCAACCUCUAAUUUGUAGCUAAAUAGAACUAGCAUGAAAUAUUAUUUUCAGUUUAAGUUAUCUAUAUUGUAAAUGUGAUUUAUUUUAACAUUAUCUUUAGUUAUUUUUUUUAUUUAAUCAAAUAUCAACCAUUAUCUUUUAAUUAUGGCAUAUAUCUUUUAUCCACACAAAAACUUUGAGGAAAAUAGAGAGUAACCCUAAUAUGCAUGUCACAAUCAAUCAUGUUAAAAUAAAAGGACGAUUUCUAAUUGCUAUCAUUAGCAUUUGGCAGGCUGCUCUUAUUAACAUCCAUCCUUCGUUGCCUACUAGAUUCAAGUGGACCAUUAGUUGAUUGCUAGUUUUAUUAUAAAUGGCGAUGACACAACCGUACAUUCGUCUUAUUGCUAGCCUUAUUAUAUAUGAAAAUAACGGCCACGGAUUUCUUCACUUUCUGUGUCUUUUUCGUACAACUAUUUUUUUUGUUUUUGUUUCUUUGCUAUGAUGAGUAGUAAUUGAAAAAAAUGUAACAAAAAAACAAAGAAGAAAAAGAAGAAGGAGGAGGAGGUGGAGGAGGGAGAAAUAUAACUUGAUUUUAGACUUUUGUCUUUUUUUGCUUCACAAAUUCUUUGGGCAUAAUGAAUUACAUUUCAUGUUAGGCCAUAUGAUUUUUAUUCGUCUAUGCGCUAAUCCAAUCUCUUUUGAUUUCAUCUUUCAUCAUCUUAUAAAAUAUCUCACUUAUUCACUAAAUACUAAUGUAUAUUUGAUACAAUUUUCUAGAUAUCUCCCACAUUUUGAUGUACAUUUUCACUUUUCUUUACUAUCUAAUUUAUUAUUAAGGAAAUAAUGUACUGUGAUUGAGAGUUUCAAUUCAAUGAUAAGAUUAUAAUAGUCUCGUUCUUCAUACAGUGUAAAUUUACAAUAAAUGAAGUACACCAUAACAACAUGCAUGUAUUUUCUUUUCGGAAAAGACAUCAUUCCCACCCCAUACUAUACAAGAAAAGUUUAAGCCACACCUAAAUUGUAUAAGUGACCUAUUACACACCUUAACUAUAUAAAAGUGAUAUUAUUACCUCUCCGCGACCCCCAUUCUAAGGCGCGUGUGUUACACUUAUUUUAGGCGCGUCCAGCCUAUUAAAUAACAAAAGUAAACGGCUAAAAACAUUAAGGGAAAAGGCAUCGUUUCCACCCCAAACUAUAGUCGAAAAGUCGAAUCAACACCUAAACUAUAUAAGUGACCUAUUACACACCUUAACUAUAAACAAGUGAUACUUUUUACUGACGUGGCAGCGCGUGUAAAACACUACACCACAUGCAAGUGGUGGUAGCCUGACAGGGUGUAAAUAGUUUCACUUUUUUAUAGUUUAGGUGUGUAAUAGGUCACUAGUAUAGUUUAGAUGUGGCUUCGACUUUUCGGGUAUAGUUUGGGGUGGAAACGAUGCAUUUUCCCUUUUAUAUUCUGUAAACAUAACAAAUAAGAAUAAAAAUCUAGAAAAAAAAAAAACCAACGAUGUUGGUCACAUCAGCUUCCUCGUUCCAAGAAUUAUGGGAGUUUUAUAUAUUUUUUUAACCUUGUUGUUUUAUGUGGAGUCUACGAGGUACGAGGAUUAUGGUUUUGAUGAUCGACACUUGACCAGGUUCAUGUUAAUUGUGAAUCAAGUUCUUGAUUAUUGUUGGACUGGUCAAUUUAGUUAUGUGACAUGUAAUAAAUACUUGUUUAAAUAAAAAAUUCAUAAUUAAUGUAUUGAAAAGAAGCAGGAAUUCUAAGUCAUUUUUUAAAAAAAUUAUGGUAAGCCAGUGUAUUCUAGCAGUUUUUUUUAAUAAAAACUGAUUUGCACAAGGAAAAGUAAGUUGUUAAGGGAGGCAAACAACCAAUACAUACCCAACAAUGUAAUCAAUUUGGCAACGCCUUUUUGCACAUCCACAUAUCUAGGCAAUCACAAAAACAAGAAGGAGCAAGACAAAGAAAAUCAACAAGCUAAAGCAAGAACGAGCAAGACAGAGAAAAUCAACAAGCUGAAUAAUAUCAAGCUAUUAUCCGGUGGUAGUUUGGUGUCGAUUUUAGUUUUGCCUUAGAAGUUUUUUAUUGAAUUCUAAUAGCUUCAGUUCUGUGUUAGAACUUAGAAGUAAAGUGUUUGUGAGGCGUUGUAACAAGAAGCAAGUUUGACUUCUUAAGGCUCAUUUGUUUGCACUUAAUGGAGGUCUGAAUCUGAAUAGUUCAGACUUCAGACCAUUAAAUGCAUUUGUUUUUUUAUUAAGAUUUUAACUCUUAAUAGGUCUGAAUGGUCCUAAUCAUUCAGAUAUAGAAUCAAGUCUUAAUAGGUCUGAAGAGUUAUUCUGGUGUUGGAUAAUUUUCAACGUCACUCUAUUCAUAAUCAUCAGUCACCACCUCUGCCAUUGUCAUCAUUGUCAACUACCACCCACUACCACCAACCACCUUCACCAUCACAACUACCAUCGACAGCAAAUAUUGCUACCAACCACUAUUGUCAACCGCUACCACACCUACUACCUCUAUUAUUCUAAUUAUAUUUAACGCUACCACCAUCAUCAACAGCACUCCCAUCAUCAACCACUACCGGUCAAUCCCUACUAUCGACCAACUCAUUUAUCACAACUAGUACCACCGCUAACUACCACUAAUAUAUCACAACCUCCACACAUUCUUCGGCGGCCACCACUAUUGUCACUAGUAAUGUCACCUCUAUCAUCACUCCAAUCACUAUCAUCGCUAUACUUUAUCUCUACUAACAACCAUCUCUACCAUCACAACUAACAAUAUCUUCAACUAGAACCAACACAUUGUCAACCAUUAUUCAUUCAUUUUUCAGCCAUCAUAAUCAAAACUUUCAACUACUAACAUCAAGCAACGUCACAUCACAACUGUCACACCCCUUUUUCAACCAAAAAGUUUUUGAGUUUAAGGUUAAAAAGGGUUUUAUUAAACCAACGCGUCAAAAGAUGAAAAUUUGUUUCGAAAAAAGGUUAUUUUUACAUUCAAAUUCAGAGUCACCACUUGGCAUAAUCUGGUGUGCCAAGUCACCUUUGAAAAAUUCUUUUUAAAACGAUUUUUGACUCUUUCAAAACUGAUUUACGAACAGAGAUUCCGGCUAAGGAAUUCUGUUGACCAAGGGGAAGGUGUUAGGAACCCCUCGGUCCCGUGGUUCGACCACGGUCGCUUGGUGGAGAAUAUCAGAUAAUUUGACACUACGAAUGUAUAAACCACACAAAGCACGCAGAACAAUCAAUCAAGCAAACAAAACAAAAACAAUCCAAAAUUUAGUGCUCAGUCCAAUUAUACAGUUUCGAAAUAGAAAAAUGUAGAAAUAUAAACCUACACUAUUCUAGGCUAAUCUUAAACUAUGGUCCAUUGCUUUCUACACCCAACGUUCCGGGCCUUGAUCGUGCGUCGUCUUCAAGUACAUGAUACUUCGGGGCAUCCCUAGUGAAUAAAUACGAUUCCUUCGGAGCAUUCCCCGGUAAAUGAAUACAAUAUCAAUUUCAUGAGAUAAACUAGAAAACAUCUGACACAUUUAACAUUCCACGCAUUCAAUCCAACAUCAAUCCUAAGUUUUACCUACUCGAAUCUAUAUUUGCCUAUCCAUUUCAACAUAUCAUAAAUCUAUCACGUUCCGAUAAUAUUCAUGCUUAUUCCGGAUUAAAAAAAACAAUGAUCAACCAAAAUUGAUCUAUAUUUGCCCAUUUUCAUUAAUUUCUUAAUUCCACCCCACGAAUUCCAAUUCCUCAAUCACUCUAUCCACAUGAACCAAAUCAAUCAACAUCAACCACGGUAAUCAAAGUUACUUGAACCAAUAUCAAAUCACGUCACCACAUCACAACAACAGCCACAUCGACGUAAGAAAAGAGAUAAGGCUAAGGGAUGGACCUUUGAAAGAUUUGAUUCCGUUGAUAAUAAUGUUUAAGAAAAUCCGGACGUAGAAUUCCGAAUAGAACCUUAGCAGCGACGAACUCCAACUCUAUAUCAAGGUAUUUGAAACCCCAAAACUGACCUCAAUAGACUGAUCGACACGAAAGGAAAACUAGAUACCCAAACUAGGAACGAAAACUGAGAAACCCGAAACCCGACUUUGAAUAUGAAUCAACUAAGAUGAACCUGAAGCUCCGAAAGUCCCAUCGAACCUACAAACCUACAGAAAUCGAGUUCGAUGAGCUGACAAUGAGCAAAACUACUAAAACGAUCAGAUUCCAGCAAUAUCGCGUUUAGAAAUUAAAGGAAAAUAAAGGGAAUUUGGCGAUUAGGAGACUAAUUCGAACGACGAUCGGUUGAAACUGAUUUCGGCCCGAAGUCAUCGAAAAUUACGUGUCUACAACAACCACCACCAUCACUAUCAACCGUCACCAUCAUAACGGUCACUACAAUACCAACCAUCACAACUAUCACCACUAACAUCCAUUAUUGUCACCGCAACCACUAUUAUAAAGCAUAUCUGCUAUCACUAAAAAACAUAAAUAUUUUUUUAUUCAAUUAAAUAAUAAUUUUGUUGUAUUAAAUUACAUAUUUUUCUGAUAUCUAAUUAAUUUUUUAUUUGAAUUGUAUUUUUUAUUUUAUUAUAUAUAGAAAUAAUUUUUUUUGUACAUUCAGAUAUUGAAAAACAAACAAUCUUAAUCAUUCAGUUUUCAGAUCUAGAGACAAUAUCUUAAUCAUUCAGACGUGCAUUCAGAUUCAAACGUCAGAAUCUUAGAAAAAACAAAUGCAGCCUUAGAGUGGUUAAGUAGUGUACAGAACAGUUAGAGUUAAUUGUUGAGGUAAAGUACUAGAUUGAAUCCCUUAGACUGUAGAGUUGUAAUUUGAAAUGUUGAUGGUGUGAAGAUAGUGGAGAUUGGUGUUGAAAUCUCCUAGCAUAUUGUUCGUGUUUAGUUUGUUUUUACUAUUUACUACAUUUUUCUGAACCAGGUUUCUAAUACAUGUGGUGGAGUUAGCUGUUUUAUCAUUUUAAGCCUUCAGUUUCAAUUUUUUUGUCUAAAUUUGACUCAAGCUUAUGAAAUUAAAGAAGAUGGUUGAAUCUUGUAAUCUUAGACUAAAGAUACGUUGAACGUAUGAUAAUGAACUUUAAUUUUAUGAUCUUAAGCAUGUCACGAGAAAAGUUAAAAUUAAAGAGUUGCCAAAAAAGAAAAGAGACAUUCUUUUUUAAACAAAUUACGAAGAAAAACAAGAGAAACAAAUUGACAAGUAGGAACAAUAUAUUAAGUUUAAACAAUUCUGUUCCUUUUACUUGAGCUUACUCGUACCACUUCGUAAAGAGGGAUUUUUUUUUUUUUGGGCAAAUUUGGGACCACUCGGAUAUUAUCCGAAGUGAAAGAACCUCAAAAAACAAUAAGUACAAGUAAGAGGGGUCAAAUCUUACCAUAAAAAUCUUAAUGAAAUCAAAUCCUCUACUAAUACUAUCAAGCUAUGUAAGAAAUAAGAAUUUGAAAGAACCAAAUAUUUAAUGAUCAUUACAAGUAUUUAUAACACACUUUAUAAUAAUAUUACAAAUAAAGAUAUUAACAGGAGAGAUAAACGUAGUUAUUGGAGUGUAAAUUUUGUGUUUAACUAAUGUGUGAGUGUAGACACAUAAUUUUGUCCCCCUCAAAAGUUCGUUUUUAUUCAUUUCUACCUUAUCAUAUCAUGUACUCUCCCCACGUGAUUACACCCCACAAAUAAUACAAAAAAAAAAAAAAAUAACUCUCAACAAAAUCCCUAACAAACUUUUAUUCUUUUAACACCCUAACAACCCUCUCCAAUAAAAAAGUGACAAAUCACCACCUCACCACCCCAUACCCUACCCUUUACCCCUACCCCACGUCCUCCCCCCUCUUUUUUUCUUGUCCAAGAAGAAAGGACUCAAAAACCAAAAAUACAAUAUAUAUAUAUUAACCACUCGCAUUUAAGCAAAUAAUCUUAUUUCUUUUGAAUACUCUCCAAGAGUUUCAACGAUUUUCAAACCAUCAAUUUAUCCCUCAUAAGGAUAAUAAAUAAGUUUUCCAAAAACUUUAUAUGCUUCAGGCAUUUUGAAUCCUUUAGGGAUUUUCAUAUGGAUUUUUGUAAAGUGACAAUACCAAUAUGUGUGACAUCUUCAAGUGUCUGGACUGCAAAUCAAAUAAGUUUUAUGCUUACCAAGAUGCAUCCUUUCACGUCACUUGAUAAAUUUUUCUACGUCAACAUACUUAAAUUAACGUAGAAUUCAGAUCUUCAUAAUCUUUUUACAAUAUUGCGCCAAUAUUGUAUCAUAGAUAUCGUCGAUGAUUUCUUAUUUUGUAACGAUUCACAAUGCGACAUAACAUUUUGAGAUCUCAUCACUUCAUUAUUUUCAGGUACCUAAACCUCUCAUAAGGUUUCAUGAAGUGUUAUGUCGUAGGCUCUUCAAGAGCUUAUUGCCUUCUUAUUAUGAUUAUUUGCUCCUUAUUUUUCAAGGACUAUUUCAUUUAGAACCGAUUAGUCCACCACGCUUCACGCAUGCAUAGACUUUGUCCUUUAGGAACACAAAAUAAGAGCACUUGCGCUUAAUAUGAGAUGCUUUCGGCAUUUGACUUGAAUUAUCUUUUGGAUGAGGAUCUGGUGAUAAUUCCUAACAUAUUUCAUAGCGCUUAUAAUCUCCCCCUUAUGUUAGAAAAAGUAGCAUACAUCCUCUAUUUCUUUGAGGAAUCCAUCAUUGUGCAUUAUUGUAUAUUCAUUAAUCGUAUAUCGCACAUCAAAAUUAUUAGAUAGAAUAAUUGGUUCAUGACCUUGAACCAUAUAAGGGGAAGAAAUAAUCAUAAUUUAUUAAUCUAAUGCAUACAAGUGUUAUUGUAUGCAACAUGUCAUAUUUCAGAUCAACACAUGAAGCUUUGUUCUCAUUAGCGAUGGUUUAGCUAUUUAUCGAAGGCAUUCAAUGCCAAAUCAUCAUCAUCAAGAUAACUUUCGUGUUGCACAAUCUGAAAAUUAUGUUCUUAACUCAAUUUUGUUGAGCAAGCAACUUUAUGAAUGUCAAACUGCAGGUUGACAAUGAAAGUAUAUGUGAUCAUCUUAUUGAUGCAUCAUUUUAACAUAUCACAUGAUAGAUGAACGAGCCCUUAUUCACCUUUUAUUCAGAUUUGAAGGUCCAAUCCCAAUAUUAGUUGGUCCAACCAACUUAUCAUGAGAACAAAUUAAACGACAUAAACAAUCCUUGAAGAAUCUUGUAGUUCUUCAAUACAUGCAAAUUUUCGAGAUGUCACAACUUUUAUUCUAGUAAACUCCAAGUUUACCAUGACAUGUACUUUUUCUUUAGUAAAUUUCAGAUUUACUAUUACAUGAAUAAAUUUUAGAUUUACUACUUCAGAAGUAGAUUUCAAAAUUAUUCAACCUCUUUCGGAGGUGAGUUGUGAUACAAUCANNNNNNNNNNNNNNNNNNNNNNNNNNNNNNNNNNNNNNNNNNNNNNNNNNNNNNNNNNNNNNNNNNNNNNNNNNNNNNNNNNNNAUAACCUCUUUCAAGAUUUUGCUACUUCAGAAGCAAAUCGAGGCAUACAUAUGAUGUAGAGAAUUUUUCUCUAGCAUAUCUUAUAAUCAUAUAAGCGUGUGAAAAUAUCAUCACUUUUGAUGAUCAUUAUUAUAUUCGUGCAUUCAAUCACUUGUCUUUUUUCAGACAUAUUAUGCAUUGCUACCACAUACACUUCAUGGAAUGGAGCAUAUUCAAUGGGUCAAAUUUCAUGACUUUUCACCCAAUACCCAUUAUUUUUCCUUAGCCAUCACAAUAUCAUCAAUUUGGUGUAUCGAGAUUCAAACUCAAUAUUUUAUCCAUAUAAAGGCGUCUUAGGCAUAAAUCGAUGGGACUUGAACUCAAAUAUUAUCGUCCCUUUUGAUAAUAUUGUUCUUGAAGAAUGAAUUUUAAACAUAAAUGGUUUCAAACCAAUUAUUUUUCCUCAAAUCCAACAAUAAUUAUAUCAUUAAUAGAAAAAUACAAAUAACAUAAGGAAUUACUAACCUUGACCUUUAGAUUUAUAAUCUCACCUUAUUUGGCAGAAUCUCGUGUUGAUAAUGUGUUAUAAAAUAAUAAAGAAUAAAGAAGAAGAGUAGAGAGAAUAGAGAGAGUGAUUCUUAUUUCUUCUCUUGAGGGAUUCUUGAGGGGUCAUCAGAUUAUAAAUACAAUGAAUAAAACCUCUCUAUUUAUGGGAGAAAUUUACUCCUAGUCUAAGUAAAAGAAGAAUGCUUCAAAUCCUAAUAGAUAUCAACAUAGAUCUUGAUAGAUAUGUGUCUCACCCCCUUUUUUUAAACUCCAAAAAGAUUAUUUAAGGUUCGAAAGUGUUUUUAUUAUUAAAGUGAUAAAAGGAAGAUAGUUUGUUUCUAAAGGGACCUUUUACAUUCAAAACUCAGAGUCGCCACUUGGCAUAAUCUGGUGUGCCAAGUCACCAUUGGAAAGUCCUUUUCAAAACCAUUUGACUCUUUAAAUUAGUUUGUGAACAGAGAUUCCGGCUAAGGAAUUCUGUUGACCGAAGGGAAGGUGUUAGGCACCCCUCGAUCUCGUGGUUCGACCACGGUCGCUUGGUGAAGUAUAUCGGCUAAUUUGAACACUAUGAAUCAAUAAACCACACGAAACACAAAUAAAACGAUCAAUCAAACAAAUAGAUCCAAAACAAUGUCCAGUCCAAUUAUACAGUCCAAAAAUAGAAAAAAGAAUGCGAAAAUGUAAAUCCUAUUCUACCCUACACUAAUUUUAUACUACGCUCCCAUGCUACCCGAUGCCUCGGGCCUUCAUCAUGGACGUCCUCCAAAUACAAAAUACUUCGGGGCAUUCCUCGGCGAAUAAAUACAAGUGAUCGCGGGACAUUCUCCGAUUAAAUGAAUACAUUUCCAAAUGCAAGAACUAAAACCAAACUGUUCAACUCAAAUUUCACAUUCAAACAUUCAACAAGAAAACUUAUUCCUAAAUUUUUUGCCUACCCGAAACAACAUUCUCCUAUCUAUUUCAACAUAUCAUAAUUUUAUCACAUUCCAACAAUAUUCAUGCUCAUUACGAAUUAAACAAAACAACAAUAAACCAAAGCUAAUCUAAAUUCAACUUUUUUAUCAAUUUAUCAAUUCCAUCCCCCAAAUCCAUUUUCAACCACAUUACUAAACCAGUUCGACUAUCAAAUCUUUUCAAAAUUCAAAACCAACAACACAUACCCCAACGAAGAUUCAAACAUUUAAGCAUUCCAAUCAUUCAUAUCCGCAAUAACAAUUAACAUUUUUGCUCGAAAUAUUCAAAACCACACUACAAAAUCACGAUAUUAACCAACUUCGAUAUAAUAAAAAAGUAGAGUUGAGAAAUGGACCUUUGAAGAAUCGAUUUCGUUAAUAAUAAAAUCAAGAAAGCCCGGACUAUAGAAUUCCUAGUAGGACCUCAACAAUGACGAACUCCAACUCCGUAUUGAAAAAUUUAAGACCCAAAACGGAAGCUCCGUAAAUCUAAUCGAACUCAAAAACCAACACUGUUCACGUACUGUUCACAACACUGUUCACGGUACUAUUCAUAACACUGUUCACAGCACUGUUCAUGGCACUAUUCACGAUACUAUUUCUUUCUGAAUUUUUUUUCUCUCGCGCGAUUCUCUCUUCUCCCCCUCUGUUUUUUUAUUCUUCUUGUGAGGAAGAUGAUUUGGUGAUGUUGUUAUUGUGGAGAAGAUGAUGAUGAAAGAAUGAGCCUCCCUUUUCCCCUUUUAGAAUUUUCCUUUUAUAUAUUUUUUAUUUGGUUUUUCUUUUUCUUUAUUUAUUAUCAUAUGUGGAAGCAUAUAAUUGGUGGCUUGUGGGAAUAAGUGUGUGGCAUGUGGAAAAGUUAGUGUGGCAUGUGGAAAGAUGAGAGUGGUGUGUGGAAAAAUGAGUAGGGCGUGUACCUUUUGCAUGUAUACAAUGAAAAAUGAAAAGUGAGGUGUUGAGGUGGCAUAGUGAGGUGACAAAGAUGCUAUGUAUUUAAUUAUUUUCAAUUCUUUUUUUUUUGGAGAAAUUAUCAAUUAAAAAAAAGUAUGAUAAGGUGAAUAAUAUAAAAAUAAAAAAAUUAAAAUUAAAAUUAAAAUAAAUAAAAUAAAAUAAAAAUAAUUAAAAUAUUUUUGGGUUAGGACAAAAUUACGUGUCUACAUCAUGCCCCCUUUGAUGUAACACAUGGUGUUUUCAUACAAAGCAGUAGACAACGUGACAGAAUUUUGUCCUGACCUUUAUUCAAAAGCACGGAGCACGAGAAAGGAGGAAAACCAAGUUUUUACUUAGGAUAUCCUACCUACCCAAGUUAUGAGGGAAUCAACAGUUAUCUCAAAGGAUUGGAAGAAGCUGGACUAUGCCGAGUUGGAGAAUCGAGUGAGGUUCCAUCGAGGUUCCGGUCCGCGGCUCUGUUAUUACAUCAAAAAUAAAAAUUACAAGUUAAAAACAAAAAUAAAAUUACAAAAUCCUAUCUACGCAGCUUCUGUUGGACUCUUGACUUGAGUUUCAUCACUCUAUUCUUCAGGCGAGCUCCUGAUUUGAAAUUUCUUCAACUUGUUGCUUGGUUUUCAAUUUCAUCACCCUGUUCUCCAGACGGGCUCCUGGCUUGUUAUUUUCUAUCUGUUGACUUUCAUUUUCUUCAGUUUGUUACUUGACUUUCAACUUCUUCACCUUGUUACUUGACUUUCAAUUUCUUUACCUUGCUGGUUGACUUUCCAUUUAUUCUCCCUGUGCUUCGGGCGGGCUCCUGAAAUCACAUCAAAACUAGAAAAAAAAUUAUCCCAAACAAAUAUUAUUAUAAAGAGAUUUCAUAUGCCAGGAAAGUAAAGUUCUAACACAAGAAUUAAAUUUUGCCCCAGUUUGGACUUUUGCGAAAGUCAAAUCAUUAUAGGAAUCAAGGAGAAUGACUCGAUUAUAAGGUGCGUCUGAUAGGAAUCAAAGGAAUUGGCUCAACUAAAAGGUACGUAUUUGAGGGAUCAAGGAUAAUGACUCGACUAAAAGGUACGUCUUAUAGGAAUCAAGGGAGAUGCCUUGACUAAAAGGUACGUCUUACUAGCAAUCAAGGGAGAUGACUCAACUAAAAGGUACGUCUUAUAGGAAUCAAAGGGAAGGACGCGACUAAAAGGUACGUCUUCUAGGAGCCAAAGGAAAUGACUCGACUAAAAGGUACGUCUUAUAGGAAUCAAAAGGAAUGACUUGACUAAAAGGUACGUCUUAUAGGAAUCAAAUGAGAUGACUCGACUAAAAGGUACGUCUUAUAGCAAUCAAAAGAAAUAACUCGACUAAAAGGUAUUUCUUCUAGGGGUCAAAGAGAAUGACUCGACUAAAAGGUACGUCUUAUAGGAAUCAAAGGGAAUGAAUCGACUAAAAGGUACGUCUUCUAGGGGUCAAAGGGAAUGACUCGACUAAAAGGUACGUCUUAUAGGAAUCAAAGACAAUGACUCAACUGAAAGGUACGUCUUAUAGGAAAUAAAAAAGAUGACUCGACUAAAAGGUACGUCUUAUAGGAAUCAAAGGGAAUGAAUCGACUAAAAGGUAAGUCUUAUAGGAAUCAAAGGAGAUGACUUGACUAAAAAGUACGUCUUAUAGGAAUCAAAGGGAAUGACUUGACUAAAAGGUAGUGUUCUAGGGGUUAAAGGGAAUGACUCGACUAAAAGGUACGUCUUAUAGGAAUCAAAGGAAAUAACUCGACUAAAAGGUACGUCUUAUAGGAAUCAAAGAAGAUGACUUGACUAAAAGGUACGUCUUAUAGGAAUCAAAGGGAAUGACUCAAAUAAAAGGUACGUCUUAUAGGAACCAAAGGGAAUGACUCAACUAAAGGGUAUGUCUUAUAGGAAUCAAAGGAGAUGACUCAACUAAAAGGUACGUCUUAUAGGAAUCAAAGGAAAUGACUCGACUAAAAGGUAUGUCUUUUAGGGAUCAAAGGGAAUGACUCGAUGAAAAGGUACGUCUUAUAAGAAUCAAAGGGAAUGACUCGACUAAAAGGUACGUCUUUUAGGGAUCAAAGGGAAUGACUCGACUAAAAGGUACGUCUUCUAGAAAUGAAGGUUCAAUUUAAGAAGUGUAUCAUCCAGCAAAUGAAAACUGAAAUUCCUCGACAAGUAAGUGUGUCUCCGAGGGAUAUAAGAUGAUGAAUUUUUACCAUGAUUUAAUUAUCAAACCUGUGCAACAGCAUUGCUUCUCGCAUUUGUAAAAGUAAGAAAUUACGGGCCUUGAUGUUUAGGAUUUGAAAUCCUUGAUUUGAAGGUAACAUGUGUUCCUGUUUCAUGCAAAGAAAGGUUGUGAGAUCAAAAACAUAGUGACUGGUUUGUGGCUUUGGCUUUCGUGGAAAACGCUCUUGCCGUCAUCAUAUUUAAUCUUGCUUCCAACCAUUAGUCUGUGUCAUUGACUUGCUGCUUUAUUGACCAAACUCAGAUUAUUAAGAGUGACUGAGACAAACACAGCAUCUCUGCUUUGCCAUGCUUCUCAGGUAGACCACCUUGGAACCUUGGUAUUUCAUGAGUUCCCAGACUUAUUUGUUAACAAAACUUUCUGCUUGCCUCAUUUUGGCUCACAAUCAUGUCUCUUUCAUGCGUUGGCCUUUCUGCCUUACUUUGUACAAUUGAAGAAGCUGGUAGCCAGUUUUGAAAUUUUUUCUCACUUGUUUUGACAUAGACUUGACUCAAAUACAAGAGAAAAAUGACAAUAAUUUUGUUUGGAUAACUGACUCAAGAAAAAUAAAAAUAUAACUAUAGAAAAGAAAGAAAUGAUAAUGAAUGUCCCCAUUGAAAAAAAUGAAAAAAAACUUUAUCUGAAAAUGAUAGUCAACUCUAAUGAUUAUGACAUGCAUAUCGGAUUAAACUACCUGAUCUUUCCAUCCAAAACUCUCAUAAAUUGUUGUUGAGUUAAUGACCCUGAAAGUGGGUUGCUUUCUUGGGCCAAUUGCAUUCGGAGACCACAUUCGGCUAGUGACGCCUUGAAGGGUUUUCUUCAAUAAGCCUCUCUCAUUUUCUUUUAUCACCUGACCAUUGCCUUAUAGUAUCCGAGAGGGUUUUUUACCAAUAAGAUUCUUAUUUUCAUUUUUCUCAACUCAUAGUCGUCUUACAGUGCCCGUGAGGAUGAGCAUUGUGGAUAAAAAACCUUGUUGCAAGUGGUUAUGUGGAUUUCUUGGAUUUUGGGGAAAGAAACCUUAUUGUAAGUGGUUAUGUGGAUCUAAUAUGUAAGCUCGGGAUUGAGGCUGACAGUACUGGUGGGUUGGACCUCUCAAACUCUACUUUGGUCCUGGCAUGACAAUAGGUACAUUUUUCUUCUUCUUUUCUUCAGUUUCCCUUGUUUGAUUGCAAUGUCGUCCUAAAUGUUUCACAGAAUCCUUCUGUCCAUCAGGCUCCCCAAAUUUUGAUGUCUCAAAGCUAGGAGGAAGAUUAACACUUGAAGACAUGACCUUGUUUUUAUAUGAAACAUCUUCAUAGCCCAUAAGUUCAGGGGAAUUUUUCAUAUCAUUUUCUACACUCUUAACUUUCCUAACCAUUUUCUCUAGCUCUUCUAGCAUGCUAGGCUUCUUAGUAAAAAAUUUUGACGGUCCACUUAAUUUAACGGUAGGCUCAAGAGUAUAACAAUGAUCAUCAAGAGUAUUGAACGUGGAUUCAUGACUAGUGGACUGGAGAAACACAAUCGUUGGAUUGAUAGCCAAAGUGGAAGUCUUAGUAGAAGGUUGAGCAAUAAAAACACAGACAGUAUAUGAUGCUGUGAAUGUGGUAGACUUAUACUGAGGAGCUAAAGAAAGAGUGGUGGAAGUAUUGAGGUGCAUUUGACGUGGAAUGAAUUAUGAGGCAUGUUGUGGUAUAUCAACAACAGUAGGAAAUUGACUUUGCGAUUUUGGUGGAAGACUCAAGGUAUUUGCAGGGUCAAAAGUGGGGAACGGAGGUGGAGGCAGCCCACUGGCCCAAGCUCGGUAUAUUUCCAUCAUUUGUUGUCUCAGUCUCAAAUUCUCUUUCUUUAAACUCUCAAUUUCCUGACUCUUUGUUUUAUCCAUGGUGCCACUUUUUAUAUCCUUGUUGGACACAACUAAACCUUCCUUGAAUUUGGUGUGAUAUGGAGGACCAGUCAGGAAGUCACAAACCAACCACCAUAAACUAACUGAACAAGAGGCAACAAAUAUGUUAGAGUUCAACAUUUUUCAAAACCUCUUUUUUUUUUUAGAAAAGACCACCGAACCCAAGAAGGGCGCCUGCAUAUCUCACCCCCGAGAGAGGAGAAUCAGGUGUGCGUAGUUCGUGAAGUCUUGCUAAAAUGGCCAAUUAAACUCUUUGUUUUCUUUCUUUUUUUUGUUCUUUUUCUCGAAACUUUAAGAAGAAAAGAAAAUAACAAUUUGUCAAAAGAAUUGACGAAAAUGUUUUUGAAUUUUUCAGCUUUAACAUCCCUAUACAAAGUGAAAUCAAUGAUUACCAAAUAAUUUUUUUUGGGGGGGUUUCAGUUUUAAAUUUCAUAUGAAAAUGAAACCUGAACCUGUUAAAGGGAAAUCUUUUUGCAGUUUUCUUUUAUUGAUGCAUAUGACACCUACUCUAAAUGAUGAGUGAAAAAAAUAUUUUUAAAUUUUUUAAAUAAGAUCCCCGAACCAACAAUAGGUUGUCUACGUAUCUCACAUUCCGAAAGAGGAGAAUCAGGGGUGGCGUAGUUCGUCCAGAUGGGACAAUUAAAAAUUAAAUAACCGACUGAACCCUGACUUAAUAGAUGAGACUACAACGAUAAAAAUCUUUUUUGAGGUUUUCACUUUGACACUCCACAUAAAACUGACACCAACAACUAUGAAAGAAAAAUCUUUUUGAUAUUUUCAUGAAAUGUACAAAACUCCUACAAUUUUUACAUUUUUCUUUUAUAAAAAAUCCUAUGAAUGAAUUUUUUUUUUUUUAAAGUUUUUGAAUUAUGAAUACUUGCUUAAGGAAACAAAAGAAAAAUCUUUUUGAUGUUUUUGAUUUUGACAAAUGAAUGCAAAAGGUGAAAAGAUUUUUUUGAAUUUUUGGAUUGUGAAAAACGAAAGCCCUAAAGAACUCUAAAAACUACGAAACUCUCUCUUUUUUUUUCUUCGACUCACUUUUUUCAUUGCCUUCACACUUGAUUUCUAACACAUGUUUUCCCCAAAUCGGUCUGUCAAAAGACCCCAUUAUCCUCAAAGAUGCAACGUUUAGCACGUAGGGAUGAGGUAGAGGUGAGUCUCCUAUAAAAGACCAAAUGGGGCCCGCUAGGUAUCAAUAUGAUGAACAUAGUAUGACCUAAAGGCUGACCUAUGCUAGGGUUCACCAACAAGGCUGUUCGGGGGAGCGUAUGGUCGAUAGUGGCAGCUUUAGCUGUCCACCUACUCCAUACCAGCCAACGGCUCCCCUCUUUUAAAAUAAGGGUGACUAAACUAUAGGUCCUGUACACAGCGUGUACGACAGAACUUGUUGCAGAAAGAUUGACUCGGGUCAUGCACAUGAUGCCAGAUAUAAAACGGUAACACAUAAGAUAAAAACUGUAAACAAAGAGCACGUAGGCACUUAACAAUGAUAAACAAUAACACAAAAUAACACAAACAAAAUGUCUAUACACCUAUAGUGACAAACUAAGCCGAUACAACUCCAAAAUAAACUCGAAUUCUAAAAAAAAUCCCCAGCAGAGUCGCCAGAGCUGUCACACCCCCUUUUUUUAAACUCCAAAAAAAUUAUUUAAGGUUUGAAAGGGUUUUUACUAUUAAAGUAACAAAAUGAAGAUAAUUUGUUUCGUGAAGGACCUUUUACAUUCAAAACUCAGAGUCGCCACUUGGCGUAAUCUGGUGUGCCAAGUCACCAUUGAAAAAUCCUUUUCAAAAUCAUUUGAUUCUUUAAAUUGGUUUGCAAACAGAGAUUCCGACUAACUAAUUCUGUUGACCGCGGAAGGGUGUUAGGCACCCCUUGAUCCCGUGGUUCGACCACGGUCGCUUGGUGGAGUAUAUCGACUAAUUUGACCACUAUGAAUGAAUAAACCACACCACACACAAAUAAAAUGAUCAAUCAAACAAACAAAUCUAAAACAAUGUCCAGUCCAAUUAUACAGUCCAAAAUAGAAAAAGAAUGCGAAAAUGUAAAUCUUAUCCUACCCUACACUAAUUUUAUACUAUGCUCCCAUGCUACCCGAUGCCUCGGGCCUUCAUCACGGACGUCCUCCAAAUACAAAAUACUUCGGGGCAUUCCCCAGCAAAUAAAUACAAGUGAUCGCAAGGCAUUCCUCAAUUAAAUAAAUACAUUUCCAAAUGCAAGAACAAAAACCAAACCGUUCAACUCAAAUUCCACAUUCAAACAUUCAACAAGAAAACUUAUUCCUAAAUUUUUUGCCUACCCGAACCAACAUUCGCCUAUCCAUUUCAAUAUAUCAUAAUUUUAUCACAUUCCAACAAUAUUCAUGCUCAUUACGAAUUAAACAAAACAACAAUAAAUCAAAGUUAAUCUAAAUUCAACUUUUUUAUCAAUUUCUCAAUUUCAUCCCACAAAAUUCAUUUUUAACCACAUUAUUAAACUAGUUCGACUAUCAAAUCACCUUUCGAAAUCUGAAACCAACAACACAUACCCCAAUGAAGAUUCAAACAUUUAAGCAUACCAAUCAUUCAUAUCCGCAAUAACAAUUAACAUUUUUGCUCGAAAUAUUCAAAACCACACCACAAAAUCACGAUAUUAACCAAUUUCGAUAUAAUAAAAAAGUAGAGUUGAGAGAUGGACCCUUGAAGAAUCGAUUUCGUUGAUAAUAAAAUCAAGAAAGCCCGGACUAUAGAAUUCCUUAUAGGACCUCAACAAUGACGAACUCCAACUCCGUAUUGAAAAACUUGAGACCCAAAACUGAAGCUCCGUAAAUUCAAUCGAACUCAAAAACCGACACUGUUCACGUACUAUUCAUGGUACUGUUCACAACACUGUUCACGACACUAUUCACAACACUGUUCACGGUACUAUUUCUCUCUCGAUAUUUUUUCUCUCGCUUGAUUCUCUCUUCUCUCCCUUGGUCUUUUUUGUUCUUCUUGUGAGGAAGAUGAUUUGGUGAUUAUUGUUAUUGUGGAGAAGAUGAUGAUGAAAGAAUGAGCCUCCCUUUUCCCCUUUUAGAAUUUUCCUUUUAUAUAUUUUUUAUUUGGUUUUUCUUUUUGUUUAUUUAUUAUCCAUGUGGAAGCAUAUAAUUGGUGUCUUGUGGGAAUAAGUGUGUGGCAUGUGGAAAAGUUAGUGUGACAUGUGAAAAGAUGAGGGUGGCGUGUGAAAAAAUGAGUAGGGCGUGUGCCUUUUGCAUGUAUCCAAUUAAAAAUGAAAAGUGAGGUGUUGAGGUGGCAUAGUGAGGUGACAAAGAUGCUUUGUGUUUAAUUAUUUUCAAUUCUUUUUUUUUUUUUGAGAAAUUAUCAAUUAAACAAAAGUAUGGUAAGGUGAAUAAAAUAAAAAUAAAAAUCAAAAUAAAUAAAAUUAAAUAAAAAUGAUUAUAAUAAUUUUGAGAAAGGAUAAAAUUACGUGUCUACAAUAUGUCAUGUGUCUUUCAUCUUCAGAAGAUCGUCAACUUAAAAGUUUAUCGGUUCAAAAACGGAGUUUGUAGAUAUAGCGCAUUAAACUACUGCAUUUGUACCUGUCCAUUAUUGCAGUAAAUCGGUUGCGAAGACUAAGGCUGGCAUGAGAGUAUAUUGAGUGAUCUAUCAAAAAGUUCAAUUUAAUAAAAUCGACAUAGGAGUCAUACUUUGUUCCCAUUAACGAAUAUCCAAAUUUUAAAUCAGAUUUAUAAAUAAAGAGAAAAUAUACCCAAUAUAACAUACGGGAGAGUCAUUUAACACAUUGUGAUAGUUAAAUCCAAAUAUGGUUUAAGAAAAAUAAAAAAAAAUCCAAGUAUGGUUUGAUGGACGCUAUUACUAUAUGUACAAAGUUGCUGAUGUUGCUUGAAGUUGAUUACAUACAUCACUAUUUUACUGUUUUUUUCAGAAAAUAUUUUAAACUUCAUUUUGAUAGUUGAUAAAUUGUUUGAACUUAUGUUUGAAGUUCUUGAAACUUCAUUUUGAUAGUUUAUAAGUUGUUUGAACUUGUGUUGAAAUUCUUGUAGAUUAAUAAUUAAUAUACAUAUUGUACCCAAAAAAUACACUUCUAUGAUUAAGCUUGUUGAAUUUAAUUGUUCAAGGGUAAGCAAAAUCAUACAAAACAAAUAAUAUGGAUUAUGCAUUUUAAGGUUUCGAACGGUAAAAAUGUGAUGUUAGAAUUAAAUUGAAUAAUAAAUGUACAAAAAUUUAUUUUGUAAUAGACUAAAAAUAAAAGUAUGUCAUAUCGAAGUUGAUGAAAAUGGUAUAUGGUUUUGCCAUAACAAUGUCAUAAGAAGAAUAUUUAAUUUGAUUCAUUUUUUCAUUUGUUUUAAUUUUUUUUUUUUAUCCUUUGUUUAUGGAUAUUUGAUUCAAUAAACUAAACUUCUAGCAUUAAAGUGUGUUCUAAUCAUUGAGAGACAAUUUAGGUAUGAAACUCAUAAUUUCAAUCAUGUUGGCAUCAAAAUAGAAAACUUAAAUAUUAUUAAUUAGGUAUAAUUUUUAUCCUUUUAACUCCUAUAAAAUUAAAAAUUAGAGGUACAAUCAAUAUAAUGUCAAUUUCAAAUAUGUCUUAUACAUACAUGGCAUAUUAGAUAUGAAAACAACGAUGGGCAAUUUCUUCAAGUUUAUGUCUUAUUCGUAGAGCUGAUAUUUUUCUUUAUUUGUUUCUUUCUUGUGAUGAGUACUAAUAGGAAAAAAGCAUAAUUUUUUUCUAACCAUAUUCAACUUCUUUCUCUUGUUUUUUGAUUAUUAAAGUGGAGGUUUUACGAUGUAUAUCUUCUUACAACACUCUUGAUAUGAAUGAUAAAUAUCUAAAUUACAUCUAUACAUUUUUGUAGACCGAGUUAUAAUCAUUUUUGAAAUUCCUCGGUAUUAAAUUCCCUUUGAGAAUCACUCAUUCAGUUCUUGUAUAAAGGACAGUAAGAAUUAUAUUGAUAUUUUAUUUUAGUCUACAUAAAAUUAUUUAUUUUUAUCACUCAACUCAAAUUAAUCUAACUUACUUCAACCCAAAUCCAACACGAACAUAACCAUUUUCACUUUCACUAGCUACACCAGAAAAGAUAUUUAAUGACAAUUAGUUAAUAAUAACAUUGUAAUUGUCGUUAAAUAUAUCUUUUAGAAAAAAAUAUUAGUAAAAAUUAGAUUAUAGCACUCUUUGUAAAUGUUCUAAAAUGAAUAGCGAUAUUGAAUUCAAUGCCAAUAAAAAUUGAAACAUUUUUUUUUAAAUAUAUGCAUUUAUUAUUGCUAAAAGUCUUUAUUAAUGUAUCGUGCAAAAUAGUGUCUUUACUCUUCUUUUUAUUUUUGUCACAAUGAUUUACUUUACUUUGUACUUGUCUGAAUUUGUAUUAGAGUAAAUACAUAAUUAUCUUUCUGAUCUUGUCCGAAUUUUAUAAAAAGACAUCUAAACUUUAACUUCAACCCAUUACCCCACGAAUCUUCUUUAUUCUGUUGCAAAUACACAAUUUUGACCCUCUGCGUGUAUACACGCGCCACAAACGCGUGAAAAGGCAAAAAUUGACUUUUUUGACCAAUUAAAAGCUGCCAAGUGUAAAUAAUUUAAUAUAUAAUUUAUAUUCUUUUUUUUAAAAUCAAUAUUUAUUUAUUUUUUAAAAUUAUNNNNNNNNNNNNNNNNNNNNNNNNNNNNNNNNNNNNNNNCAACAACAACAUCAAUUACAACAACAACAUCAAUUACAACAACAACAACAAUAUCAUCAUCACCAUAAUUUUAAAAAGAAAAUAUGAUGUACAAUCUCUAUUUUAAUGGAGCUUUAAACUCCAUUUUAAUGGAGGGAAUUGGACGGGAAUGGGGGAGGGAGGGGUUGGAAGGAGUGGGGGUGGGGAGGUGGGGUGGGGUCAUAAACAAAAAUGGAGCUUAAAGCUCCAUUAAAAUGGAGAUUGUACAGGAGCUUUAAGCUCCAUUUUAAUGGAGAAAACUAGAAGCGGGGGGAGGGGGAGCUGUUGGACUUGGGGUGGGGGAAGGGGGUGAUAAAUUAAAUAUAAAGGAAAAAAUUUAUUAAAAAAUAAAUAAAAUAUGAAAUUAAAAAUAUUUGACACGUGGCAUCACCUGAUUGGUGCGUGCAUUCACUCUCUUUUUUGUGACUGAGAUUCAGCGAAAAAUGAUGUAUUUGCAACGAAAUAAAGAAGAAUCGUGGGUUAAUAGGUCAAAAUUAAAGUUUAGGUGUCUUUUUACAAAAUUCGGACAAAAUCAGUGAGAUAAUUAUGUAUUUACUCUUUAUAUUAUGAAUACUUCUACUUAAUUCUUUAUCAUCGGACCCCUAUAUUCUCCAAAACAAAAAAAAUUUUAAACCCUUUUUACGAUUUAGGCCUCCUAUGUGGUAUAAACAACCAAGGAGCGGGUGCUAUAAAUAUUUUUGAAGCAUGAGACAUUAUAAAAAGGCUCAAUCAUCUUCUUUCCCAUUUACAUUUAACACCACUGUUGAAUAAUAUUAAGCUUUUUCUUACCUCUUUUUCGAUCGUCUCUCUUGAAAUUUCUUCUCCAUUAAUUUUUUUCUAGUCCUUACACAUUUCUUUUUUGUGCAUUUUCAUGUUAUUUUUUCCUUCAAUUUUAAUUUUGACAACUUUUUUUACUAUUGUGAACUUUAUGUCAUUGAAUACAAGCAUAGCACCUCUACAAAAACAUCUUACACUACACGAAACAAAGCAAAACCUUGGAAAUAUUUCAAUAAAAGCAAAUAUUAAUCAACAAUCUUAAAAUCAAAGAACGACACAAAUACUCAAACAAAAAGCAGCAACAAAACUUGACAGCAAAUAAUUAUGACUAUAAAUUGAAAACUUAAUUCGAUAGCUUGGAAAUCAAACAGAAACAAUAAGAAAACUCGAAUUAUUUAGUGAAAAUAAAAAAAAAUAGUAAAAAAAGAAAAGAAAAUGGGUGCCUACAUGAAUAACGGGUGAAUGAGAAGAUGUGAAGUUUUUAAAAUCUUUUAACUCUAUCCCGCGUCAUUUUGUACAUGUUAUUUUAGAAUUAUUUUUAAAAUUAUAUGUUAGCGUUAUGUUACACGCUCAAUUAAAUAGUCAAACUAAUUUAAAAAAUUACGUAACGAAAAAUUUAGAGAUUAAAAUGAUAAAGAAUUGAAUAAAAAUAUUCACAAUACAAACUCAAAUAAGUAUAAGUAUAUAUUUUUAAAAAUCAAACAACUAAAUAUGAUAUGUCAUGUGACCUUCAUUAUAAAAAAAAAGGCUUAAGUUAUAGACACGCACUUAAAGUUGUCCCGAAAAUUUAUUUGGACCCCUCAACAAUGGUAUGUACCUAUCAGGCACCUCAACUGCUAACACUAAUACCUAUCAAACACAAACAACUAAUUUGACAAGAAAAGUGUGUUACACUUUCGUUGAAUGCGUGAACAGUAGAAAAAAAAUACUAAUAUUUUAUUUUUUAAUUAAAAAAAUUAUAUUUAAAUUAUUUUAUUAAUCUAAUUUUUAAUUAUUUUAAUUUCUUAAUUUAAAAAUAAAAAGUCCAACCCCCAAUUCAUCUUGUCUUCACUCCCCCUCAUCGUCUUCUUCACAACACCCCCAAGUCAUCAUCGUCUUCACAUCUUUGUCCCCAUCAUCUUCAACCCCCCACCCUCCCCAUAGUCAUUGCUAACCCCCCNNNNNNNNNNNNNNAACCCCCCCCCCCUCCGCCGCCCCAUGCUGACAUCUUUUUUAUCCCAUUAUUGAUAUCAUUUUCUUCACACCCAUUUUUUGAUUUUAAAGCACUUUAAAAUUUAUAAUAUAACUAUUUCUAAACUUAGUCAUCUGAAAAUUUUAACAACUCAAUUGGUUGCUACUUGAAACUCACGCCUGUUGAUUAUGUUGAUUUUUCAUAUUGUAAUCUAUUCUCUAUAUUUAUAAGAGGAAGGGAAUGCCCUUCCACUACUUCCAAUUGAAAGAAAGGGUUUAACAUUCCUGGAAAUUACCCUCUCUUUCCUUUUGCUUAUUCCUUGUUUUAUACGAUAAUGCAGAAUAGCUACUUCUUCUUCUUCUUUGUCAGUAAUUUCUUGCAUAUUUAUCCAUGGCUUCUCAAUACAAAUCCACUCAAAAAUGGGAAUUUGAUACCUUCUUGAAUUUUGGAGGACAAGAUACCCGUUACAACUUUAUUAAACCUCUCCACAAAAAAUAGGAAACCAGUUUUUAAAAAAGGUUCAGCUUCUAUGGAAAAAAAAAAAGGGGAGGGGUGGGGGGGGGGGGAGAGGGCGAGGGGAGAGGUGUAAUUUACUUUUUUUUUUUUUAAUUCUAAAAUAAUUUAUUUUGGAGUUUAUUGUGGAGUAAUAUAUUUAAAAUAAUUUUUGAACCCACACGAUAUGUGUCAUUAUUUAAUUGAAUUUUUAAUUUAUACAGUAGUCUUUUUAAAAAAAAACGUUAGUCACGUAUUUUUUUUAUUGGUCAUUUUUGCCAUGUUAGGUAAGUGUGUUACACACGCUUUUUAAAAAAAAAAUUCGUUUGCCACGUAUUUUUUUUUAUUGGUCAUUUUUAUCAUAUCAUGCAAGUGUGUUACACACGCUUUAUAUCUUUUGUUGAUUGUUUAAAAAAGACUUAAUUGAAUCAAAAUUUGAGUGAAUUAAAAAUUUGAUAGGUACAUGUUUUAAUUAAGAAAUUUGAGUAAAUUUUUAAGAUAAUUUUAAGUGUUUAUUGAUGAUUUAAGCCUAAAAGAGAAUAUUGAGGAAUCAAACAUACAAUUUAAAGGGACAAUACAUUUGUUUUAUAGUUGACAUUAUUGUAUGUGAAAAUGACGGCGAUCGAUUUGAUCCCUCUAUUGUUUUAUUCAUAGAGCUAUAAUUUCUUUUUAUUUGUUCCUUUUCCAUAAUAAGUCAUAUUCAAACAAAAGUAGGGACAGCACCUUUGCCUGCAGCCAGUUAUUAGCUCAUUAAAAGAAUAAUCAAACAAAGGCUCAAAAAAAAAAAAAAAGAAUGUGAACUUGAUAUUAUUAGAGUCCGAAACUAAACUAUGCCAUCAAAUUAAAAAUUGCAUCAAAAUAUAUUAUAUAUUUAAAAUAAUACCAAACUAAAUAGUGAGUUAAGCAUAAUUUGAUACUUUUUAAAAUAUAUGGCAUACUAGAUAUAGAAAUUCAUAUCAGCACAAGUUUUAUAUAUUUUAUUUUUUUAUUUUAAUUUAAGUGGUUCAGAUAAAAUAUUAAAAUUAAAUUAAAUUUUUUUAUAAUUUUUAAAUAUUUUAAAUUAUUUAUAAUUGAUUUACAUUGUAGAAUUAUUAGAUAUUAUAUGUUACAUUUUUGUCUCAAUUUACGGAGCACUGAUGAAAUAUUUAAGAAAUUCAAUCAAAUUUGUUAAGUAUAUAGUUCUUUAGAUAUUGUACUUGUUAAUUAAUAUGAUAUUAAUAGAAUUUGAAAAGUCAAAAUAAUUUUUUAAAAUAUCCUUCAAAUAUUUUGAUUUAGUAUUAUUGUGAUUUAUAUUACUUUUUAUGUCAUUUUCAAAUAAUAUAUAACUUCCUUUACCUCAAUUUAUGUGUGCUGCUAGAAUCUCAAAUCAAUCAAAAAAAUUUAUGUGCUUUGAAAUAAUUUAAAUUGCUAAGUAUUAUAAUUUUAAAUAUUAUUAUAUAAUUUUUAAAUACAUAAAAUAUNNNNNNNNNNNNNNNNNNNNNNNNNNNNNNAUUAUAAAAUUUCUCUCGAUCAGAAGUCGACAGUUGAAAACAGAUAUGACAACUAUCAAUCGCUUGCUUACUCGCGUUUCUAUAGUAAAACUAGAUACAAAAGGCCCGUGGAAUAUUUUAAGUAUACGACAAAUAAAAUUUGGAGGCAACCAUAUAUUUUUUAUAUUCUUAAAUACUUUAAGUUAUACUUUAUUCAUAAUAUUCACAUAAUAUAUGUUAUAUAUUUUAUUUAAAUUUAUGUGGUGUAAAUAAAAUUUUGAAAGUCAAUAUAAAAUAUUUUAUAUUACGUACAUUAUAGAUAUUUUAAAUUGUUACUUAUUGCGAUUUAUAUUAUUUUGAACAUAAUUUUCACUUAGUAUAUAUUACUCUUUUUGUCUCAAUCCUUAUGGAUGUUUUGACGCGAUAAAUUCAAGGUCAAAUACAUCGACAAAUUCCUUAAUUUGGCAGGAUUUUUCACUUUGACACCUAAGGUGAAUAUUGUUAAUUUUAAGCACCCAAACCAACUACAAAGUGUGUCAUUUUGAUACUUUUUUGCAUCAACUCUAGCACGUGAAUUGUACUCGCUUUUAACAUGGAUUAAAUGACCAAUUAAUUUGUGUCACCUCAUUUUAAAUUGUCAUAUCAUUAUAUGCAUACAUAAUUAUUUUUUUAUAAAAAAAAAUAAAACACAUUACAAGGUGUCCAAUGAAUUAAUGACACGUGGCUUUUGACCACAAUAUUACAAAAGUACUUUGACUUCAUCUUCUUCACCCAACCAUUCUUCAAGCUUAACCUCCAUCAAUGAAAGUUGAAUUUUUCAAGAAUGAUAAACAUACCUCCUCAUUCUUUUACGGAUGAUAGAUCCUGACACUGACGCAUAGUUCAUUGAUUAAAAUGCACCAUAAGAGCAUAUUUUUUACUUAUAAACAUACGUACACCUGGCUCAUCAGACCUAUCCGGGCAGUCACAAAAAUCAUCAUUGAGCUGAGCUUUAGUGAAUUUCUUUGACCCAUCUUUGCAUUUUGUAGCACCAGAUGUUAAACCCUCGUAAUAAUUCUCAACUGCAAUCAACAACAAAUCUUGAUGACUAUUUUCACUUAACAUCAACAAAAUCAUCAAAAACAGCUAAAUUAACAAUUAUUUCUACAGAAAAAAUUUCAUAUCACAAAAUGGGGUCAGCUGCACUUCCAUCAACAAAACUAAUCAUUAUCUCAACAGAAAAUUUGAAAAUUUCGCCCAUUUCCAUCAAAACAGCAAAAUUAACAACUAUUUCUAUAGAAAAGUAAAAGCUUUUUCUAUCCAAAUUUCAUUCACCUUGCGACUAGGAAUUAAAUUCCUUUAAAUUGUAUCUGAUUAAAUAUGUAGAUCGAUUCAUAACCUUUCAAGCACAAUCAUUUAAAAAUCACGAAACGAUUCAUCAAAAAAUAGCAAAUUUAGCAAUUAUUUAUUAAAUAUCAGCUCCAUUUGCAUCAAAAACAGCUCAAUUAACAAUCAUUUAUACUAAAAGAAUCUGAAAUCAAGAAAUGGGUCAUUAAUAGCUUCCCGAACUUCUUUAAACAUGCUCUUAUGAUGAAAAAAUGGUGAAAUAUGGUGGGAUGAAAAAAUAGGAAAGAAGGUGAUAAAAUUAAAUGAAAAAUGGGCUAAAAUAAAGUUGCCAUGCGUCAAAAAACGAGUGUUAUACACCCACUUUACUGAAUCAACAAAAAGUGUCAAAGUGACACAGUUUAUGGCUACUUUAGGUGCUUAAAAUGAACAACGCCCAUCUUAGUUGUCAAAGUGAAAGAACGUGCUAAGUUAAGGGACCUGUCAAUGUGUUUAGCCUAAAUUCAAGGUGAGGUGCCCUACUAUUUUCUUUUUUCGGAUGAUGUAGUUUUGAUUGAUAUGAUGAGGCACAUGGUGGAGUUAAUGCUAAAUUGAAGGUUUGGAGGUAAAUUUUUGAAUCUAAAAAAUUUAGAUUGAGUAGGUCCAAAACAGAAUAUUUGAUUGUAUUACUUGAUGAACUUAUAUAUGGUAUUAUUAAGUGUGUCGAUUUCUAUUAUAUCUUGUUAUUUUUUAUCUAGAUUGUUUAUCUUGAAUAGGGGAACUAUUGAAAAUAAUAUUUUUAUCUCAUCAUUGAUAUAAUAAUAUGAAUUGCAUCUACUUAUUCUUUUAGAUCCCACUUGAUAAGAAUAUAGUGAGUAUGUUAUUGUUGUAUGAAUCGUGAAAGUGAACCACAAAAAGAGAAAAAGAUGAUCACCCAAAAUGUAAAAGUGGGUUCCACAUAUAUUAAAGAAUUAAAAUAAUGAAAAAAUGUACUGUGAUAAACUAAAUUUAGGCCGGACAUUUUGUCUAAUAUCGAAAAUGUACACAUGCCUAAAAAAUUUAGAUGCAACAACGUGAACAUCCAAAAAUAAAACAUACCUAAAAUACCCCUAAAAGCACUCAUAAUUUCAUAAAGCACACAUGACAAUCAUAAGUUCUGUGCUUGCUCACAAUUCUAGUAGAUAGUAAUAAUAUGUUGGAUUACUUCAUUUUAUUUUACUUCCACAAGUAAGUCCAUAACAUAAAUUUUGAGAAACAAGAAAAUAUAAUAUGAUACUAUAUGAAGUAUUUUAAAAACAUUCAUAAUGCCUCAUCCGUUGUAUUUUAGUUGGCCGUUUUAUAAUUUCUUAAAUAUUGUGUAAAAUAAAAAGUGAUCGAUUAAAAUGGAAUGAAAAACCCGAUAACGUCAUUUUAACAUUCACAUCAACAAAUCAAUCAUGCCAAAAUAAGAGGAGGAUUUCCAGGUGGGAUCGUUGGCAAACUGCUUUCAAAACUUUAAUAGCAUUCAUCCUUUUGGGUUGGAUUUUCAUUUUAUUGUCUUGCCUCAUCCUUGAGGUUUUGAGCACGUCCACCAAUAUAUGUGGAUGCAAAAUGGAUAACUGUGUAUUCUAAUAAGCAUGGAUUUCCCAUAUUAAUUAAAAGAGAAAACGGUCAAAAGCCCCCCAACCUAUAUCCCAAAUUUCAACUACACAUUUAUACUUUGCGAGGGUCCUAUGAUCCCCUGAACUAUUUUAAAAUGAAAUUAUUACCCCUCCGAAUUAUUUUAAAGUGGAAUAUAUACCCGUCUAAAAGCUCAUACCCAGAUUUUAUUUUAAUUUGUGGUCUACAUGCGCUGCCACGUGUCAUGCCACGUAAUUCCACGGUAUAUUACUUUUUUUACUAUAAAAAAUUAAUUACUUGUCCUUUUCUCUUCUUCUUCCCGACCUAUUUGACUCUCUGGCCGUAGUUAUUUAGGUGGUAUUCCGAGAUCGAAUUCCUCCCGGGAACACACAAAACAAAGAUAUGAACUGGGUAAAUAGAAAUGGAAAAGAGAUGUUCUAUUUCAUCCAAAUUAGUUGCUUUUUCUACUAUUAGAAGUUUAGAACACAAGCCAAGAAACUCAAAACCACAACACAAGCUUCUUCUUUUUCUUCUUCAAUGGCAUAAUAAAUCAUAUGAAAUUCACACGAUAGGUAAUCUUAUCAAAAUCAAAUCAAUAAUUAAUGUCCAAAAAAAAUUCAAUUUUCACAAAAUGACGUCAAUUAAUUUUCAUAAAAUAGUCACUAUUUAUUUGUAAUUAGAACAAAAUUCUUAUUUGGACUUACUUAGUCUUUACAUAUACUCCAUGUCAUGUUGCUAAUUACCUGUUUCAAGUAAAUAAUUAAUUAAGUCGCAGGGCCAAAUUCAUCCAUAAAUCAAUUUCCAGUUAUCAAGAGAAUUAUUUUAAUAGAAAAUGGAUGGACAAACAUUUAAGCACAAACUUUUUCCUUUUGCUCUUAUCAUGGGAUUCUCAAGAUCCAACAUAUAUACUAAACCUUGUAUGUCAGUUUCCUUAAUGUUUUCACAGCCCGAAUUUAUUUUUUUCGAUGAAUUUCAGCAUUCUCAACGUCAAUCAAUUUUUGGGAAUCUAAGAAAUGAUUCUAACUAAGAAAUUAAUUCAAAAUUUUCAAUCUGAAUUGAUUUAACAUUCUCAACGUCAAUCUGAACUGGUUCUAUGAAGUCGGAACAAGUCGAUUUUAUGCUUUGAGAUGAGGAAGAUGAUAAAUUAGUCUUGAAUGUCAUUGAUGAGUUUUGGAUGCCAUUGAAGAAGAAAUGUCAUUGAUGGGUUCUUGGAUUCCACUAAAGAAGAAGAAGAAGAAGAAUUGAAGAAUAAGAAAUGAAGAAGAAGAAUUGAAGAAGAAGAAUUGAAGAAGAAGAAAGAAAAAUAAUAAUUGACAUUGAUGGGUUCUUGGAUGCCAUUGAAGAAGAAGAAGAACAAGAAUUGAAGAAGAAAAAUGAAGAAGAAGAAGAAGAAGAAAGAAAAAUAAUAAUUAAAAUUAUAUAUAUUUAUUUAAAGAAAUAUUAAAAAUAAUUUUUUAAUAAAUUAUUUUCGUUCUCACUCUCUUGCCAUGUCAGCGUUUGGGGGUAAUAAUUUCAUUUUAAAAUAGUUUAGGGAGGUUAUAGGACCCCCGCAAAAUAUAAAUGUGUAGUUGGGAUUUGGGCUAAAGAUUGGGGGGCUUUUGACCAUUUUCUUUAAUUAAAAUACCCCCUCCGUCCCAUUUUAUGUGUCGCCAUUUGACCGGGCGCGGAGUUUAAGAAAUAAGGAAAGAUUUGGUAAAAUUUACCAAAUUAUCCUUUAUAAAAAAAAAUGUCAAUAUAUUUUUUUUAAUUAAGUGGGACCAAUAAAGAUAAAAGGGUAAUUAUAUCUUCAAAAAGUUGCCAAAUAAGGAAAGACGACACUUAUUUUGGGACGAAUUAAAAAAAAAAUAAUGACACAUAAUUUGAUUACCUCUUACCAGAUUUAUUAACGUGGAGUCAUGUGAAAACUACGUAAUUAAAAUUUCUCCUUUCCUCCUAUAUUUUUAACAUACAGUGAAGUGUCACUACAUAAUAAUGAGAAAAUGUGACAUAAAAUGUGAAGCAAAGUAAUGAUUUUCUAUCUAUCUAUCUAUCUAUCUAUCUAUCUAUCUAUAUAUAUAUAUAAAAGUGUGAACACCCCUUAGAAAAGUGAUUUAAACUUUUUGCCCUUAAUUAAAAGAUUUCACAAUAGACAAAAUCGUCUUUUUACUAAAUUUCUUCAAUUAUUAUAUCAUAGUCUUUAUAUUAUUUAUUAUUAGCCAUAAUAAAUAUGUAAGAUUCACUUUUAGAUUAGAAUUCAAUAUCAAUUAAAAUAGUAUUACACGUCGUAUUUUCUUUAUUUAGAUUUAUUAUCCACUUUAGGUUAGGAUAUUCUACCAAAGUUAUCACUUUAGGUUAACUAGGACAAUAUAUAUUCUACACAAAUUUUUGUGGACUACAAAGAAAAAAAAAUUAGGUUGAGACGUUUAGGUUUCACAAUUUAAUGCCACUUUUAGUUUUAAUUUUUCUUUACUAAUUAAUUUUACUAUUACGUUAGUUUGAUUAAAAAAUUAUGUUAUAUUUUCUUUGUAUUGGUUGAUAGGAUUUGCAUGUAAUUAUUUUUGUAUGAAGGUUAGGUUUAAUUGUAUUGUUCUAACAUCUUGAUAAUUGUGUUGUUGUAGUUUCUAUCUCGUUACUAUAUGCUAUUUUUUAAAAUUAAUACAAGUGGUCAAUGAAUGUUCGAUCAGACUUUGAGUAAUUUUUGUAUAAAUUUAAGGUUUAGUUGUAUCGUUCUGACGUCUCGAUUAUCGUAUUGUUUUGUUGUUGUUUCUGUUCUAUUGAUAUCUGCCAUUUUUUCUGCUUAAUACAGGUGAUAGAUGAAUGUUUCAUCGGGCUUUGAGAAAUUAUGUGUAAAGGUUAGGUUAAAUCAUAUUGUUCUAAUAUUCGAUUACCGUAUUGUUAUUAUGUAUUUUCUGAUUUCUCGAUUAUCGUAUUGUGUUGUUGUAGUUUCUGUUUUGUUGCUAUUUGCCAUUUUUUCUGCUAAAUACAGGUGAUAGAUUAAUGUUUGAUCGGGCUUUGAGAAAUUAUGUGUAAAGAUUAGGUUAAAUCUUAUUGUUCUAAUAUUCUAUUAUCAUAUUGUUUGUUGUAUAGUUUUUAUUUGCUAUUUUUUUUUUAGUACUUCAAGUGAGAAAUGAAUGUUUGGUUGAGCUUUGAAGAAUUUUUAUGUAAAGAUUAAGUUUAAUCUUAUUGUUCUAAUAUCUUGAUUAUCUAUCCCAUUUUUAUUUUCUAUUUUUCUGCUUAAUACAUAUGGUAGAUGAAUGUUCGAAUGAGCUUUAAAAAAAAUGUGUAAAAGUUAGAUUUAAUCAUAAUUGAACAACAUAUUUAGAUGUAUUUUUAAUUUUCACUCUUAACAAAAAUAUUGUGAAAAAAAUUUCAUCAAAGAUGACUGGUUCAGUGUAUUGCCAACAAAUCGAUAAAGAGGACAAAAUAUUACACAUCUAAAAAUUGUUAGUAGCCAUUAGAUUAGGAGAGUCUAAAUCAGAAUUUUGAGGACGAGAGAAGAGUGCAUUUGGAUUAUUAGUAACAACAAAAGUAAGCUUACUUAGAACUGAGUCGUUGCGGUUUAUAGGAGGCAUAAGAAUAUUUGUUUUGUUAGGGAUAUUAACUGCACAACGAAUCUUAAACUAAGAUAUUUCAGAGGCAUCGAUAAAGAUGACAUGUAACUGAGGACAGUGAGGACGUUAUGGGCAAACUUAAGGAAAGUGGUCAUAAUUUUCUCCAUAGUUGAAUUUUGAUUCUUCUACGGAAGCUUGAAAGGAAGAGUGAACGGUUGAACACUAAAAAGUAUGUGGAAUUUGAAUAGUGUGACUUAAUUUGGAACGAAUGAGAGAUCUGACCAGUCCAUAUUAUUAUAUAUGAAUGAACAAUAUCUAAAUAGUUAACAAAAGAUUGAAACAACAAUAAAAUUUGAAUAUAAAUUCACCAAAUCUUGGACCUCUUCAUUCCAAAAGAGGUGCAAUACUAUUGUUAUUGUUUGAGAACUAUCUAUUCCUUUUUACUCAAAACAAGAAUCUUUUAAAACAUUACAAUUUAUAUUACUUUUAUUAAAAUUUAAAUAUCUAAGUAGAACAAGAAAAUCAAUACACGAUAUAAAAUCAGAUAGAGUACUUUAGAGUUUAGACAUUGUAUUCCUCUUUAGUGAUAAAUUCCUAUAUGACUCUCAAUAAUUUUAAUAAUAUCCUAUUUACUAGAACAAAUCCACCAACAAAUUCUUUAAAAUUAAUAGUGAUAGGAGUCACAAAGAUAAUUUAAGUGGAUGAUGAUGAUGAUAAAAGAUUCAAAGGAAAGAUGAUAAUGACCUAUUCUAUUCACUUUCACGAGUAAUAUUGCAGAAGUUAAAACUCUACAAUUUGAGGUUCAAUGAUAUAUAACAUAUCCAAGGCUUAUCUCUUUCUCUUUUUCUUCUUUGCUUAAAUAAGAAAAAAGUUGACUUUGCAAUGUUAGUUGCAGUAUGAAGUUUGUCAUGUCUCCAUGAUAAGUUACAUAAAAAUUAGGGAUGAGAUAAUAUAUAAAUAUGACUCUAAAUUUGACACCAAAUUAUAAUUUUGACCUUAAACUUUGAUAGUACACAAAUAGGACCUUUAACUAUUCAGAACCUGAACGAAUAUGACCUCCGAUUUUGCAACCUUCAUGCGUGAGUUUCACUCGCGCCUAUGUGGAAAAGUAAUCCAAUCACACUAUGUCACAUCGUUAAAAGGGCUGACUUGGAGGGAGAUCAUAUUUGUGCAAUUUUGAAUAGUUAAAGGUCAUAUUUGUGCACUGUCAAAGUUUUAUUUUUUGUGUUAAAACAACGUCGUUUUUAUUAUUAUUAUUAUUAUUAUUAUUAUUAUUAUUAUUAUUAUUAUUAUUAUUAUUAUUUAUUUAUUUAUUUAUUUAGGGAUCGAACCCACGCAGUAGGCUGAAGGAAGCACCCAAGAAGAGCAAACAACACCACUGGGCUAUCUAAGUGUCUUGUUUCAUGUGGUUCAACAUUAAUAUACGUACAUAAAUAUAGAUUUUCUACCUUAUAUAUACAAUGUCAUUUUUUUACCGAGGGGCUUCGGGUGAACCCCAUGACAACCACUUAGGUCCGCCCCUGCGUUAAUUUAAUAACAUUUUAAUAACGUUAAUUUGAUAACAUUAAUUUAAUAUACUACUACUAGUAUCCUUAAUAAUGUUAAUUUAAUAACGUUUUAUUAAAACUAUAGUUUUUUUUUAUUAUUAGUAUAGUUUCAUCUUUAAUUUAAUAGUUAAAUAAAUUAUAUUUAGAUAUAUUAUAUAACUUAAAUUCACCUUUUGCUUUAUAAUAUAUAUACAUACCUGUGCGAUUUUUUCGUAUGAGGUUGACCCACCUGUUUAAUAAAUCUUCAAUAUUGCUCUUUUUCUGCAAUGACAAAAGAAAUUAGAUGUCAUUUUAAUCUUUGAGCCGAAAAUAAUGAAUAAAUAAUAGUGAAAAGUCAUUUAAAGGUUAUAUUUGUGCAGUUUUGAAUAGUUAAAGGUUAUAUUUGUGCACUGUCAAAGUUUAAGGUCAAAGUUAUAAUUUGGUGUCAAGUUUAGGGUCAUAUUUAUGUAUUAUGCCCUUAGAUUUUAAGCUGGACGUGCCCAGUUUUGCGUGUUGAAUACGCAUUUUACCACGUAGGAUCGGAGGUCAUAUUUGUGCAGUUUUGAAUAGUUAAAGGUCAUAUUUGUGCACUGUCAAAGUUUAAGGUCAAAGUUAUAAUUUGGUGUCAAGUUUAGGGUUAUAUUAUGUAUUAUCUCAUCAGGGAUUGUAUCUCACCCUUAUAAAUAGGUAUCGUGCAUUUUUAUCAUUAAUUUAAUAUUGGUAAUUCUUCUUUUAUUUUCCAUCGUUAUCAUUGUCGUCGCCUUUUGAAACUCUUCUAAGUAGACAGUUGCCAAAAGUAAAAAAGAGUUACUGAUUUAAAAAAGAUAAUUAUUGUUUUGGAUAACUAAGAAACAUAAUUAAAAAAAAUAAAAAAUGGAGGUGAAUGUGAGAGAAAGCCUCAAAAAUCCUAUUGUUCUCCUUACACAAAGUUGUAUAAAUAUUUAUUUUGAUCUUCUAUGGGUAGUAUAGGUAGAAUAAGAACAUAGAGAGGCCAACUUAAAUAUCAUAGACUGCUCAGAUUUUCACAAUCUUGAAAAAUAUUAGUUUCAAAAAAAUUUCAUACUCUUAUAAUGUAAAAAUGUUUUCAGAUUUCAUUUGUGUUAUCAUAUGUUUUUAGUAACUCGGAAAAGGAAAGACUAAAGUUUGUAAUAAUGAGACGAGUAAAUAUAGUUGUAAGAGGCGAGCGGGUGAUAACUUAAUAGUGAUUGUUAAUUGAAAAAUGGAAUUUGAGAUUGUAUGUAUCCUUAAAAUUUGAAUUUUUUUUUGUCUUAGUUCAUUUUUCGGUUGUAUGACCACAUAGGAACAAACAUCCACAUAAUCAAUAGUCUCACUGGUUCAAUUUAGUUUUGAUUUCAUUUCUUUUGAGUCGAGAAUCUAUUAAAAACAGUCUAUGAUUGUGUAGUCAUAUGAGAUCAUUGCUUCCACAAGCAUUAAUAAUUUCACUGGUUCAAUUCUGCUUUGAUUUUAUUUCUUUUGAGCUGAAGAUCUAUCAAAAAUAGUCUCUUUACCUCACAGAGAUAGGCGCCUCACAAAAGAAAGGGUAAGCUCUGUACAUUCUACCCUCUACUUGCGGGAAAAAUGUCUUUUUACAUCAUAGAGAUAGGGGUUUCACAAAAGAAAUGAUAAGAUCUACGUAUAUUUUAUCCUCUACUUAUACGAUUACACUAGAUAUCUUAUUGUCGUUGUGUUAUUACUUUUAAAUUAUUUUAUUUUUCUUGCAUGGAGUAUAAUUUUACUUAUUAACACGACAUACACGUGCAAAGCACGUAUACUAAACUAGUAACAAAAAAUAGGUGAGGGAAAAAAAAUAGUAAUGCUAGUGAAGGUAGGUAUCCUAGUUUAUUUUUAUGUGAUCCUAGAUUUAAGAAGCAAAAUUUAUUAAUGGAGUACGCAGGUUUCUUAGAUUUUCUUAGUGGUCCUAUGAAGCGUGCAUUACGAAGACGGGCGGGCGGUUCAGUUUUUUCGUUUGGUUUUUCGGAAUUUUGAUCCUAUUUUUCGGUUUUCUUUUAUGAAAGGGAUAGCAAAAUUGAACCGAAUUAGUUAUCCAGUACGGUUCAGUUCAGUUUGAUUUUUUUUAUUAUGAAUCUACUGGUUGGAAUAUCACUGGAAAUUGGUUGGAAUCGUGCUGGACACAAAAAAAAAAAAAAAAAUUGAUUCAAAAUGGACUACUAUAUAACAGCAAACAGCCAUCAGGAGUCUAGAACAACACUUACACUGAAAAAAAAUUGAACACAAGUAGAAAAAAGAGAAAACUAGCUUAUACUGAUGUGACUAGAAGAGUGAUUCAAAACGUCAUUAAGAUUAUUAUUAUGAAGUGAUAAGUACUUCUAUGUUUUUAAUCAAAGAUUUUUGAUUUGAGCUUUGAGAAUUCACCUUUGGUAGAAAUUGUUUUACUCUCAUAGUAAGACUUUCCGACACAAACUCACAUUAGUCUAACUCAAAUACAAACACGAACCCCACAUAAAAAAAACAAAAGAACGACAUUAUUCAAAACAUGAUUAAAAGGACCACAUUGAGUGAUGUUUGAUUGGAUGGCUAAACUUGUCCUUAUUGCCUGUGUCAACUUUUAAGGUUCUAUAUUCGAACCUCAGGCCUCAGCCACUCAACGGUAUAGUACUCUCUCUAUGUUCCAAUUUAUUUUUUUAGUUCUAAUUUAGUAUUGACUAUAAAAAAAAAAGUUAAAUUUUGUGGUUUUAAAUUAAAAAUAUGUAGAAUAUAUCAAAAUAUUUUUAAAAUUAUGUAAUUUUAAACAUGUCACAUGAAAAAUAGAACUAGCUAUAAGUUACCCAAAGAAAAAAGAAUUCUCACGCAUAUAAAAUAAAUCAAAUUAUCCAGGAUAAUCCCUUAACAAAUGGAUCUAGCCAGCUUAGCUUGUUGGAUAAUAUGCACAUACCUUAAUUUAUUAAUACUGUUCAAGUAGAACUUUUAGUAGUGAUUUUUAUCCUUUGAAGCCAUACAAUACAUGCACUAAGAUAUUGUCCUUUCUUUAUCGAAACGAAGAUAUAUAGCAUAAUUUAUAGUAAUAUAUAUCCAGGUGAAUUACAGCCAAAUUUUAAACUAAAGUUACCCAAGUAUAUAUUUAGAGUACAUCUAUAGCGAGUGAUGCUGCUUUUUAUACCAAUAUAUAGCUAUCAAAGUUCUCCAUGAGAUUGAGAGUAAUAACAAAACAAAAUUAGUAUCUACGAAGCGGACUCACUAUUGUUGAGGCGUAAGCGUAUUCCCUUGAAAAUUUUCCUAUAUAUACAUCGUCAUCAUGAUACACCUCUUAUAACAAUCCACAAAAUGAGAGAGAUUAUAAUUAGCCUUUUAUCUCUGGCUUUGUUCCUCCUUAAGGUCUCAGCCAAGCUAUCUGAUGUUCCCUUUUAUUUACCAGCCAAUGAAACCCUUGGCCUUAAACUAAUAAGGGAACGUAAUACGUCAGACCUAGCCCAGUCAUUAUUAGCACAGAGUCGAUGCGGAUGGCCAGGUGGCGGUAGAUCGUGUCCUACUGGACAGUGUUGUGAUUUUGAUGGUUGGUGUGGAACCGGUGAUGCCUAUUGUGAUGAAGAUGAGUGUGAUUUCCAGUGUCCAGGUCCGAUCCCAGUGGGACGAUGCGGAAUGCAAGCAGGUGGUCGACCAUGUCCUACUGGACAGUGUUGUCGGGAUUCAGGUUGGUGUGGAACCACAGAAGAAUAUUGUAAUCCUCUACGCUGUCAAAGCCAAUGUUCAGGACCUUAUCCAUCGGGACGUUGUGGAUGGCAAGCUGGUGGGAGGAAAUGUCCUACUGGAUUAUGUUGUAGUCUCUCUGGUUGGUGUGGAACCACUUCAAUCUAUUGUUCUCGUGAAGAAUGUCAAAGUCAGUGAGAAAGGCCACCACCACCCCCGUCUCCACCACCCCCACCCCCACCAUUCCCACAGGGACGAUGCGGAAAGCAAGCUGCUGGUAGAGCAUGUCCUACUGGAGUGUGCUGUAGUAUAUGGGGCUGGUGUGGAACCACACGUAACUACUGUGUUUCUCCCUACUGUCAAAGUCAGUGCAAGGGCGGUCUAACCUCGUACAACAAGAAUCGCUUCAGAGGCAUUGAAAGCUUAUUGCUCAAUGCUCUCUAGAUGCUUGCUGCCUUCUGUAUUCCCUAGACCAUGUACUUCUACUCCUCUUUUGGGACUGGA